This 147786-nucleotide long non-coding RNA is filed under the name Coffea arabica (coffee). RNAcentral describes it as "long non-coding RNA (CARA_LNC007652)". The stretch from base 112782 to 112929 matches the Rfam family "small nucleolar RNA snoR135". The record is from RNAcentral. Lineage: Eukaryota; Viridiplantae; Streptophyta; Magnoliopsida; Gentianales; Rubiaceae.
AGCAGCUGCUCUUCCCCUCAGCUACCCACGCCUACUUCUGGCACCAUGUCACCUGAUCGCAACCCUGAUAGUCGUCAACAUAUUUCACCUAGUAAAGAUAUAGUGGUUCAGAAUUCUGGGCUGUCACCGAAAAAGGUUACUGAGGACCUCACUUCUCAAAUAAAUGUUGCUUCUGACUCUCCAAUUGGUUUAUCUCCUUCAGCUCCUGAGGCAGAGGAAGAGGAAGCUCACUGGGGUAAAAAUGAGGGAGCAGUGACAGUAGAUGAUGAUUACUAUAUGCCAGCACGUAAUAUAAAAUCCUCUCGCUGGGCAAAUGAGGCUGAAUCAUCAGCUGAUGAAGGUGAAAUUUCUGAUGAUGAGGAGAUGGUUAAAUUGAAGAAGAAGAAGAAAUCUGUUAAUGAAUCUACUGACACAAGGGGACAGAGGAAAUCGGUAACUCCAGAGCUCGGGGAACUGAGGAGAGAAGGUUCAGUGGGAAAUAGGGUCAGGUCUUCUGAUGAACGCGUUAGAUCCUUUAGUGGAGAUAGUGAUCCUGAUGAAUUGGACAGGAAUGAGUACAUGGAGGUUGAUGAAGAUCGCACUUAUGGUGGAACCAGUGGUAGCAAUGCGGAUACUGGUUCUGAUGAUGAACACAACUCCCACGGGACACCAGAACAUGCAGUUCCUCCACCAAGGGCCGUGAACAUGCUUCAGGGUUGUAGAAGUGUUGAUGAGUUUGAGAGGCUGAACAAAAUAGAUGAAGGCACAUAUGGUGUAGUUUAUAGAGCUAGGGAUAAGAGAACAGGAGAAAUAGUUGCUCUGAAGAAGGUCAAGAUGGAUAAAGAAAGAGAAGGGUUCCCUUUGACCUCUUUGAGGGAAAUAAACAUUCUUCUUUCUUUUCAUCACCCAUCAAUUGUAGAUGUCAAGGAAGUAGUUGUAGGGAGCAGUUUGGACAGCAUUUUUAUGGUAAUGGAGUACAUGGAACAUGAUCUGAAGGGGUUAAUGGAGACAAUGAAACAACCGUUUAGCCAGAGUGAAGUUAAGUGCCUCAUGCUUCAGCUUUUUGAGGGUGUUAAGUAUCUGCACGAUAACUGGGUUUUGCACAGAGAUUUAAAGACAUCAAAUAUACUUUAAAUAAUUGUGGUGAGUUGAAGAUCUGUGACUUUGGAUUAGCACGUCAAUAUGGAAGCCCUUUGAAACCAUAUACUCACUUGGUGGUUACUUUGUGGUACAGGUGAGCGUAGUUUUAUGCACUAUUGUCUUUUUUAGUUGAGAUAAUUAAAAUCUUUUACCUGGUUCAUUUUUGAUGUAUUAUUUGGUUUUUGUCAAAAUAGUAUUGAGUGCUUUAAUUGCAAAUCCUAUGCUAGUGCCUUUCUAUUACAAGAAUCUAGAGUGAUCACCUGGGCCUUACUGCGAUUUUUUUUUUACUGUUAAUGUUGUUUCUUCUAUGAAUGUAAGUCAUGUCAAUUUAGUUUGGUUACCCAGAAUGCGCCAAUGAUAAUCUCUACUUUAGAAACUGCAUUUUGUUAUUUUUUCUGGUGCAACAGAAUUGUAUGUUGUAGCAUCUUGCUCUUAGGUGGCCAAAUUUUCAUUUUCUAUGUGGCACUAUCUUGAUAUUAGACCAAAAAAAUUUGAAACUUGAGCAGCUAGCUGGAAUAUGUGUCUCUUUCCUUUUCAUUUGUAGGUCUUGUGAUUGUGUAUUUUAUUUUUGCUAAUUUUGGAAAAUAAAAAUAAACGACCGAAUGACAGAAUAUUUAAUGUUUUUCAAGGGCGCCUGAACUGCUUCUAGGAGCUAAGCAGUACUCUACAGCGAUUGACAUGUGGUCCUUGGGUUGUAUUAUGGCCGAGCUGUUAGCGAAGCAGCCACUAUUCAAUGGGAAAACAGAAGUUGAUCAACUCGACAAGGUUAACAUUUUGACAACUUUCAUCUGUAAUGUUACUGUAGAUUUUUGUAUGGAUUCCAAGCUAAUUUUCUUUUCUGUGGCCUUAAAGAUCAUUGUCGUUUUGUUUUGCAGAUAUUCAAAAUCCUUGGUACCUAAUGACACAAUCUGGCCUGGGUUUUCAAAGCUUCCUGGGGUCAGGGUUAACUUUGUCAAGCAUCAGUAAGUAUCUAUUUCGUGUUUAUCAUAGUUCGAUGCAAAUCGACUGUAUAAUUUAUGGUUUUCAUGUUUCCUACUGUUUUCCCAGGCUUCCAGCUUUGGGUGAUUCUGGUCUGGCUUUCUGUCCUUCGUUGGCGACAGUUUCAGUUCCCAAAUAUAUGUCAUGUUUCUAUUAACUGGUGCUUUGUUCAUUUCAGGUAUAAUCAACUGCGUUCCAAAUUUCCAGCUACAUCCUUCAGAGGAUCGCCGGUACUCUCUGAUGCUGGAUUUGACUUAUUGAACAGGCUUCUGACUUACGACCCUGAGAAGGUAUGUCAUUGUAAGGUGUGAUACUGUUUGUAGAUCAUGAUUGUAACUAUUUAAAGUUUGGAAGACGUUUUUCUGAUUCUUGUCUUUGGACAGCGAAUAACUGCUGAGGAUGCUCUAGCCAUCCUUGGUUUUCUGAAGUUCCUCUACCCAAGUCGAAAGAAUUUAUGCCUACUUUUCCUGCUCAGCAUGCUCAAGACAGGUACUUUAGCCGUCCUCUGUUUGUUACUUAAUUUGUUCAUUUGUUGGAUUAAUGAAUUAAUGUUUUAUUGCUUCUUUGUAGACGUUUGCGAAGAGCCAUGAAGAGCCCAGAUCCCUUGGAAGAGCAGCGCAGGAAGGAGUUGCAACAAGGGGAACUAGGAACUAGUGGUUUGUUUGGUUAAGGGAAGUCAUUAGUGCCUUGAAGUUCAAUUUAUGCUUCAGUUCUGUUCUCGUGAUUGAUGUGGUUGAGGUGAGGAUGUAUUGAGAGGAAGUUAUUGUUAGAAGAUCAUUCGUGCUGUUUUUUAGCAGGCACCCUUGAUGAAGUAGAUGGAGAAUCAAUUCUUUGUCUAAGCUUUUGAAUCAGAUGUGGUGGGGAGCUCUGGUGUAAUGAAAAUUCCUUCUUUGACACUGCUUGCAUGCCAAGGUGUGGCAUAGUGCCUUUCUUAUUAAGAAACAGUUUCAGUUGAAACUUGUGUAUGUAACAUAUUUUCUGUUGAUACAUUGUAACAAUUUUCAUGAAAUUUGUUUUGAAUUUCAGAACGAUAUAGUGUUUAUUCUUAAUCUUUGUUCUUUGUUUUAUCAAUUUUAAUUUUCAUCCUGGUCUUUGCAAGAGACACUGGUGUAACGCGGAGCAGGCUUUCUUAGCUUUUGAUUGACGAAGAAAUGACAGAAAGUAUUGCGCUUUGGAGGUAAUGUUAAGUCUGAAUACAUGGGUGUAAUGAAGGAUCAGAAAUUUGCUCUCUGUCGAUAUGGGAUGUCCUUUGUGCCAUUGUUAUGUUAGGCCACAUGCUAGCCUCUUAGAAUUACAUGCUUUCUCUGGUAAUCCUGUGAGAAAGUGCCAUAUCUCAUCUUUCCAAUCUGGAGCUCUCGGCUACAUAACCUGACAUAGUAUAAUCGGAGGAUCAGUUGUCUAUUAAUUAUGCCAUUUUGAUUGAAGAAAAUUGCACCAUUCCCAUAUGAAGGUUCUGGUAAUUAAGUUUAAUUUGUUUAAUGGAUGUGUUUAAUUUUGUUUAUAAUGAUAUUAUCUGAGGAGAUGCAAUUUUAGAUUCUAAAUGGUUUGGCAUUUGAUACAGCAAGUGUAAAUGUGAAGACGUUAUUCUCAUAGUGCUACUACGUGUAAUUUUGGUGUUUCUUAGCGGGAUUUUGUUCUAUUCUUUUGUAUUUCUCAUUUUAAGUUUUUUAUUUGAAAGGAUAUUUAGAGACCGUUUGGAUGUGAUGCAUGCAGAAACUUCAGUUUCCAGCUAAUUGAGUUGCCUAGGUCAUUCUUGUGAAUUGCGAAUUGUUUAUAAUUAGGAAGAAGCUAAUAGAUUUUUGUUUAUGUUAAUAUUGGCAUAGACCUUCAUCUAUGUUCCUUCCCUUGAGACUUCAAAUCACAAACAUGCCAACAAGCGUUACUUUGAUAAACGUGUGGCUUUUAUGCUGUGUGGCCACCUAGAGAAGAUGUUUUUCUUGAAAUACUGUUGUAAUCCCACGUUUAUCCUUGAUACCAAGGCAGAAGAAGAGCAACAUGGGUUGUAACUAGAUUUUACUAUUCAUGGCUCUACUAUGGAUGGGCAGCUCAUUGUAUCAAGAAUUUUGCGACAGAGUGGUUUUUUUUUUUUUUAUUUAUAUGUGCUAGUUGCCAUAUUUCUGGGAAUGUAGGUGUUUACUGUGUAUUUUAAUUGUACAACCAAGAUGUUUUACUGUGUUUUUUUUUAUUUAUAUGUGCUAGUUGCCAUAUUUCUGGGAAUGUAGGUGUUUACUGUGUGUGUUAAUUGUACAACCUAGAUGAGUUUUAUUUUUAAUUUUAUUUUUUCAAUUUUUUUUGGCUUUAUGGUGAUAUUGAGCCUUUAACGUCUUCAUCUUUGGACUUAUUUGACAUUCAUGUGCAAAUGUUACUGCAGUAUCAAGGCAGGCAGGUUGGGGGAGUUUACCUGUACAACCUGGCAUAUAGAUUUUCAAAUUAUUUUUCCAUUCUUCAGAUAUUCUUUUUCUCUUCUUCAAAGCUCUGUGGAGGUACCUUGCAGCCUUUAUUUACUCUAAUAUUUGUAGUCUUUUUUACCCUAAUAUUUGUAGCUGCUUAAUUUUUUUAAAACUAUCGUGCUGUGUAUGGCAUUAUGUAUUUGACAUAUAAUGAGCACCAUAGAACUUUUUGAAGAUUCUUUAAUAUUUGAACCUAUUUUUGUUUUCAGGAAAAAUUCUGUAACAUAGAGUUGAGAUACCUUAAGUUUUGCUCUCUGGCUUUGAAUUUUCAAAUUUGAGUUUUGCAUCCAGGUUUUAUGAAUUGCCAUUCAUCUAGAAUUCUGUGCAAGAAAUGGUUAGCUGUGUUUGCAUAUUGUGGAUUGGUUGGGGUUUUUUUUAUAAUUCAAGUGAUGAUACAGAAUCCAACUGUUUGUUGCUAAGAUGUUACAGAUGCUGGGAGGUUUACCUACUGAUUGGUUCAUGAUAUGUUUGUUUUGACUGGCUACUAGCUUAAUUUUUGGUACGCCUGUGAGAUUAGAAGAAUGUACAGUUAAGGUUGAUGAGAAUGUGUGUGGGCAAACUAAAUGGCUAGCACAUUUACAUCCAAUCAUUUUCAAAUGUCAUACUGGGAUCUUUUUACUUCUAUAACCUGUAGUUUUGAAUUCUUGACAUAUGGUUCUGGAGUUUAAUCACCAAUGAUUUGUUCUUAGGUGUGACGUGAUUGUGUCUCUCUCUAGUAUUCCACUAUUUAUGCCUGAUAUUGUUUGCCUGUUAGUUCAACAGAUCAUAAUGUGACCAAUGCUCCAAUUUUGUGCUACUGCAUUGUCCUUAUGUUUUCCAGCAAAGGUCUUUCUCAAGUCUUAUAAAUUAUAAGUGGGUCUUGUUAUUUGCCUUGUAGGAUAACUGGUGGAUUUAAGGUGCUAUUCUUCUUAUGAACUGAGACAGUCUUGACUUAGAGCCUGCUGACAACUUGGGGGUGCUUAGUAUUUUAAGAGUGAAGGGGCAGUAUUGAGUUAGAGCCGCUACCAACUUGGGGGUGCUAUAUUUUACAGUGGAAGGUAUGGAUAACGUCAUUAGCUGGGAAGAAGAGAUGAAUACUUGGAUCAUUAGAAAGUUGUAGUGCGACGCUGGUUGUCUGUCACAAGGAGCAUAUCCUGAGGUGUCAACUUCUAGUUAUAAACUGCAUUUUUAUAUGUUAUGUGUGGUAAAAUUCCUUGUCUCAUUGUUUUUCAUAGAUGCAGCGAGGAGAGAACUUAUUAUCAUAGAUGUGCUUGCUUCUGGUUUUGGAUACUUUUGGUUCUCUUAGCUUUUGCUUCUCAAAAGUGUUUCAAGGUAAUUUUCAUAGUUGGAAAAAAGUAACUAAAAGAGAUUGAAUGCAAAGGUUGAUCAGUGUAGGUUCAAUAAUGAAUGUAGUGCAGGAUAUGGGUGAGAGAGAUUCUUGAUGAGUUGAGGACCGUUUACCAUCGUUAGUUGUGUCUUCAUGGCAGCUUCUUUCCUUGUGUAUCUUUCAUCCUAUUCUUGUAAUUCUGCUGUUCAUCAUGCAAGUGUUAGUGUAAGGAUGCAAGGAUUUUACUAGAAAAAUCUGGAGCUUCUUGGGCUUUUUAUUGUUUGGUGCAACGUGAGAUCUGCUGAAUGGAUUUUUCCUUUGCGUAUUUUUACCUACCUGACGUUUAGUAUUUCUAGCUUCUAGUGGCCUAUAUAUGGUAAAUUUUUGUAUGAAUUAAUUUAUGGCAACGUAGGGUAGUUUGAAAUAAUAGUGUGUGUUGGAUAUUUGGAAGAUCACGAGGUAGCAGAGGCAUUAUCUGAAUCUAGACUCUACGCAUGGGGUUUGCGUUCAACUGCUUGACCAUCAUUGGCCUGCAUUUGCUGUAGAAUUACAGGUGUCGUUUAAGCCUAGCUUGUAUAUUUCCUUCCCCGGGUUUGCCUUCUAGACGUUGACUGAUUAUCAUGUUGAAUUUUGUGGAAGGUGAUGGAGCGAGACCAGCACUGUCGCUUAAGCACCCUCAUCAGAGAGAGAUUGUUGCUUGAACAUGAGCAUCUUCCUCCAUUCAAGGAUUGUGUGCUGUCCCAUUUGUGAAUACGGUUAAUAUUAAAUCUGUCAUAAAAGGUAAAAUAAUUUCCCGAAAAAAUGCUGUUCCAAUUAACCAUACGCACUGAUUUAUGUUUUCUAUUAUAGUACAAGUCGAAGUCAAUGACACUUCAUAACUUCCUGUUAUUAUUAUUAUUAUAUUUUUUUGGGGGUCCUUUUCCAAUGUCUUUUACUAUAAUGAUUUACAUGUAAUCUUAACCAAAGAAGCGACAGUGAAUGCUUUAAGAACAAAUUGCAAAUGAUGAACGGAGCCCGUCAAAUUGCAAAUUUCCUUGUGUGAUGGGCGCCUGCGAAGAUGCUCUUUGCAUGCCUGUAGCAGGCCCGAACAGAGAAUGGAGUGUAGCGGGAUAUAGGCGCUGCCCCAGGGAAGAUGGCCGACGACUUUGGAUCGCAAUUACGAUUUUGAUGCGCCACUUUGCCGCGGCGGGUGAUUACUGUGAAGUGAAAACUACGGUCUUUCCAAGCACGAAGAGCACGAGCGACAGUUGAAUGAAGAAAAUGGUGUUGAUCAGUCCCCUGUCAACCGUCCAUCCAAAAACCGUAAUUCCCCGGGGUUGGACUGCAAAUAUGUCACUGUAGAAUCAAAAAAAAUUAAUGAGCGUACGUGACAAUUCAGGAUUAAGAUACCAGUUAGAAAGGCUCAAGCAAAGAACACACUCGAUGAUCAAGCCUGGUUGCACUGAAAGAAACUGUUUUACAUAUCCUACCACUUCAAAGUUCUGUGUGCGUGCGGUGGUUUGCCUGUGUUGAGGGUAUGUUGUUUGGUAGGAGAAGUCAUUCUUAGUUUUUUAAUGAACAGCAAUUGCCAAGCAAAAGCACUUAGAAUCUGUCUUUUUGCGCAUUUAUCUUGUGUUUUCAUUCUUUAAUAAAAAGAAACAGAUUGAAGAGAUGAAUCCCUUCCAGAGCAAGAGGUGAACAAACAGCAGUGGUAGAAGGAGAAAAAAUCGAUAACAUACUCUGCUGUAUUUCUCGAUAAUUCUCUCUUAGUUUCGGAUAACAUGCUCAUAAUCAGAUUCCCUUUCUUGUCUGAAGCAUAUGCUACAACGAAAUACCCUUUCACAACUCUUGGCAUAUUGAUUAAGGUGGGCGGGUAUAAAGCUAAGAAAAUGUAAUUCUGCUGUUACUCGACUUAUUUACUCGUAUUCUUCAUACUAGGGAAAAGCCUUUAUAAUGGAGCCAGAAAAAUCAUGUAAAAUUCAUCUAUUUGGGCAUCCGGUCUAUACUGAGAAUAGAAUAUUAAUAGAGUCUGGAUUAUAUAACAUUCUGUCCAAUGAACGAUUCUUUUCAUCCUCAGCAGAUUUCUAUGUCAUAUAAACAAGCUCAAGAAAGGCAGCUUAAUUAAAAGAAAGGGCUAACUUAAGGUAUAUACCUCAGAGGAAGGUAAUAUAGAAUAAAUAAAACCAAAAAACAGGAUUUGAUCCGCGUACCUAGGGCUUGCCUCUUGUGGUAUGAAGAUGCAUAAGAAGAGAGUGGUGUACUUUGACUGGUCGGGACAAAUUCCAAAGACUCCAAAUCACUUUCUGAGUAGCUUGUGUAGAGAGAACCUAUCAUAUGAUCCACCUCCAGGCUUCCAGUGCUGCUAGCAAUCCUGAAUUGAGAUGCAUCAGUAGGAGUGCAUGUCCUUAAAGCAUGCCACUGACCAGCUAGCGAUCCAAUUCCUUGGGCUCUGUGGGAUAUUUUUGCAGCUGCGUUCAAGCAAAGAGUUAUUCCAGCUACUUGGACGAUGGAAGAGACCUAAUAACCAGAGAAAAAAACUUAACCUUAAAUUGUCAGCGUCAUACUCUCAACUACACAACAAUAGAACGGGAGAGGUGCACAUAGAGGAAAAAGCUGAGAUGUGCUGCUGACAAAGCAUAGAGAUAUCCAUCUUAAUCUCAACUCAAACCAAAUUAAAAGUAGUCCAUGAAUAUCUACAUAGACUUUAAACCUGCAAAUAUUGGCAACGGAGUCCAAAUCUCUGUUUCAGGAAAUUAAGCACACUAAUUUGUUCUAAUGAUAUCAAUCAGCAAUUCUUAAUUUUACCAAGGGUUCCAAUUUUAUUCUAGAGAACUCCCGUCCGGCAUUCAAAUCCAUGGACAAACAAUUGAGACAAUAAACAAAACAGCAAUUGCGAGUGAUGAUGAAGUCCAAACUUACAGCAAAAUCACCUCCAUUAAUGAAUGAGAUGAUUCCAGUAUACCCAGUAGUUUGGAAUAGAGUCACAAACUGGCUUACAGUGACAAUCAAGAACACCAGAAUAAGAUAGAUCCUAAAUCUGUGGCUUAUUUUUGAUAGAUAAUGCCGCAGACGAAUAUGCUCUUUUAUUAAUAUUAAAACAUCAGAUUGCCUUUCAAGAGCUUCCCAUAGUCAUCGAAGUGUAUAAUCUGUAAAUUGCAGACCAGAUAGAACAAUAUGCAGGAGCACAGAAAGAUUAUUGUCACAUAGGUUGAGGAUAAAACAAAUGCUAGUAAAAUAACGACAGUUUGCCACCAUAAUUCAUGAUGCACGUAUAACAUGCGGAUGACUUCACGAGCAGUCUUAAGAAUGAAGCAUGGCAGUACCCAUAACACCAGCAACCGGACAGAUUCCUGCACAUAGAGAUACCCCCAUGAGUCCUAUACUGUGGCAGUCGUAUUACAACACGUGCCAAAUAUCGAAAGUUUUACAUAGAUCAAUUGUUCAGAGGUAAAAGACUACUCAAGUCCAAAAUAGAAAAACUUAGAGCGACCAAAUAUAUCAAGAGAAGCAAUAUAUUGAAGCAAAACUCGUGAAGGAAACGGACACACCAGUAUAUGCUGGGAUAAUUCCCAAUGAUAUAGUAGAAGAAGCAUCCACUCUUUUAAAACAUCAGUCGUAGUGUGUUUCAAAGAAACCAAAUAAUACGUACAAUAGAAACUUAAACUUUUUUCCAUUCCAAGCCAAACAUUUCCGCUUGCACAGAAAGAUUCUUUGCCAUUGAUCCCAAGAAUAUAAGCGGACGGCAGAAAGUAAAUAUGUUCACCAAAAUUUACUCAGCAAACUUCUGCAACUUAUUCCUUGAUAUAAAGCAAUUAAUUUAAAAGAUUGACUCUUUUUUUUUUUUCAGGUUAUGAACCAGCUUAAUAGCUCAUCUAGUACUCUUUAUUUUGGAUGCAUUGUUAUCUUUCUUGUAGAAACACAAGCAGCAUAUAAAGAACACAAAGAAAGAUCAGAACCAUAACCACCCUGCAUAUCGUGCAAUUUAUAAAGUCCAAUUAGAAAGAUACUCACAGAGAUCUUCUGAAUAUAUUGGUCACUGAACCUCUCCACAUGACCAGUAUACCUAUCAACAAAUAGAAACUUCCUAAUGCCAUACUUCCGCAAAUUGUGGGACACACAAAUAAGAGAGGCAGCUGCCAAACUAGCCUGAGAAGCCACAAUAUCCAGCUCAAAACUUUUAAUUUGGCCCUUCUCACAACCGGGACAAUUAGAAAGUUGAAGAAUAACCACCGGAAGGAAAAAACCAAUGAGCAGGAAAACCAUCCAAGACAGUCCGACACUCAAGAUUGAAUUUUGUUUGAAGCCCAGAAGAGCGAGGAACGAGUCUAAUGUUUUAAGGGUCUUGUCAAGAGGAGUGUAGGCCUCUUGAUCUUCUUCCGUAGUUUCUUGAUUUUGGGAUUGUUGAGUUUGUUCUACCUUGAGCAGGGGAGUCUGGUCUUGCAGCUGCCGUGAAUGUGAUUCCUCCUCUGGGACGUCCGCUACUUGUAUAUGAGUUUCAGCCAUUGAUCCAAAAACGUACUAACUUUUACACUAGGCAACUUAAAAAAGGGAAUAGUGAAAAAGAGGGCUUGAAUCAGUAUUUAGUGAGAAAUGUUCGAUCAUAAGAGUAUUUGGAAAAGAAGAAAUGUGAUGAUUAAUCGAAACUGACAGAUCAUCUGAUCGCCGUUUUAUCCGAGUAAAAUAGUCUAUGGGUAACAGUUCCAACCACAUUCGUCUAUUUUGAGGCGUAUUGACACUUUUGACCAUUUUGGGCUACCGGCUGUCUUGCAAGAAACUGUACGACUAUUUAAAAUGUUGAAAUUAGAAAAGUGGUGGUAAAUGAUAGAGAUGACAGGCUUGUCGGAUGAAGAUAUUCUCGUAGGAGAUUCGAGAGAGUUGUAGGGAGUUUAGUAAUUAAAAUAUGACAUUUGUUUAGCUAGACAACUAUGUAGAAUUACCAAACCAUGCUGCACAAUUCGAGUAGAAUUUUGUGAAAGGCGCCCUUCAAAAACAGUAUGCAUCGACACAUAAGUUGGUCAAGUGAAAAUGAAGUAGCCAAUGAUUGGACACAGGAAAUAAGCUAUCACUUGCCUCAAGACAAAAUGCACUUUUCUUUUAAUACAUAAAUUGAGACUUGUACACUAAACCUAUUUGAUAUACAAAUAUUGGCCUAGUAAUGUAUAUAGUGUGAGUAGUUAGACAGGCAAAUUUGAAUCGUUAGCAGACUGCAAACCUUGGAGCAUGAGAGUUGAGCUUCAACUUGCAAAGGAGAAAGGCAUUUUGGAGUCUUUUGACUCUAAAGUUUGCACCAGCGACCAUCUGAACAAGAAGUAACUCCCCAUGUAUUGGCAAUGGCAGCAGAUUGCAAGACUCAGUCACAACGUAUCCACGUCCCUUUCCAACAUUCCUGCGGAGAAGAAAACAGGCGUGCGGAUUUCCUGACAAUCUCGGCGUUCAAUCAAAAAUACAUCUGUGACUUCUUGUGAUCAACAGCCUGUUGGACUAAGGCCCUUACUCUUUGCAGACAUUUUAGGGGUUAACCGGGAAAGAUGCUGCAGUUACCUAUUUUAUGUUUAUGUAAAUAUUUGAUACUUUCUAUUAUUUCUACCCAAAAAAAAAAAAAAAGGGAUCUGUAAGAAGUGACUGGGGGAUCCUGCCUCCCGGCCCUCGUGGAUUCUCCAUUUGUCGUCUCCAUCGCUGACUUAAACUCCCCAUCACUCCCAACUCAGUAUCCAACCAUCAAACUACUGAAACUAGAGAAUAUUCUAAAUCACCGCUCAUCGACUCCAAAUAUCCUACUGCUAUAACAAAAAUGGUCAAAGCAAAUCCAAAUUCUCCUCCUCCUCAACCACCAUUAUUUGCCGCCAUCUUCGUUGACCUCAGAAGCGGUUUCUGUUCCGAAGCUAGAAUCUACCACAGCCUUAUGUUCUGUUUGAUAAAACUGAAUCUGAAUUCUGAAAUCUGAAUACUGAAAUACUAAUUAAUUUGCUGAAUUUUAAACACUGAAAAGAAAUAUGUGAAUGCCUGAAUUUUAAUGCUAAACCUAUUUAUAUUGUUUGAUAAAUAUUUAUAACUGAAUGCUUAAUAAGUUAAAUUUGAUAAUUUUGCCCUUAUAUCUUUUCAUCCAAAAAAGAAAAUAGAACCUAUAAUUUAAUUAGUUAAAAAUGUUAGGUGUGAAAGUGACAAUAUUUAUUUUUAAAUCAAAUUAAUAUAAAAGAUGAAUUAUAUUAUAUGAGGAGUACGGAGAAGAAGUAAAAGUUAUUUAAAAGAGACAAAAGAGAAAUAGAAAAUUAUUAAAUAGAGAAUAUUAGAUUGUUUAAUUAUAUAAGAAUUUUGACUAUAAUUAAUAAAUAAGGGUAAAUUUGAUAAAUAAGAUAAGAUAGUUGAAAUAAUUCUAUUGAUUCUUAUCAGAAUUAAACAUUUGAUUAGGAUUCUUGUGCUGAAAAAAAUAUAUACAAGUUCAGUACUACCUAACAAUUUCAGCAAAUAAAUUUUCAUUUAUCAAACAUUCAAAUCAUCUUAAUAUCUAAAAAAAUUCAAAUUUAACGCUUUUUUGUGUUAUCAAACGUAACCUUAGACCCCGUUUUUCCUUUCCCCUAUAACGACCCCUCUCUCCUUCACGCCCUACAUCUUUACUUUUCUCCACCACCAUCCACCCACCUCCACCGCCGUUGCACUCCUAGUCCUAGACACCACCAACCACCGCCUUCUUCUCCACUCCCAACUCCAAUCCCGUCAAAUCCUUAGCUUCUUCUCUCCAUCAUGAAUUUGGGCUCUCCAGAGGGGAUGCGGCCUUCAUUCUCUCAACUAAUUCGUCCCAAAUUCCCAUUCUUUAUAUCUCUCUGUUCCUCCAAUUCACAUAUCUCAAUUUGACACGGCUGCGAUUCUCUACUCGUCGGGGACUGCCGGACACUUUAAAGGAGAUCGACGAGAAAGACUCCGUCUGUGACCAUGUGUACGGUGCCUUACUUCCACGUUUAUGGGUUUCUGCUGUGUUUCAAAGAGGUGGCUUUGGGUGGGACCCUGGUGACGGUUCGAUUGAAUUGAUGGUGAGAAAGGUGGAGGAGUUUAAGGUUACGCAGUUGGCGUUGGCGCAGCCGGCGGCGGUGGCGAUGGUUAACAAUGCUGACGUUGCCAGAAAGUAUGACCUGAGGUCCUUAGAGUUGAUGCUCUGUGGCGGAGCUCCGCUGGCCAAUUCGGUGGUGGACAGGUUUAAGAGUGACUUCCCAAGUAUGCCCAUAGUCCAGUUUAGUUACGGACUCGUAGAAUUGCAGGCUUAUAGCCUUGCCCAAUAAUCCAUGCCAUUAUGGAUUUAUGGUUAUGUAAUGGCAAUUUCUCAGGCACCAAAGCAACAAGUUUCCAAAAAGACAAUAUAGGUAUUUUCUUAUAGUAAAAUGCUGAUCUGGUAAGCGUUUAAAAGACCCUGAUAUGGCAAUGAUGUAGUGGAGACUAUGGCUUUAGGCAUAUGGACUUACUUACAGAAACGACAGGUGGAGCUACUCGAACCGUGGGUCCAGAUGAAAGCCGGGUACCGGUUCAGUAGGACGUCUGCUCUCAGAUUGCCAAACUAAAAUUGUUGCUCUCAGUAGGACGUCUGCCUCCUCUCGCGAAAGGCGAACUGUGGAUCAGAGGGCCUACCAUAACGAAGUGUGAGUGUUUGCCAUUUUACCCGUCAAUUUCGUGCCAAACAAGUGGCCCUUUUGUUGUCUGGAUUGAAUCUCACGCAUAAAUGUAGAUGGUAUAUGGGGUGAAUUGUGGUUUGCAAAAAGGGGUAGCUCAAUUUGGUGCAGGAUAUAUGGCUGAAAAAGAAGCAACAGCUGCAAUGUUGGACCCUGAGGGAUGGCUAAGAACUAGUGACAUUUGCUAUUUUGAUCAUGAAGGCUUCCUAUUCUAUGUGGAAAGGAUGAAGGACUUUAAUUAAGUACAAGGCUUACCAGGUUUCUUCCACAUUUGCCAUUCUCAGUUCCUGAGCUUACAAAUGCACAAAGCAAAUUCAUGGAAUCCGCUAUUCUAUUUCUGCCUGAGAAAAACUUGUUUGCUCGUCGACCAAUGACCAUCCCGUCUUUGUGCAUGAUAUCAGGUUGCUCCGGCAGAGCUGGAAAACCUGCUGCUUUCGCAUCCCGAGAUCACUGAUGCUGCUGGGAUCCCGUAUGUUUGUUCAGCCUUCUUUUGCUUAUGUCUUAAGCGGAGUACUGUCUCAGUAGCAUCCAUGUUGAAGUCCCCUACUGUUAAUCUUACAGGUUUCCCUCAUGACGAAGCAGGCCAAAUACCCGUGGCUUUUGUAGUGAGAAAAUCAGGAAGCCUGAUUAAUGAGUUGAAGAUUAUAGGCUUUGUUGCCAAAUGGGCAUGCACCAAAAAUUACCUAUUCCGGAUUAAAGAGUGCAGAAUCGAAUCAGAUCAUUAUUACAGACACAGCAGAAUAGGAACAGUUGCUUUGAGUUGUGAGCACAAGCACAUUUGUUGUCCUUCUUGUCAUUUCAUUCCUACUCAUUAUUGGAUUUGCCUCUACGUUGCUUCAUACAAGAAAAAGUUGUUUUUCCUUGACUCAAUACCCAAAAUUGCUCCUGGUAAGGUGCUGAAAAAGGAAUUGAUCAAGCUCGCAACAUCAGUUGCUGCUUCCAAGUUAUCGCGUCAUUUGUCAUCUGGCAACGACGUUGCUGUAAUAUAUCAUACAUAAAUAAAUGCAACUGCCAAGGGAAGAAAGAAUUAUUUGCUCAGUGGUGACUUCAACAAUUACAAGAGUAGAUUAACUCCUGCUUUAAAACAGAUGUAAACAAUUGCCUACUUAGUGUCAACAAUGCAGUGUACUGCGUAAUGAUGAAUGCCGCACUUCAAACAAUUGCCUACUUAGUGUCAACAAUCCAGUGGACUGCGUAAUGAUGAAUGCCGAACUUCUUCUCCACAUGGAAAGUUAUCGUUUUUCUGGUUCUGUCAGCAGAGGGGAAAAAGAGAACAGCUACAAAUCUUCGUUAUAUGACGGCUACAAUCAAUUGAUCAUUAUGCUGAAUGACGUUCAAAUUCUUAAUAACCUUCAGCGAGCUGAAGGUGCUAACUACAACAUUUUGACUUGAGUCCCUAAAAUCAAUCAAUAAUACUAUGACAAGUUACACAGGAGCGAUUAUUGUGAAGUAGAUGCCUCCAAACCCAAAAGCUCGAUCCUGACUGAAAGAAGCACCAAAAGAUUCACUAAAGCUACAAGCUGGGAAACCUCCUAGAUAGAAAUGCUGUUGGGAAUACCACGACCAGUUACUCCUGGACCGGAAGAGGGUAGAAGCAGUUCAUAUGGAGGAAUACCAGCACCGCUUCGGUUUUUCAGAGCUAUAUUCCUGUUUCUUUCAUUUAUUGUCCGUUCUAUGUCCUCUAGUUUGGCUGAGAAGUUCUCAAAUAACUUCAGAACUUCAGGAUCCUUUAUUGAAGUACUUUGGACAUUGUGCAACUGGUGCAGGUACUCUUCAUCUGGAGAAUGAGUUGACAAGGUGUCCUGAACCGCCAUAAUUUUGGUGGCCUGGAGUUGAGUGGGCAAAGAUGACAGAAAAGUAUGCACAGGGUUGAGAAGAAACUUCUCAUAGGCGGGAUCACCUUCUCCUGGGAUGAGUUUUCGCAUCAGGGUUGGGCGGUUAGGUACAUACCCUCCAAAUGGAUACUGUCCAAAAUUUAUAGCUGCAUGCUGACCUGAAGCAACCCAAAUCAUAAUAGUUAAAAUACUAGACAGGUCUUCCUUGUCCCGAGGUUAGGCCACCAAGUCUCGUCUCUUUUUAUCGAAGUGGCCCUUGUUCUUAAUCUCAUUCCACCAGGCUUGGAGCUCAACAUCAGAAGUGAUGGAACUGGGAUCAGAAUAAUAGUGAUCCACAUAGGACGCUACCAAUUCUUUGAUGGCAGACCAAUAAGAAGUCCAUUCUGCUGCAUAAGGAUAGUCUUCAAUCGCAAGUUUCACACCACAUGGCAUUGAAGGAUCCUCCACAGCCAUGCCCUGAAAUUCACAUGAAUUAUAAAACAGAAUGUGACGAACUAUAUGCAGAAUAGGAUGAAGAUGGAAAACUUUUUGAAGUUGGAGAGAUGGACAGAAAGGCAUGGCAUGCAUAAAGACCGACCUCCUAACUAAAUCUGCUGGCAAUGCUUCCGUGUCAAAUCGCCACAAGCUCUUAUAAGCUGCAGAGCUUAUUUCCAUGGAAUACUUUCCUGGACUAAAACAAGCUUCAAUUAUUCCACCUCCAUUUAUUAGACCUUGUCUGGCAAGGGCAUUAAUUUCCAGUGUGUAGCGCAUAUGAGGAUGAAGCAAUUUGUAUAUUGGAUGCAUGGAGCUGAGCUGCCUAUGGGUGGCUAUUAUGUAAGGCUCCAUACAGGCAUGAGUCCUCAACCUGAAGUUCCAUUAUAGCAACAUUAGAUCCAUCUUGGCACGUUGGAAAAAAGAUAACAUUCAAAUCAAAUCUCACAUUCGGUAAUCCUGUAAUUACAUAUGGCGAAGCAUUCUCCAACAUUUAUUAGAGUUCCAGGAAAUUUUAGUGUUGAAUGCCUCAACUCAAAUCAACAAAAGUCUUGGUCCAUAUGAUCCUACAUAAGUGAAUGGCGAACUGAAUAAUCUAAGAAGAAAGUGGUUGAAGAACUUCAUAUUGAUGGCCACAAAAAUAUUUUCCCACAUAAGAAUUUCUGAAACAUUUAAAGAUAAGAAAUUUCUCUUACCAAUGGUUUACUAAUUGAUGGAUGCCAGCAUCAUUUGAGCAAACAUGCGCUUUAGCUUGCUUCCAGAUCCAAUGAGUGGUAGCAUCGUGGCCAUGGACAAAGACAUGCUUCUUUCUUGGUGAAUUAGAUGAGGGAGGGAGAGAAAGCUCAAUUAUGAUUGGCCUUAAAAUGCCAGUAGGAGUGUAGAAAAAAAUGGUUCUGGAGGCAUAAGCUUUUCUACCAGGCAAUGAGUUCAUCCCCUCAAUAAAAGGCAGAAGCAUAUCAUGAUAGUCAAGUAUGAAGAGUCUCUUGUCCUCUAGGGCCUGUGACAUGCAAGCCAAUGUAAGCUAGAACAACUUUCUGAAGUAAAUACUAGUGACAGGUUUUAGAAAAGCUACGGAAUUUUGUUUUUGGUACCUUCUCAACAGACAUUCCAAACAGCUCUUGUUCGAUUAAUUCCCUAGUAAUUGCAGACUCUGGGGGGCCAUAAACUGCAGGAUCCAGUUUGCUCAGAAUUGGCAGUUCCUGUAGAUUAGACGCAUCAUAAGUGAACCAAGAACUGACAAGAUUUACUCAGAAAGGUCUUAGAACUAUAGAAAUGCUACCUUGAGUAGUUCAAUAUUAACAGGAUUAACACCUGCCAGUGCCUGUCUUGCAAACUCAUUGUCACGUAACCAUGCAAAUCGGUCCCCUGCAAACAGAAAUAGCAUAAUAUCCAAAACAAAAAGUUACUUGAAUAGAGUCUCCAGGAAAGCAUACUACAGAUUUUCAACAGAAUCAUUGAAAUGGCAGACUGAAUUCUACAACCAAAUAUAUUCAUGAAGCAAGGGGUGAGAAGGAUACAUAAGAUAAAGAAGAAAUGGUAAGACUCGUACGUUUUAUAACAGCUGGAAUUUCAUACUUCAGCAAUCUUCACCAACUGUAAAAACUUGAUUCAUCAAAUUGGUUAGAAACUGAUUCUUUAUGACAUCUUUUUGGUCUUCAUCUUUCAAUAAAACACCAUCAUUGUAAAGCUUGUCUAUCUCUGAAAAACAAGUGAAGGGGUUGUCUGAACUUGACAAGGUAGACGAAUCAAUGGUAUCAGGUUGUGCAACAGAGCUUUCAACCUUCCAGCUGAGAAUGUAUUUUGCUUGAUCUCCUCAAAGGCUUCAUCUCGAGGAACAUAGAUUGGAUGAGGUUUCUCAAUCCUACUUUCACUCAAAGGAUCUGUUUUAAGUGUCAUACAAUAAACUCGCCAAAAUUAAAUAUUGCUGAAAAACUAAAGCCAAAAAUUUGGUCAUCGCAAUGUAUAAAGUACCUUUCUUAGUUGGGCGUCUGCCAGUUCGACACCGCCUAGGAUAAGGCUGCUCAUUGCCACCUAAGGAGGGCCUAGCUAGUUCAUCACUCUUAUCAGGAUUACCCAAAUCAUUGUAAGGAGCAUAAUCAUAUAUUCUUUCAUGCAUUUUCCUCUCGCCUUUACCAUUACCACGAAUACUCAGCAAGUCUUCACGACGAAGAUCCUUAAUACCAUCAGGUGUUUGAGAUGGCAAGUAUGCCUGUCAGGCAAACAUGCACAGGACUUGUCAAACCUGUACUAGUUACUUCAGCCAUAGACAUAAUCUUGACAAUAAGUUGCAAACCUGAUUUUUGAAGAUGAUUCUACUCUCAGGAUUAUCUUUUCGAGAAUGGAUCCAUGUAUUUGCUGGAAAGAAUUGAGGCUCUGACUAAAAUUAUGCACAACAAUCUCCACCAAGUAGAACUCUUUAUCAAGGAAAUUCGUAAUGAGAAUAGCUCCGGGACGCCCAAAAUCAUUUGGCACCCUAAAAUUUGCAGCGUAUUCAACAACGAAUGGAUGGUUCGAUGGCUUAGGAAAUCCCCUAACAUAAGACUCAGCGCUCUUUCCUGACCUGGUAACUAUAAGGCCACAGAAAAAGAAAAGUUCACUAACUCCAUAGAGAUAGCAUAAAGGAAGCACAUUUAUCAAUAUGAAACAACAUAAUUCAUCUUUUAAUGGUUCAUUUUGAUAGUUUAAUUUGAUCUCAUUCAGAAUCCACGAAAACCAAAGAAAUGCAUCGCAUUCGAACUUCUUAAGAGCACCACCCCCCCCCCUCCCCAAAAAAAAAGGCAAAUGCAAAAGAAAAAUAGAAAGAACGAAAAGGGAGAGACAAAAACUCAGCCCUCUCGUGUUUUGUACUAUACCACCUUGGCUAUAUUUGAGGGAAGCUUGCGUACAGUUGGACUCACCUCACUAGCAGUAGCAAAAAAAAGUUGUGACCCUUUAAUUUUCCUAAGGUUUCUCUUAUCAUAGACACAGAGACUCAGCAAGAUAACGAACUAUAUAUAUUCUUAGGUUUGAAGAACAAAAGUUUUUAUCAACCAAGAACUAAGCUUACUGGGAUCAAUAUCUUCACUGAUGAGCUGAAGCAAGAUUCCUCUACCAAUCCCGUUCAUGAAAGAUUCCCACUGAUCUUCCAACUUGUCGGUGAUAUUCUCCUUCAUCUUCCUCCUUAUGGUGACCGCUGCCCUGACCUCCAUGCCUCCACUUACUGAAGAAGAAGCCAACGACCCAUUACUUCCUUGCGACUUCUCCACCAGCUUUGCACCCUCACUGCUGAUCACUGUUCUUAUGGAUUGGUGCUUUGACUGGACCGUUGACUGGAAACCAGGAACAUUAUUGGCUUUUUGUCUAGUAAACCCGCCAAUCCUUCGACCUCCUCCGGUGAUCGUCUCCGAUCGACGGACGGUGGGGACAUGUUGGAUGGUUGAGGAGCUUAGAGUACAUGGGCUUGGUUGAGCUGUAAACAUCGCUGGAAAUGGUUUCUGGUCAAUUGGUGAGUGAAGCAUAUGACUAGAAAGUAGAACUAAGUGUAGGACCAGAAGGCAGAAAUACUAGCACGAAUAGAUAGGAAAAAAUUGUCUUGCACUUGAUCCGGUAAGAGUAGAAUUAGUAGUAAUUAAUUUGUGGUAGUAAUUUUAACUUGUUAAUUAAUUGCUUUCUCCAAGUAGAUAAGAGCUUUUAAUGCUUUGAGCCCAAGCGUAACGUAGGACAAAGGUCGGCAGUUGUCACCAACCACCCACCGACGUAAGAUCCUUGGUUAAGGCGGUCAACGGAUUAAGGCAGUAAUGGUGGACUAAAAUACUACUACUAGUGCAUGGAUAUUAAUUAGGCUUCUACUUUUGUUGUCUUUCGUCUAGAAUUCUUUUUCAUAUUGGUGGGCUAGGAAAUAAGGAAGAGGGAUUGAUGAUUCUCGAACGAUGUUUUGAUUUUUGAAAAGGAAUUCAAUUAUGUGCUCCAUUUUCGGCAGUUUUUCUCAAUAGCCAUUGUGAAUGUGUUCCUCAACCAAAAAAAAAAAAAAAAAAAGGCCAUUGUGAAUGUGUAAAUGCGUAAUCCUUGACUGCAGAUGUAUUGAAAGGAACUAGCAUGCAUCGCCCGUAUAUUUUACUGCUACUGCAACUAAAAUGAUCAGCUGAAGGACUAGAAAGACAGGUGGUGGAUGCUAUAAUUAAAAGGUACUGUCAAAUUUUUCAUUUUUGUGUGGCAUGAGAUGUGGUUGGACGGGAGAGGGAGGGUCUCGGCCGGGAAAGAAUUAGAUUAGUAACACACUAACACCUCAGCUCUCUUUCUUGGAUUGGGAAAGAGCUUCAAUUUUCAAUUCAAACUUUGGAUACGGAUGAAUGGUACAUUAUGGCAUCAGAGAGCUGCAACUUGGAGCAGGGCUGGGGAAUGGGGAGGGGUUGUUGGUUGAAGAUGGCUCUAUGACACGUUAAGGCACUUGGGACGUGUUUUUUUUUUUUUUUUUCAAGUGAAAGGUUUUGAAUCGAAACGUUCUAUUUAGAUUCUGCCUUCCUUAUCAUUUAACAAAAUUUUUUUUAUUUGUUCAUUUUUUUUUCUUAUUAUAUGUAUAAUAUUUGUGUCCAGGACAUGAUCGAUUAUUUCACGAGUAAAUUUUAUUUUUUGUUUCCAUUAAAUGUCUAAUUGUGUGCUGCAUUCAUAUGAACAAGAUUAGAAGUGAAUUGUUUAAUUGCAUGAAAAAAAUAUUGACAUGUGAAUUUUGUAAGGUCAAGAGAGGUACGUAUAAUAUUUGUUUUUAGGUAUAAAAACUUUUUAUUCAUCUAUUUUAGUUAGUUUACUUUAUUUUAUGCCCAUUUCGAAGCCAGCUGCUCAUUCAAGGCUGUGGCUUUUUUUUUUUUUUUUUUAAAUUAUAUUCAUGCAACAUAAAAAAGGAAAAUGCUGUCUGCAACAAUUUCUUUAUAUCAACAAGGGCCAUGUGACACGCAUGGCCACCUUAGGAUGUUCAGCAUUUCUUUUUUUCAUUAUUAUGAAGUGGAACACCAAGUUCUGACAAUCGUAACCUCUUUGUAAUAUAAUAAUAUGGAUAUCUGCAGUCUUACGUGGAUCUUGAGCAUUCGCAUGUUGUAAUGUGAAACAAAAAUGCCAUCUUUAAAUUAAUUUCGUACAGCUGUUCAGCAAGUACGAUUUGUCUAAUUAAAAAUAUUGAACAUGAUAAUAAUGGAAAGGGUAAACGGCACGCAAGUCACCAAAUUAUUGUGAAUUUCACGUUUUAAUCACUAAAACUUUUUGAUGUAGUCAAAAAUGAUCAUUCAACUGCUAAAACCUUGCCUCCCAUCAACGUGCCUCAAUACGAGGAGUGUUCUAAAUUCAUGCGGGUGAGUGGUACAUCCGUCUGGUCAGAUGGUGGUUAAGUCCCCGUCAGGUUCCCCGACUCAAUUGAUCCACUCCCUAGAGUCGCUUCCCUUAAAAAGUAAGUCCCUCUCUAGGAGUAGGAGUAGGCUAGGCUAGGCUAGACUAGGUUAGAAGUUGCUGCUAGUAAAAAAAAAAACUACUAAAAUAUUCACAUCACAACUCAUAAAAACACCAAAUUAUUUUUGUACUACCAGAAGAAUUUUUGCAUUGGACAAAUCGUUGAUUAAAGUCCCUUUAUGAAGGCACAAACCGGAAGAGGGGUAGGAACGGUUGCAUGCCAGUUCAUGGCUAAGAUUUGAUCAAAAAAUUAUACAGUUUAAAAUUCAUCUUGCACCUCGUUUUUAAUGACAUAUGUGAGACUCAUAAAAUUUUGUUAUCAUAUUAUUAAAAGUAAGUUACAUCACGUGCAAAUAAACUUACGUCGUGUGUAAAAAUGCACAUAAUCUUCAAGAACGAUUGCGCCUGCAACUGUUGCUGCCCCUGAUCGAAACAAACCCGCCACCCGAAUGGACCGACCUCCUUUUCUUCAUUUUGCUAUAGGACAAGGGCAAUAAUACAAGACGUUGCAGGUCUCCAAUUCACCAUCAUGUGUAAUCGACAAGUAAUGAUUAAUAAAAGACAAGUGAGAAAGACGACCGCCAUGCCCUAAACCUAAUGAGGUUGAAGGAGUCUUCUCAACUCAACAUUAUGAUCAGCAACAUUACUGGACUCCAUCAACGUGUGUCACCCUCGCUCAAAGCCAUUGUGGAGAAUAAAAGUGACAGCCCCCCUAGCCCACCGAGAACAUUUAUGGAUGCAUCAAAGGAUAUGGGUUCUAACGGUUUUCAGGAAAAUCGUUCGAACUAAUUUUGUAUAAAAUAUACAGGAUAUAACUUUAAAUACAUACGAUAUAAUUCACUUUUAAUAAAUUAUUGAAAUUAUAAAACAAAAUUUUAUAAAUUCACAUAUAAUGUGAAAAAUGAUGUACAAUAUAUAAUAUAGAUCUUAUUAUUAUUAUUAUUUUUUUGCCAAAGUUUGGCCAUGAACAUUCAACCCCCUUCAACCGUUCCUAUCCUGCACCAAAGAUCAUCCUAUGAUAUCCUCUAGUUUUGUACUACCAGAAUUGCUUUUAGGCGUAGGCGAGUGUGUGUGUGUGUGUUUUGCAAAUACCCCUUCCACUGCGGGCCAACAAGCACUACAAACGUUUGCAUCCAAGCAUCAAUUCGGCUACACCACUCAGUGGAAAGUGUUGUCAUCUUUACGCACAUUCUUGAGCUACGUUUGAUAGACUGCAAGGUAGAUUAGUGGGAAGUAUAUUAAACAACAUUUAAAAAAAAAAAAAUCAAUUGUCAAAUGUUUGAUGACACUUUCCCAAAUGUUAGUGUUUUGGACGAAAUUGCGUCAAUAAGAGACAUUGACAGAAAAAGUAGAAAUUUCUUUUGUGACGCACAAAUGGUUGCCAUACUCGCACCUAUUAUUGACGGCGUUGUCCAUCAUAAAGCUACCCCAACCCCCCCCCCCAAAAAAAAAACCUCCAAAAAGUUUGGCCUACGAUCAAAUCUUUAGUAAACAAAAGCCCUGCAUUUUCCACGUUACAUACAUUCUUGGCUAGACAACAUCAAGCACAUGUAUGGCAAUUGAAUCAUAGUAAACUCCGACUCCCAGAGUUGGAUCGGCAGAAAAAAAAAAAAAAAAAAACACGUUUCUUUCCGUGUACAUACAGGAGUGAUAAUCGAAAGUCAAAGUUUUGUUUGAUACCAAAUUUUUGGCAGCAAAGAGGAUUUAUUUUUGUUUCCUAUGACUCUGGUAAAUCAUUAUAGCUGAAAUGACUAAGCUAUAGACUGUAGAACAUAAAAUGAGUACAGCAUAGUUGUUAUUUUGUUGAAGAUGGCAAAAACUCCUAGAAGAGAAAAUAAUUCCGAGAAAGAGGAACAGUUUUAGCAGGUGGGCAUGUCAGGUUUACACCAUCAGCUGUCACUAUGUAGGUCUCUGGAUCGACUUUGAUAUCUGGAAGGGCAUCAUUGAGCUUCAUGUCAAGUUUCGUGAGCCUCCGGACGCCACUUACAGCUUUCACCCUCUUCUUCAGUCCAUACUGGUCUUUUACUCCAAUCUAGAGCUGCCUGAUUGCCCAGAACAAUAUAGGGGUUAACAUGCAUAUAACAAAAUGGAGUAGACGAAAGAUGGUGGUAAAAAUAUGUACCUUGCUAACAAAAGCAAUUGAGUUGUCACUUCCAGCCUUGCCAAAUGCUCCAAACAUUGGCCUCAUCAUGACCUGUAACAAGUUCUUGUUAAUGCAACAAACAGAACGAGUUCUAUCAUAGCGGAGAAACUUGAACAAAAUCCCUGCAUUAACAAGGCUUUGAAAUAUAUCAUGGAAGGGCACUCAAGGUUAAUUUGAAUUUUCACCGACUAAUACUCCUUCAGGCACAUAACAUGAAAAGUAAAUUACUUUAUGACGCCGUACCAGACAUAUAGAUCUGAAAAGCUAAGACAUACAUAUCAGUACAAAAGAUGGUGAUGAUAUAUUUUACCGGUUCAGGAGUUGGAAUGCUGGCAUUUGGAUCCCCCAUAUUAGACCAAGCAAUUGUGCCACCUUUGAUCACCAUUUCUGGUUUUGCCCCAAAGAAGGAAGGCUUCCAAACAACAAGGUCAGCAAAUUUCCCCACCUGCACCACAUUAAUAUCAUCACAUUACCAAUAUCACAAGAAUAGAAAUGCCGAAACCAAAACAUCAAAUUGAUCAAUGAGCUGAUAUCUUCAAACCACCGAGACAGAGAUGCACUGCUAGUGGCUCUUGCCAACUUCUGAUCAAAGGAAAUGCAAUUUGUUGCCAACCUUAGGUCAUGUUUCCUGUCUGGAAGUUGGUAGGUGAUAUCCCUCACAACUCGUUAAUUACAAUGUCUACUGUUUACAUUGUAAAGCCUCAAACUGAUUUUUCCAUAGAAGAUCCAAUGUAGUACAGAACUUCCACAAAAGUUACCUAUCAAACUUCCUCAUAAAUCCUAAACAUUGCCCUUAGAAUCCUGUACCUAUGGCAGUUAAAAUGAAAAAUUUCACACGAAGUGAAAUGUCAAAGGCUUGUGAUCCUGCAGACAAAAGCCAAUUACUGCAGAUAACAGAUUUCACCCUCUAAGAGCUUGAUGUUUUCCAUUGCCUUUAGAUUCUCUGUUAUAUCAUUCACUCAAAAGCUCAUUAAAAAGCUCAACAUUUUUACACUCAACUAUUCUACAGAACUAAUACAGUCACCAUACCUCAACUGAUCCAACAUGCUCAGAAAAUCCAUUUGCUACUGCAGGAUUUAUGGUGUAUUUGGCGAUGUAUCUUUUGAUCCGCAAAUUGUCAUUGUUUGAUUUGUUACCCUCAAGGGAUCCUCUUAAUAACUUCAUUUUGUGUGCAGUUUGCCAUGUCCUGCUAAUUACCUGCAAAAAAAGUUUGGCAUAAGACAAGUAUCAAAAUCCAAAAGAUGUCUAUGGCAAAAAAUAGCUAAGGAACUCACGAUGCAGUCUGAGAAAGCUAAGUCUCUGUAGUUAGUCCCAAGCCUAAAUUAAGCUCCUUAAACUGAAGCAAUUGCAUUUCCACUAAGAAAGAAAAGCUAAAAAGAUUUUUCAGCUUUAUACUUUUACUUUGUCUCAUGGUUUUUAUCUUAUCUUCAUAACCAAGUGAAGAUAACCAAGUGAGAGAGCAAGAAGACUGUAUAGGGAGAUGAUGCAUCAAUCUUGUAAAUUCCAGGCCGGAAUUCUGAAAACAUCCAUGAAAACAGGUUUUCACCAGAGUUCAGAGACAGACACACACUCACACAUAUAUGUAUACGUAUAUCAUUCAUUUUUUAUGACGUUACUAAACCCAGAUGGCAGUGCUGGUAGCACAACUUUACAUACGAACAUAUGAGACUAGAAGAAACUAUAACCUAAUUGCUGAAAUGAGGCACUAGAUUAUGAGCCCAAGUGUUUGUCUUGAGGUGGACGCUUUUACAUCAGUUCUAAUCAACAAAAGAGAACACAGAUCAUAUAAUGAGAAGGCAUUUAAUGAAUAGAACCGUUAAAAAUGUUCAGACUACAAUAGGGAGAAGCUGAGUGAGAACCUCAGCUAUACGACCCAUAGCUUGUGAAUCAGAUGAUAUAAUGCUAAUAGCCCCCAUAUCAUGCAAAAUAUCUUCCGCAGCUAUUGUUUCUGCACGAAUUCGUGAUUCAGCAAAAGCAACAUCCUCUGGAAUAUCCUUAUCAAGGUGAUGGCAAACCAUCUGUACAUAGAACCAUUUUUUAGAAAUCAAUUAUGUACUACAUCCUUUUCCUGUCAAAGAAUCACUCUUUUCAAAGUUUGUUUAUAUUAUUGUUAUUUUCCUUACCAGCAUAUCUAGGUGUUCAUCAACAGUAUUUGAUGUGUAAGGACGUGUUGAUUAGUUGAUGAAGGAAGAACAUUCUUGACACCACACACUUUGAUAAUAUCAGGCGCAUGUCCUCCACCAGCACCUUCACUGCACAAAAUUGAGACAUCCAUAGGUGAUUAUGCAAAAAUGCAUUAUUUCCUUAAUUAUUCUUAACUAAAGAGAGCCAAUGUGCCCCAAUCAAAAGCUUAUACCUGUGGUAAGUAUGAAUUGUUCUAUCUUUAAAAGCAGCAAUUGAGUGCUCCACAAAACCAGACUCAUUCAAUGUGUCAGUGUGGAUAUUCACCUGUCAAGUUGCAUAAAUAGUGAUUAGAAGUUCAAUAACUAGCCUAAAGAAGAGUCGGUUACCUGAAUGUCAUGUUGCUCGGCAACAGUCAAACAAUUGUCUAUUGCAGCAGGAGUAGUUCCCCAAUCCUCAUGAAGCUUUAAACCCAUUGCUCCAGCCUUGAUUAUUUCAUGUAGGCCAUCUGCCUUUGCACUAUUUCCCUAAAGUUUCAAGACCAAAUCACGAAAUGAAUGAGAUAAGCACGAACAUUCUCCUACUUGGAACAAGAUGACAUGCAUAAUCAAUGCGUCAUCUGAAGAGAACUGACAAAGAACACGCACUUUUCCUGUGAAACCAAAAUUAAGAGGUAAAUCAUCUGUUGAUUGCAACAUUAAUUUCAUAUGUGAUGCCGCUGGUGUACAAGUUGUUGCACGUGUCCCAUCUGCAGGUCCUGUUCCACCUCCUACCAAUGUUGUGAUACCUACAAGCAUGGUAGAGAGUUGUACCAAACACAUGUUAGAACCAUGCUCCUCCUCUCUAAGGACAAAAAUGUAUAGAUGAUCUAACUCUAUUGAGUUUUGCUUCUCUUAGGACUAGCUUUUAACAUUCAGAACAGCAAUUAUAACAACAGAGUAUACAUAAAGCCGUGGAUGCCAAUUGCCAAAGCAGUAUCUGCAUAUAAUCAAAAUCAAAUUAAAGCAGAUACAUAUUACAGAAGACGUCGAUGUCCAAUUUGAUACACUUCUACACUGAAUGGUAGGAUUGAAUAGAAGGUUUAAUGUAAUGCAUAAAACCUUUGUAUUUAUGGCAAAAAUCCUGAUCAUUGAACUUAGCUUUACUCAAUCUACAGUUGCUGCAAUUGUCAUGAUUUUAUUGUCAAAGUUAGAUAAACACAAUAAGUGCACAUGAUAACAAAGAUCCUGUAAACUUUAAUUAACAGUAGUGGUGGUAAAAGCAGUCAAGAACAUCCUUUCUACACCACCAAGAGAGACAAAGAAGAAAAUGAGAGUUUAAAGUUCUUCGAUCAUGUUAAAAGUAUUUAAUUCCAGUACCUUAUCAGUUGACCAAAAUAAAAAGAUUAGUUUAUCAUGGCUUGAAAUCAAGUGUAAAGUGCAUCACUACUACAAGUGAGCAGAUUUUUCUUUUUCUUUUUCUUUUUUUAUAAAAGGUAAAACAGAAUUGUGAACAUUUAUCUCUCUAACAAGAAAAGAAACUGAUUCUCAUGGAACUAGAGCAGAAAAGGCAACAAAAACAAAAUUUCAUCAAUAAUAGUCACAAUUUCUUAAGAGCAACAUAAACACAUUUUUGUUAAGCACAAGCAGCACAUCAUCAUGAAUAGAAACAAAGACUUCUCAUAACUAUGAUUUUCUAGGAUAUUCAAUAAGCACUAUGAAAGGUUUCCCAAGGAUGUUCUGAGAAUAUAGCUCCCAAAUUUCCAAAUGAUGAACACAUAUAUGGAAUCUGUAGUAAGCUACCUUGUAAUUGUCAUCAUUGAUCUUAUCUCGCACAUUUACAUUUUCAAAACUUGGAGAAAAUAAUCAGGCGGGGUAGAAAAUGUAUAUUCUCUUACUGACACUUUUUUUACGGCAUCCAGAAGAAUUAUUAGCAUACAGUACCCAUCUGGACAUUAAAACUUCAGUAAUCUACCAGGUGAAACAAGAGGUCUACAUCAACUUUAUCAGAGGUAUUAAUAUAACAGGCAUGAAAAAGCAAAAUAAAGUCAUAAAACUUUAAGCUGUUUGGCUCUCGUAUUCAUCAUCAUUUGUUUAAUACUGAAUUCAUCAAAGUGAAACAGUUGAAUUUGCUUAAAGUUGCGUAAAUCUCACCACUUGAUAUUGCCUCAAAAGCCAGCUGAGGGCAUAUAAAAUGCACAUGACAAUCUAUAGCUCCAGCUGUUACAAUAAAUCCUUCACCAGCAAUAACUUCAGUAUUAACCUGAUCCAACAAAGAAAAUGUUAAGUCUUCAAACUUAAAAAGGUAAUUACACCUUGAACAACACUGCAAAGAGAACAGCUUGAACUCACCCCAAUAAUCAUCUCUGGAUACACUCCAUGCAUGAUAUCUGGGUUGCCUGCUUUCCCUAGUGAUGCUAUGAAACCAUCUUUAAUUCCGAUGUCAGCCUUAAUAAUACCGGAGUAGUCAAUAAUUACUGCAUUUGUUAUGACAGUAUCCAAACAGUCAAUGGCUGCAUAACCACAAGCCUGUCCCAUUCCAUCUCGCAGAACUUUGCCACCACCAAAUACACACUCAUCACCAUAAACAGAAAAAUCUCUCUCUAUUUCUGCAAAUAAAUCAGUGUCACCAAGCCUAAUUUUAUCACCAAUUGUGGGCCCAUACAUGUUGGCAUAGGUCUCAUGUGAUAGUUCAUAAGAAAAAGGGGAUCCUUCUUCAAUGACACCUUCACUGCAAAACCAGUUCAAUUUUCAAAAUAAGCCAUCUUUACUACUUCUAACAAUCUCCACGGAUUGCAAUUACUCAAAUCAAGAAAUUCAGAGAAAAGGAAAUUUUAUCAGGCAUCCUAUUCAAGCAGCAUAACUCAGGCAAGCAAAAAACUUUGUCCAAAGCAGAGUGAUAUUUGAAAAGACAAAUGAAACUUGGGAAGCUGCCCAGACCUCGAAUUUGGUUCUUCAAGAUGCUUACAUGCUCUCUCUUGUAUGGCAUCCAUCAAUGGUGUCAUAUUGGCAUUAUGAACUGGACCAUCAGCAAUUCCAUUUCCUCCCCUAAUAACUUGUUUACCUUCUAUUCUGACAAGGGUAACAGUUUUUGUGUCUCCUGGCUAGCAAAAUAGAAAACUUUUUGUUAUAAACUUGCUAAAUUUGGACACAAGUUUCAAAAAUGACACAAAUUACAUGACAAUCAGCAUUACACACACGACAAACAUGAUGACAAUAACGAAUGCAUAAAGAUGAAUAAACUGAAGAAUAUACAAGUGGAAAGAAGUUCUCCACAAAUCAUUGGCACAAAUACAGUCAUUGAAGAUUGAAAACAAGAACUGCUCUCCAUCAUGUGCCUGAUGGAGAAAUGAAGCAAAUAACUCUUGCCUAGCAGCAUAGACAGGUCUCACUAUAUAUCAAGAAGCACUAAUUUGGAGUCAAUCAUAGAAAGUCAAUCUUAAGGUAGCUUUAAGAAAACUCUGGAGUUCCUUACACUCUGAAAAUAACACUUUUUAUGUAGACUAGAUAUCAGCCAUGGGGCUAACUCAUAUCAAAGAUUAACAUAUGUGCUUGUAGAGUCUCAUGCUGCAACUUCAAUGGAAAUAUCAGAAACAGUCAUUUCAAUUCUAACAGAAUCAAAACAUUUAACCUCAAAUCUAGUAGCUGUCCCUGCUGGUAUGUUCAACCGCAUUGCAUAGGCUUUCAUUCGGUCGAAAGCCAAAUAGGGGUUUGCCUCAAUAAAGUGAUAGUGGCUUCCAACCUGGAAAUUCAAGAACCACCAACUUUGUCAAUAUUUCUUCAUUAACUUCAAGUGUCAUUGCAACACUCUAGCAGCAUUUCUUGAUAUAGAAAGAAAAGCUUAAAGUAAUGAAGACAUGAUGUUGAAGGAUAGAUAUGGUCACAUCAUCCAUACAAUAGCUAGAAAUUCUCCAGAGAUUGGGUAUGUAUGUAUGUAUGUAUGUAUGUAUCUAUAUAUAUAUAUAUGCUUAAGCUAACACCUGAAUCGGCCUGUCUCCAGUGUUAGUGACUUGAAGCUUAACUGCUCUCCUCCCAGGGUUGAGUAUAAUGGAUCCACCUCCAAAGAUGAUCUCACCAGGGAUUUUACCAGCUUCUACAGGAGGAAACUUGUCCAAUGAAGGGACUGCAAAAUAGCACCUUUUAAAACAAUGACCCCCAGAGAAGAUAGUUCAUAAAAAAAUAUUUUCUAUCAAUAGUAAGAUGGAAAAUACAAGACUAAUAAAACUUGUGUUAAUAGCAUGCAAAGGACUUGUGUGAAAUUUAAGCAACAGAUAAAGCUGCCGACAUUAUACAAGUGCAACUCAUGGAGGAAUUCCAUGAUCAAAUCUCAGUUGCAGAUUUUUAACUUCAUGUAUCAUGAAAUAUAUCUUGAUAGUGUUCACUUCCAAAUUAAGCUGUUUUACAGCAGAGGGCUUUACCAACAAAGAUAUUAGAUAAAGACAUGAUUGAGUAUUCAAAUUUGUAACAUUCACAAGGAACUCCCCAUGAAUUCAUGGCAAUGUAAUCACCUGGAAGAAAGGAACCAUAUAAUGCAAGUUCCAGAUUUCCAUUUUCGGACACUAUGGAUCGUGAAUGGUGAUUAGUUUUGUUCCGUCAGGAAAGGUUCCCUCAACCUGUACUUGCAUUUACAAAGAGGUUAUGAUUCAGAAAAAAAAUUUUGCAGUCAUUGACCAGGAAAGGACAACCAUCAACAUCACUUCAGAAUCUACAAGAUCCACUUACCUGUACAGUGUUCAAGAGAUGAGGAACAGCUGGAAGAACUUGCCUCCUGCCAAAUUGAGCAGAAAAUAAAUAAUGCAACUAUUUGCUUCAUGAUUCUUGUCAAGAGUGGAAAACAUUGGUAUAAGUUUUCAGCAUUGAUGAUACAUAAUGUUCUACAUAAGCAAAAGCAUACAAAUGAAGCUGUUCCAUAUAUUCAGUCGAAUAUAGGCCUGUAGCCAGGAUGGAAAUGUGCAUAAUGUGAGUCAUAAAAAGAAGCUAUCUUUUUGUAUGACUCAUAAUUUGCACUUGUAAAUGAUCAUCCAAGCAAGCAACAGAACAAGGGAUAGGAAUUGUGUAGACAAAACAAACAAAGUGAUGAGUACCAGAUUUCCUGGCUACCUUCCUAAGAACUGUCUUCCAAGGUCCAUCAAUUCAGCCACACUCUUCUCACCAUCACGCACCAACUCGAGAAUCUAUUCAACCACAGCAAUGGGUAUAGAAUUAAAAAUAACUAAAUAAAACAACAAGAAUAGUCAUGACAGCACAAACUAUAAUUGGAGUGAUAACACAAGAAGCAGCUUUACAAAUCUCACAGCUCAAACAUUAGUGCGACCUCGCACAGAUAUAAUUUUUUUUUAAUGAAAACAAAAACAGGAAGCCUAAGGCUCUAGGCACUCCCAUGUUACCGUUAUAACAACAAAAUUAGCUCAUUGGUAAACAGGUAAGCUGAAUACAAAAAGUUAUUACAAAUAAUGUAUUUAUUACAGCGUUACAUUUAACAUUUCACAAUUACAUUUAACAUUUCACAAUUUAAAUAGUGCCUACAAUCGAUUCUGACAAAUAAGAAAUCCCAAAAAAAUGUAUUAAAACAGGGUCAAGAUUGGAGUGUCCUUAAAGUGGAAAGUCCAAAGCAAUUUGCUGAACACAUGACACGCAAAUGAAGAAUAAAUGGAAGAAGGGUUGGGUUGGGCUGGGGAGAAUGAAAUGGAAAUACCUGAGCAGCGAUGAGAGCAACGGCUUCGGUGUAAUUAAGCCUCUGGCCCCUAGCCAAACGCUUCUGGGCAAGCUGCCCUGCAUUGUGGAGCAUCAACUUGUCCAUUUCUCUGGGCACCAGCUUCAUCUUUUCCGUAGUCCCGCCCCGGCCUUGCUUUCAAAUUUAACAACAACUAAGACGACCCCACAAGGUUCAGGCUUUCUAUUUGUCUGACUGAAUCCUUAUCAGGAAAAAGAAAAAGAAUUUGGGCGGCGAGGCACAACUGCACAAGUCAACUGGCCUGGUUCUGCUUACUUGAUUCUCGGAUGAUUUUGUACAUGCGAUACAAGUCUACAAACAGCAACGAAGAAGCAAAGUGAUCGACAGUGGAUCAGUGCUGCCAAUGGGCACAAAUCACAAUGGCCUCGUACGGCGUCGUAUUUAACCACAGGGCUAUCCUCUCUGCUUCUCUUUCUGUCUGAUGCAUGGAUUCUUCCUUCAGUUCGCUUGGGUGGGUGGGUUGCGACUUGGGACAGGGAAUAUACACUUAAGCGAUUCUAUGGUGGCUCCCAGUGGAUCCAGUAGAUCACAGAAGUGGAAACCAGCAAAAGGGCAAAAGAAAAAGGUACGGGACAAAAAAGGAAGGCGUGAUAUUUAAUUGACGCCCGAAAUAUCACGCCUUCAGUUGCCCAGGCAUGGUGGUCAUUCCAAUUUCCAUGCUCGUUUACUCUUCCGCAGCUGAUUAUUAAUUUCUAACUAUUAAGUUUACCUUGUUGUAUUAAUUAGUCUUUCAUAUGUGCAGUUUUCUGCCUUUCACGAUGACUUACUCUUUUCAGGGGAGGGGGGUAAACAAAUAAAAAAGAGCAUGGGUUCAGAUUUGUUACGUACAUGCACAUUUUAGGUAGCAUUUCACCGCAUUCUUAAACAAGAAUUCAAUAAUUCAAAGAUGAUCGGAGGAGAUUUGAUGCAAAGCGGAUGAGGCGUCGCUUGCUGGUAGUCUUAUACCCCAUUAAACCGUGGAAGGUUGGUACCUUCUUCUUCUAAUCUAAACAAAUCAAUGCACUUGUUGGAGUUAAAAUAUGGUAAUUAUUUGUUAGUUUUAAAGUGGAUUAUGAUGGUUGCUAAAAGCAUGAAAGUGAGCAAAGGCCCGAACGAACUAAUUUGUUGAGGAUUGGACUUCUUCUUGAUCUAAAUUAGUUGAAGAAUGAGUCAGUCACAGCAGAAUACGUAGCAUACACUCACAAAAAUUUUCUUUUUUUUUUUCAAUUGCAGGAAUCCUUUGUCAUUAAAACCCUUUUCAACAUUACUUUUUCUGUCAAUAAUGUAGACAAUAACACAAUAAUUGAUGUAGACACUAAUACAAUAAGAGUAAAUCUUAUAUACACUGACAGUGCAUACACUGUCACCGCUGGAUCAAUGAUACUUGUGCAAAAAUUAAAUUUCAAAUUCAGAUUUUACAUAGUUGUCAUUCGUUCAAUACUAAUAGUGUAUGCACUGUCAAUAUAUGAAAAAAUAAUUCAUAUAGUAAAUAUAGACAAUAACACAUCAAAAAUAAUUUUUUUUUUUUAAAAAAAACACAACGAAUCUUUUGACACCUUAAAAGUGGUAUUUUACAUUUAAUCUCCACCAUUCAAUUUAAAAACACCUCAUCUCCACCUUUAACUAUAGCCUGCCGUCCACUGCAGAAGUCCCCGAUUCAUUUUGGGUACGGGCAAAAUGACCGUCGUCACAAACUUGAAUGAUUUAUGGCCUCAAAUUGGUCAACAGUGCAGAAGUUCAAAUUGGAAGGACAUGAGAACGUCGCUCCGAUACAAUUAAUGUGUAUGGUUCAUAUGAACAGUAGUCGAAUAAGGUGUAUAAAUUAUUUACAAAUUACAGUAAUGUGUUCAAAAACAUAUUAUUAUUUAUUGCAUCAAACACCCGAGCCAUUGGUUCUGUUCUAUGCUGACCGCCGUCCCAACAAAAGCGUAGUGCUAACCACUGGUUCUUGAUGACUUCGCCUUCCGACUUAGGAUGACGAAUACUAGAUUUUGAGCUGGUACCCUGCCAUGCAUAUUCAGAUGGAAGAUUGCCCUCGACGGCAACGGCUAUCAGCAUCAGGUUCGGCGCGGCCAAAAUGAAAUUGGCGUCGCAAAUAUGACUUCUUGGGUUCUCAGAUUCUAAGCGAUCGAUGUGCAUUACGCCAUGAAUUUCUAGCAGCCAACAGAGAUUCCUCAAUAAUUAAUUAGAAGAAUACCUAAAUAAAUGCUUAUCUGCAGAGUUUGUAGUCUAUGAUCCGUAACAUGCCAAAUUACCACAGGCUCUGAUCGAUCCCAUACUUGGAUCGCAUCCACUCAUACUAUAUAUAGUGCAUGGCUGCUGCGACAUUGAUGUCAGAUGAGAUUGUGGGCUAUGAUAGAUACCUUGUAAAAUGAAAAUUGUUCAAUUCUUGAACGCUACAUGAUUUGUUUGAGUUUCGUGCUCCAGAAAGGAUAAUAGUUCAAGAUAGAAACUUGCAACUUUUUUCUCUUCUUAGGCGGAGCCCAGAAACUUGCAAGUUGAUACGGGCUAUUACUAGCUACAAGUUGAAAGCAAUUAAUUUGCUGGUCAAUGCAGCUGGUUAGCCAUUCUUAAUUUGCCUCACUCUCAUAAUUUGCUGCUCUCAAUUUAAUAAUUGCAAUGCAUGUGAAGCUGGUUCUCGCUUCCCAGGUCUACUACUCAUUGGAAGUUCUGACCAUGCGAUGCGAAUCACAGACCAUGCAUAUGGAAAGAUAAUCAAGUUGUCGAUAAGGGAUGAGACUUUUACUGAGGAAUGGUACUGAUGUUGGAAGAAGCUUGUAGCAGAAUAACAAGAUUCGUUGAGACAGAACUUAGUCAAAUUUAAUUACUAAUAAGGAGAGCAGCUGAAGAAACAAUUAAAACUUAAACAAAGCAAGCCAUUCACUUGUGAUCUGAUUGCUAAAUCUAACUUUGUAAGAAAUUAAUUAUCUAAACUUAAAAGACAUUUAACUGUCUUGAUCCACCCAAGAGCCUGGGUUGCCAUUGCCAACACAUAGCAGCACUUUGCCAAAGCGUCUGGCAUUACAUAAUCGAAUUACUUAGCUAGUUACUGAUGUUUCCUGCAGUGGUCAAGUUUACACGUUUUAUGGAAUCAUAAAAAGAGGAAAAGGGCUCCUACCAAAAACAAGAAAGCGAAAAAAAAAAUUAAUAAUAAUGAUAAUAGGAGGAGGAAAAGGUCCAAAGGGGCGUUUGUGUUUGAUUUCUGAAAAGAUGUAAUCUACAGCUAAAUACACAAUUUGUCAACAAUACAACAAGUUUGUAUCAUUUCUUUCAUCGUUUUCACUUCGACCGCAGAAUUUCUUAAUGUUAUCUGCAAGCCUUUUUAUCGUACGCGUGAUAUUUUAUUAUUUGGAAGUUGGAUGGACAAAGAUGCUUGCAGGCCAAAUCCGGCAAAAUUCGAUCAGGAGCAGCCGUACUUUGUGUCCAUACUCCAUAGCAAGCAACCAGUCACCUUUAUUGUGCCAGCUAGCGGCCGAUUGCCGAGGGAAGUGCCGGUGUUGACAUAUGGUCUUAUAUCGUGAGUCUAUUAUGAUCCAUUCACAAAAGACGGAAGAAAAUAUAAGAAGUUAACUACUAGUAACCUUCUCCAAGAAACUAAUAUUCGUCACUUUAAAGUUUUAACCACUCCAUGUCAUAGCAAUCGUACUUUUUUACACUAUCGGUGAUUAAUUACAAAAUAUUCAUUUUGGAUUUUUUCUCAAAGAGAUUCAAUCCAUUCCUUUGUUCUUUGUAUAAGUUUCAAUAGUAUUGUACAAUGUGUUUUCUUAAAAGUUGCAGGUACAAAAUGCACUCUUUAAUUUGUCUAGACAUCUAUUCCUUUAAAAAAAAAAAUAUGCAUUAGGCGAAUGUGGUUUUUAUAAACUUUCACUAUUCGAGAACUUUUUCGAAAAACUAUCACCAUUUGAUCAUUUCUUCGUCACUAGUGAUGAAUUUAGAAACAAGAGAGUAUCCACCCACUCAGCUUAUUUCUAAUCUCUAAGGGUCUAUUAGUAGGCCAUGUUUUUAAUAGGAAUAAAUUUUCAAAAGUUUUCUCCAACUUUUACUACAGAAACUUGUAAAAACACCUUCUAAAUUUUAUAAAAAUGCACCCUAAAAUAUCCAAAAAAAAAUACACACCCAUUUUUCUGUUCUACCGCUACUUUCUUUCCUAACCAUUUCCACCUCCACCUACCUUCAUCCCCUUCUCACAUAGUCACCAUUGCUGUUAUCGCCACCUUCUUCCUUUCUUUCUACUUUCUCCCUCCCUCUACUUUUCCACUUCUCAUUCUUUUCUCUUCUUCAUCUAUCACCCCUUUUCGCCUCUCCCUUCACCCCCACCCUCCUUUCUAUCCCCCAUUUAAUCACAUGACCAGAGAGGAAGAGGGAGAGGAGGAAAGGAAUGGGUGAAGGAAGAAGGGAGGGAGGGAGUGGCGAGAGAAGAAAAAGGUUAAAGCAAGAGAAAGGGAAAGCGAGAAAAAGGGAGAGAGAAGAGAGCUAGGAACGACGGUCGUGAAGUUUUCGAUCGACGGUGUUUGAAGUAGUAAUAGUGAUAAAAAGGAAGAAGAAGAGAGGAAAUAAGAAUAAAAAAUUUCAAUUUAUUUACAAAAGUUUUUCUACAAAUUCUAUAGUAAAUUUUAAUAAAUUUUGUAAAAACAUCUAAAAAAUGUGCUAUCCAAACAGAUCAUAGAUAAGAAGCAAUAAUGUGCAAAGAAGGUGUACUUACUACUUGCUCGUUUGCUAAUUAGACAAAACGAAAAAUACAAUUCUAAUUAACUUUUCCUUGUAUUCGAAGUUAGAAAACUAAUUUUCCAAUCUAAGCUCUCCAAUUUUUCUUUCUCUUUCUUUUCUUUGUUAUUCAAACUCAACUUUACUAAGUUGCUUUGACUAGAAGGAGAAUUGGGCUUGUAUGCUCAAGCUCGCACAACAUUGUGGGUAUCAAUUGCAUUUAUUAUAUAUAUUCAUGGAUCAUAAAAGCCUCUUUGUAUUCUUCAUUCGAUUGAUUUAAAUAUAUAUUCAAAAAAGUUGCAGCUACAAUCACAGCUAACAAAUUCCAUCCUGAACUUUUCCAUGCAAUGCUAACCGUAUUUUUCAACUGGCUGUGCUAAAUUAUUUAAUAGGCUUUUUCAUCAAGAAUAAAAAGACACUCAAUAUUUUGCUGUAUAUAGUCGUUCUGUCAUGGUCACGUGACAAUUAAACCAUGACAUGAAUGAAUAGGACUGCGAUGUGAAAAGUAUAUCGAAAUUAAUUUACUUCCAACAAUAUCAAAAUGUUUGUGAGAUUUAUGCCGGAAAUUUAUUCUCAGGAGUGCCUAAAAGUCUAUAUGCGUUUUUAACGGAAAGCUCUAAAGAAUACCAAUCCAUUUCCUCCCUUUCUUUCCAGAUUUAAGACAUGGUUACUCUUGACACCACAUACUACAUUAUUAAUAAGGUUUGUCCAAAAAAAUUGAGGAAAAAUCAUAGGUAUAUUACUCUACUAUAUACUCCUUGAUUUUCUUAAGACGUGGGAAAAAAAUCCAAAAGGGGACAAAAGAAGAAGAAAAAGAAAAGAAUUGUACUAGUAUAAAUUAGUAAUUCCCGAAGUGGUCCCACAACAUUGACAUCUUCUUUUUAACCUUGGGACAAAAUGGAGGACUUGGUCAAAAACCCAUAGUUUUAACCACAGUUAAACUUGCUCCAGGCAAUAAAUAAAAAGCCUUCACAUCACAAUGUCACAUCCCCUCAUUUCUCCCCUGCAACGACCAAUUUCCCCUCACGCUUCACUGACUCCUCACUUAAUUAGCACAUCUUCCAAACUUCAAUGCCGCCACAAUAUUAGCACCUUUUUGGUUUCUUGGGUAAAUUUACUUUCCCACCAUCCAGAGAGAUCGUGGAGAUGACGGUGUUCACCUCCACUAACGCAGCCGGCGGAUACAUGGCGGGAAAGCAAGUGUUUCCGGUGGAGUACGAAGCAGAGCCGCUCUCUCAGCGACUGGUCGACGCGGCUCACGCCAACGACUUGAAGUCGGCUUCGGAGUUAAUAUCUAACCCCUUCGUUGACGUUAAUCACAUGGGAACAGUUUUGUGUGAAGGCUAGAAAAACCGAGGUGUGUGUUGCAUGACGAGGAUGCCUGCGAAUCAGCGUCGAGUUCGAGGAGUUUAAGACUGAGGUCACGGCGUUGUUCCUAGCAGCUCAUAACGGAAAUGUCGCACUCGUCCGAAAAUUACUGGUUAGUCAACGUCUUUACUGUUUAGGUAGAGCUAUUUAUUUUAUCUUUUUUUUUUUUUGGUUUUUGUUUUGGCGUGAUCUCGUAGAAUAUAUGACUUGUCUAAGAGUUUUGUUAGCCUUGGUUUUUUUUUUUUUUUUUUUGGGGUUUCCUUCUAUUUCUCUUCCAUUAUCAUUUUAUUGUGAAAGUGAGGAUUUUGUUGAUGCCUAUGGAGUUUUGGAGUUCUGAAGGAAUAGCAUUUUUCUUCACUUUUGGGAGUUUUUGGUUUUGCGAUUGGGGAGUUUUGGGAAGUAGGGGUUCGCCGGUGUAUUUUUUGAGGAGUCAACGUGGAUUCUAAUCACUUAUGACCUGUUUGUAUUGGUUUCCCUGAAUUCUUCAACUUGUGGAUUUUCUACGAGUUUUGUUAAUAUUUGGUACUUUUGAGUGUUUAAAGAAUUUUUGAACUAAAUAUUUGCUUCUUACAUCAUCCGGUUUGCUUUUUAGAUAAUUUGAAUUUGAAAUCCGGGGCUCAAUUAGUGUAACGGGUGGACAGUCUUAACGCUUGAUUUGGAAUGAAAAGAGAAUUUAUGUAAAUGAAUUAAUUUAGUCAACCUGGUCGUUUGUCUUGGAGCUGCUGGGUGAAAUGAUGAAGGAUACAACGUUUUUUUUUUUUUUCCUUUUUCAGAAUUUCUUUAGCUCUUAUUCUCCUCCUUCAACGUGGAAUUUGCAUCAUAAGAUGGUAUAACUCUCUCCAUUUACUUUCUUUUACUAAUUGAAUUAAAUUAAAGUGAUUUUCCAUUAGGAAGUGGAUAUGACGAUGCAUUUUGAGUUAUAAUGGUUCCAUCCAAUUAAGUGAUUCUAGUCGUCUAGCUUUACUUCUUCUUUUUUUUUUUUUCUCCAAUAAUCAGGUCUAUCUUUACUACUGAAUCAUUUUUGUGCUCAGCGAGUCUUGUCUGCCUGCUAUAAUUUGCAAACUAGGAAUUCUGAGCAAAUAAAUAGGCCCAGAGAAUUAACAGUCAUGGAUCCUUUAAUUUAGGCCUUUUAAGUAGUUUUUUGUCUUUGUAUUACUUGAGACAUCUGAGUGAAGGUGCCAGAUUCCAUAAACAAGGGGCAGCAUGACACGCUGGUCUGUGAAUGAAUGAGUUAUUAAUGUUGCCAUGUUAACCCAUUGCUUAAAUAGUGCCUAACACACAUUGUUGUUUUCUGUGGACAGAGUGCUGGAGCUGACGUGAAUCAAAAAAUGUUUCGAGGCUAUUCCACAACAGCAGCUGCAAGAGAGGGCCAUAUUGAGAUUUUGAAGAUGUUAAUUAGUGGGGAGCAGCUCAAUCUGCAUGCGAAGAGGCUCUGUUGGAGGCAUGCUACCUGGGGCGGGCCAGAACAGCUGAAGCUUCUCAUGGCCUCUGAUAUGGUCCGCCCACAUGUUGCUGUACACGCCCUUGUCACUGCAUCUUUUGAGGGUUUAAAGACUUUUGUGGACACACUUCUCAAGGUACUUGAUGGUAGCAGCCAACCUUUCUUAGUCAUCUGGGGACAUCUAUUUGAUUGCUUUUUGAUGAUAAGCUGACAGAUCACUGAAGUUAGUGAUUGAUUAUGGUUACAGUUAGUUUCAUAUAGCUAGUAUCUCAUUCGUGAUCAUUUGCUAUUAUACUUUGACGAUAUCCAGGCGUGAUGAAUUUGCUUAGUUCAUGUUGCACCGUCCUUGGAAAUUAGGACGAUAAUGUUGGAACUGGUAGAAUUUGAAACCACUUGUUCUUCCCUCUUUCACACUCUCAAAUAACCUUUUGAAUGAUGACAGUGUGGUGUGGACUGUAAUGCCACAGCCAGGGUGCUGCUUCAAUCUUCCAUCACUUCACUGCCAAUUUUGACUGUAAACUCUCUGGCUGCUGCCAUUCUUGUAGGCAAAUUUCUGUUGUUCGGCUGCUGUUACAGGUAAUGAUGUUGCUGCAGUGUCAUAAAGAUACCAUAGUAGGGCUUGUAUGUCUUAUCAAUUGGGUCUUCAACUUCAAGGGUGAACGGUUAUGCUUGCCUGAUGCAUGCAACCCAUAUUAGGGCUUUUUUUAUGGAUCGGCACGUUUUAGGUGCUCACAAGACCUGUUAUUUCACAGCCACAGUGUGGUUAUGUUCUCAAGUGCAGACUCUAUGUUGUAGGUUGGUGCCAGAACAGAUAUCAUGGUCAGGGGAGCUUGGUCAUGGGACGCUGCCACUGGAGAACAGUUCCGAGUAGGUGGCUGGUCUGGCUGAGCCUUACCAUGUAACGUGGUGUGCGGUGAAGUUUUUUGAAUCCAGCGGUGCCAUACUGAGGAUGCUCCUCCAGCACCUUUCUCCCUAAUAUUCCCCACUUAGGAGGACAAUCAUCCACCACGCGAUUCUCUGUGGAAAUGCCAGACCAGUGUUAGGUGGCUUUUAACCUGUGGUGCUGAUGCAGAAUUCCCUGUCAAAACUAAACAAACAGCGCACCGUCCCAUACAUAUGGCAUCAGAACAUGGGUUGGCUGGAGCUCUUCACCACCUUAUUAAUGCCGGCUGUGAUCUGAACUCUCUCACAGAAUCUGGCGAGACUGCACUGAUGAUUAGUGCCAGAUGUAAGCAAGAGGAGUGCCUAAAAACUUCUUACUGCAGCUGUGCAGACUUUGGUUUGUCCAACAUCGCUGGCAGUGUGCAAGUCAAUUGCUGGAUCAGUACGGUGGCAUAUGGCUUCGAGCGAGCAGUUUUAGAUGUUAUUCGAGAUGGGAAGAAUGCUCGAUCUAGCAAUGCUGCAAUUUUUUCUUCCUUAAUAUUUGUUACCCAGCAAAUGAUAUCGAGGCCUUGAAGAAACUUCUCAAGCAACCGGAGAUAAAUCUCGACAACAACAAGAAAAUGGAUUCUCAGCAGUCAUGGUUGUGGCGGCGGGUGGUAAUGUGGAGGCCUUUAGGUUGCUUGUUCAUGCUGGAGCUGAUGUAAAUUUGGCUAACAACUAUGGCGAAACCGCUAUUACUUUGGCUGAAAAACACCAGAACAGUGAUGCAUUUGAAAAAGUAAUGCUGAACUGCAUGCGUGCCAAGGGAGACAACAGCUACGGUGGAUCUUCAACUCUACACCGUGCGGCACAUAAUGGCGACCUCAAUCUGGUGCAAGCUUUGAUAAACGAAGGAUAUGACAUCAAUCUUUCUGAUUGCGAUGGAUACACCCCACUGAUGUUACCUAGGGCCGGAAACAAGAGCACGUGCGAGCUUUUGAUAUCUCGUGGUGGUAGAUGUGAUAUUAAGAAUGCAAAGCUUGAGACUGCACUCUCACUUGCCAGAGAAAACGGUGGUGGAAAAGAUGCUGAAGCUGUGAUACUGGAUGAACUAGCUCGAACGCCUGGUAGUAGGAGGAGCUCGAGUAAAGCAAAAAGCAAAGGAAGUCCCCAUGGCAAGGUACUAAAGAUGGUUGGAGCUACUGGUGACUGAGGUGGGGAAAAUCUAGGAAGAGAAAUGAUAUGCGCGGCGGUGCGAGCGCAACUUCGGUCGGUGGAACAGACGAAAGAAGCUCGAUGCCGAUGAGCCGGGAGUUUUCCGGGUAAAAACCACAAAGAACAAGGAAGUGCAUUUUGUGUGCGAGGGUGGACUUGAAAUGGCAGAGUUGUGGGUAAGGGAAUUAGGCUUGUGACAAGGGAAGCUAUUUUUGGCAAAUAAAAAACCUCUGGUGAUUCAUAGCUGGGCCUGCACCCGUUCCAAUUUUGGUUCAUGUACAUAGUAACUACCAUAACAGGAGAGAUGUUGCAUAAAAUCAUCGGGUAGUAGUAGUACCUAGUACCAAUGUUUUGCAAACCGGACCGGAUCGGCCGGUUCGACCGAUUGAACUGCGAACGGCCAUGGCAUCGGUCUGAUUCAAUACCAUAGUUGACUUUGUCAGAAAAUUGGUCAAGAAUCGGUCGAACCGUAAAAAUCGCGAUUGAACCGUUAUUGAACCGAUUUUCAACCUUCCUUUUUUUUUCUCCAAAGUGCAGCUUUUUUUAUUUUUUCUCCAAAAUGCGGCUAUCAAGAUUCGAAUUUAAGACCUUUGUAAUAGAAGAUCAAUGUAUUAAUCGUUGCACCAUCACAUCUUAUUAGUUUUUUUUGAUAAUUUAUUUAUAUAAAGCAAACACUUAUAUUUCUUUUUUCCAUUUUUCUUACAAAAUCUCAUCUUCUCAUGGUUCUUUCUUUUUAAUUUUCAACUCUCUCUCUCUCUCUAUCCUCUUUUUUUUUGUCACUCCCUUUUUAAUCAAACCUCAUUAUUUUUAAUUUAUUGAUGUUUUCUUCCAUUUUUUAAUUUGGUUUUUGUCCAUUAAAUUGAAAAAAAUUAAAAAAGAAUUAUUUUUUUAACCCAAAUUAUUUAAUGCUACAACCACUCACUUUUAUCUCAUUUUUUGUUUCUUAUCAAGUUUACAUUUCUAUUUUCGAUUUUCUUGAUUUCUUUCGAACUCCAAACUUUCAUUUUUAAAUUGCAAUCUCUAAAACAUAAUUAAAAUUUAAGUUCACAAUAUCUAAAUUCUCAAUGACGUGAAUUUUGUAUAAUUUUAAAAUAUUGUGAUAUUUUGGAUUGGAUUUAGACAUAAUUGAAAUCGAGAUGAAAUUUAUUUGUUUUAACUUAUAAUUUAAAAAAUUUAUUUUUAAAAAUCCAAGUUAUUAAAAAAUAGUAAACCUUUCAUCAUAUAAAGUAUUAAAUUAAUCCAUUACAUGUCUUAUUUUGUACAUAUAUAUAUUUAUAUAAAUAAUUUUUUAAAAAUUCAUUGAACCGAUGUUGAAUCGGUCCGACCGAUUGAAUCUCAAUCCUUUCACUUCACCGGUUCAAUUAACGGUCCGAUUUUUAAAACAUUGCCUAGUACGCUGUGCCUGUGCUGUCCAGCUAAUUAAUCCUGCGAAUAGAAAUACGACGUUGAUUUGUUUUUCCUCCUACUUCCUCCCUUUCUUUUCAAUUACUGUAUUAAUUAUUGAAAUUUCCCACUUUCUCCAUCCUGUCCUACUCCUUCCCAUCACAUUUCCGGUCAGAGAAUGCAAGGUGGGUUAUAAUUCCCAUUAUAUUAUUAUGUCAGCUAAUUUCACCUCAAGCGAUAAGGAGAUUUUUUAGACCUUUGCAAUAAUGUUACUGAUAGGUUUAACUCCACUAUUCCGUUUCCCCUGAAAAAAAAAAGGGGGGGGGGGACACAAACUAAAGACGUGACUCUUUAAGUCAUUGAAUGGACCUGAAAUUUCUAUUUUAGUUACUUGCAGAUUGUAAUUUAAGAGAAACUGUAGGAGUAAUUUAUUUGUUUUCUACGUAUAUAUAUUUAUAUUAUUGAAAGGAAAGAGUCCUUUUCGUUUGCACAAAUGAACUUCUACAUGGAAUGGGAAUGUGAUGACACAUUUUGUCCGUCACUUGGUUUAUCGUAAAUCAUUUACGUAAUAAAAAUUUUGUCUCAUCAUGGAUUAUGAAUUCUCAGUGGAUUUUUUUUUUUUUUUUUUGUCGAUACGAUAGACUAUUCUACACUAGGAGUAAAGGAGAAUCUGAAAAAGUCCAAAAGUAAUUCGAAAGAGACUGAACCACCGUUGAACCAAACGAGUGCACUAUGCAUGCGUCUGUUUUUUUUUUCUUUUUUAAACAGAGUCACAUAAUGUAACAAUUGGUGGAGUCAAACUUUAAUGCUUUAAUGCUUUCUCGGUGGAUCCUUCUGCAAUCAAGGUACCCUUCUUUUAUAUAUACUAGCAUGGUUCUGGCCGCGCUAUGCAGCGGCCUACCCACUGGUAUGAACAGCUUAAUCCGUAACAAUGAGGAUAAUUUCCUAAAAUAUCAUCAUGUAUAUAUAAGCUCAAGAGGUAAAUACUAUGCAAAUCACAAUAAUACAUUACAUAAACUCAAUCAUUCAUGUCUUAGUAGAAUAGAUACUUGGAUGCCAGCCACAGUUACAUAUUAGGAGGCUUAAAUAAGCUUUAUUGCCCAAUGAAGUACAGCAUUGAUGGUUAAACAAUUACUAAGUAUAUUACGAUCCUUUACUUUUUAAGUCAAAAGAAUAAUGGAUCAUAAUAUAAUUCAAAAGAUAUUGUCUAAGCAAUGGAGGAAAGGCAAUGAACAAAAGAUUUAACAAAAGUACAGAAAUAGGCCAUAUUAGUCUUCCUUUGCUUUAGCUUUCUUGGUUGGACUGUCUUUGAUAUUUGCAGGUGGACCAUACAGUUUUGCAGGUUCUUUGGCAAACUCUUCAGGAGCCUUUGUUGGAUGUUUAGCAUGUGUGUCUGCUGGUAAAUCUUCUGGAAACUCAAGGCUUCAUUUUGCUCCACUGGUUGCAGAUGUCUGGCUGUCUUUGUAAGAACUGGCUCCAGCAAUUUCUUCAAGUACCAACUUUGUGCUUGGUGUGAACAAUUGAAGCUUAUUUAAGUCAGCAUAUUUAAGUUUGUCUUUUUGUUUCUUUCCAACAUUCUUAGAUCAGGGGAAUCAUCAAACAUUUCAUCUAUCAAUCUAAAACCUGUACUAAAUUUUCUUUUUUUUUUUCAUUUUGAAACACAAAAAAUCAAAAUCUAAUUUUACUAUAAACAAAGCAAAAUGCUAAUCCAAAGGCACACAAAAUGACAGAAUCAAAGCAUCCUAGAAUAGUAAAACUAAGUAAUAUAUAUAAAAUGACAACCUUAAUAAGCCAAAGGACAAUGAUACUAAAUGAUGUAAUUAUUGAAUAGAUAAGCAGCUAACAGCAUCAUGCAACAUUUGAAAUAAAAAACAGAGGGAAAAGUAAACUAUCAUAGCAUAACAUCAAACACAUCGCAUUCUUAAUUAAGAGAAAGCAAUAAACAGAGGCAACAACAGUGAAAAAAAAACUUGCAGUUCAAAAUAGAAGGUGAUAAAAUAGAAACAUACCUAUAUUUUCUUUGCUCGCCUGAAUGUUGGCAAAAGUCCAGCAGCAUUUGAAAAUAAUAUAAAAACAGAGAAAAAAAGUAAACGUAAGCUAAUCGAAAAAAUAGCAUCAUAAUUAUUCUUUUAUUUAUAAUAUCAAACACAUGGCAGUCUUUAAUUAACGGAAGGUAAGAACAUGGCAAUAAAUAUAAAUAAUAAAUAAACAGAAGGUAAGAACAUUCAUCAAACUAAAAAAUUGCAACUUAAUAUGCUGACUGAAAAAUUGACAGAAACUAAAAUUAGUUGCUCAAACUAAAAUUUGCAGCUCAGUCAUCAAACUAAAACUAAAAAAUUGCAGCUCGAAAUAGAAGGAAAGAGAAUAGGAAUUACCUAGAUUUUCUUCGCUCGUCUGCUGAAUACCGGCAAAACUGGGAAACAGAGGUAUAUAUAGAGUUGGAAAUAGUAAGUUCUGAAAGCUAUAGCAUAGAUGAUAAGGCGGUAGAACAGCCAUCCCUAAAAUGAGCUGAUUUUGGGGAAAAAGAGAUUUGAGUGAGCUGUUUUUUAGGGAAAAAGAAGAAUUCACGCGAAUGUGGAUGAUUUUUUGAGAGGUAAUCAAAGGAAGUACAAUUAGUUGGUGGAAGUACAAUUAGUUGCUCGAGGAAUUGACAGAAAAUUGAAGAUUUUGCAGGCUUCUAGAUUUUGGGGGAAAAAAUUUUACUGACCUAAUUUUUGGGGUAGGACAAAAAUUCACGUGCGUGUGGAGGAUUUUGUGGGUUGCAAUCAAAAGGAAGGACAAUUGGUUGUUGAAGGAAUUGGUAGAAAACUAAAAAUUUUGCAGGUUGAUUCGACGGGAAGAAAGCGGCUAUUUGAGAGAAAGAAAGAGGCUACUCGGCGGGAAAAAAGGGAAAGGGAAAAGGGGGAAGGAAAUUCUGGUAAAUGAAGAAGAAGGAAGCUCGAUGACUAAUAAGACCAUUAAGCUACUGUUGACUAACUUACAUCAUGAGUCAUCAGUCAUACUAAUCAUGCUAACAGGCAGGAACAUUACUUCUAACGGGUAUGACUGCAUUAAUUUGUAUAAUUAUAUAAUUAAUAAUAUAAUGUAAUUCAAAACACCCAUGUGAUAAAAAAAUUCACAAAUAGUCUACAAUUAUUGCAUUUGACCAGAAAAUUAUCAAAGAGAUAUUUUCAAAUAUACAAAAAUAACACUAAAUAGUUAGCAACUAUUUAAUGAGUUAGUUUUCAUAAAAAGAUUCAAUUGACCUUUCAAACCAAUUAAAAACCAAUCAAAAUGAACAAAUAAAAAUAAUUAUAUAAUGUAAUUCAAAACAACCCAUGUGAUAAAAAAACCCACAAAUAGUCUACAAUUAUUUGCAUUUGACCAGAAAAUUAUAAAAGAGAUAUUUUCAAUAUACAAAAAUAACACUAAAUAGUUAGCAACUAUUUAAUGAGCUAGUUUUGAUAAAAAGAUUUAAUUGACCUUUCAAAUCAAUUAAAAACCAAUCAGAAGGAACAAAUGAAAAUAAUUAUAUAAUGUAUUAUAUAAUGUAAUUCAAAACAACCCAUGUGAUAAAAAGGUCCACAAAUAGUCUACAAUUAUUUGCAUCUGACCAGAAAAUUAUAAAAGAUAUAUUUUCAAAUAUACAAAAAUAACCCUAAAUAGUUAGCAACUAUUUAAUGAGGUAGUUUUCAUAAAAGGAUUCAAUUGACCUUUCAAACCAAUUAAAAACAAAACAAAAGGAACAAAUAAAAAUAAUUAAACCAUUGUUACCAAUUAGCCCCUAAAUAGUAAGGAACUAUUAAGACCUUUAAUUUCAAGACCAAGGCUCAAAUAGGCCAUUUCUCACUCUUUAAAUUCCAAAAAUCAGAAAACAAACUCCUUCCUAACUCCUUCCUCUAACAAUAUAUUGACACUUGGCAUUCAAGGGAGAACUUGAGUUGUUCUCUUAUCUAGUAGGUAGAUAUAUAAUUUUUUUUAAAAAAAAAGAAAAGAAAAAUUGGAGCAAGCCUGAAUCCUCCUGACGCCAGUCGGUUUGGGUCGUCGGAGCAACCAACCAAACAUUAGUGCUAUACCUACGCUCAAUUGGGUUUCCUGCACUUUGUAUGGGCCUCAAAAUAAUCCAAUUUUUACAUGGGUGCCCACUUCACCUAUUCAACUAAAACCCCCAUAAGAAAUGCCCGAUCUAAUUAGUCUCCACGUACCCGAUCCGAUCGUCACAAGGCCUGCACUUAAUCUCCACCGUCAGAUUUUACCAGAGGCACAUCCUAACCGUCACGAGCUCUCCACAUCAGUUUUCUUCGCAUUCAACUCUCGACGGAUUUUCACUCAUCAAAUCACCGGUACCUCAAUUUAGAGCACCAAAGCCAGCUCAGAAUCAUCCUUCAUAGUGCAGCUCCGAAGCUCUUAUGGUACGCAUCUCCAUAUCGCCAUUGCUCAAAUGCUUUCGUUUGAACUGAUUCUCUGUUUCUUUUCAAAUGUUGAAUUUGUUGGUAGAUCCAUGAGAAAGGAAAUCUUAGUUUUUUUUUUCUCCUUUGGGUUACUUUGUAAGGAUAAGGAGUUUUAGGGUGUUAAUUUUGAGGAGGACUUACUUAUAUACAGUUGAAAAUUCGAGACUGGGUUUUGUGAUUAGAAUGUCGAAUUUAUCUGUUAAGAUACUGAUAAGCCCUAGGGAUCAAUUUAACAUUUCCGGUUAUUCUAUUAACUUUUGGGUGGAUUUUUUUAAAUUUAAUCGACUUUGGGUACCCCUUUUGGCGAAAUUAGAAAAAGAUUUUUUUUUUCUGUUGAACAAAGGGACAAACUGACCAUCGAGUUCUCAUGGUUUUUGCUUAUUUAUUUUUCUUUUUUCUCUUUAGGAGUUAAUAGCUGUACCUGCUUAGUGGUAUUUUUAGGUAUUCAAGCUUUGCAUCUUAAGUUCUCUCUUUCUCUCUUUUUUUUUUUGGUUUAAGAAUUUGUUCACGGGUAAAAAAGGUUGGACUUUUGGGUGGAGCGGAAUGCAUGUAAGUGGUUCAUCAAUUGAUGAUCGAUUUUCUUCAGUCGAGGACUGUAAUUGAGUAGACUACCAUUUUGUUCAGUGGGCAUAUUCUUCCUCCCAUUUUGCUUUAGUGUAACCUCAGCAUGUGUGGACAUAGAUUUAAUAAAGACCAACAAAUAAUGCAAUGUCAAGUGGAGAAAGGGAAAGAGAGAAGGAAAAAAAGACCAAAGGCCUGCUGUCAUACAUGGUCAGAAUGAUUGAUAAUAAGAGAAAGAUGUGGAUGUCAGGCAAAUUUUUAACCUGGAUUUUGCUUGUAACUUCUUGCGUAGGCACCCAUAAAGGGCAUCCUUUCUUCACAAAGGAUAUCUUUGGUCAAGCAGUCUGAGCAUUGGGUCCUGGGCAGUAGAUUAUUCAGCACUCAGGCUGCAUCAACUGCUAGCACCCCACAGCCUCCCCCUCCUCCCCCACCUCCUGAGAAAACCCACUUUGGUGGCCUCAAAGAUGAGGAUCGCAUUUUUACAAAUGUAUAUGGUUUGCAUGACCCUUUUCUCAAGGGUGCUAUGAAACGAGGAGACUGGCAUAGAACAAAAGACCUGGUACUCAAGGGUGCUGAUUGGAUUGUCAAUGAAAUGAAGAAAUCUGGUCUUCGUGCGGGUGGUGGUGCUGGGUUUCCCUCUGGUCUUAAAUGGUCCUUCAUGCCAAAGGUGUCUGAUGGUCGUCCCUCCUAUCUUGUUGUCAAUGCUGAUGAGAGUGAACCUGGAACCUGUAAAGAUAGGGAGAUAAUGCGCCAUGAUCCACACAAACUAUUAGAAGGUUGUUUAAUUGCUGGAGUGGGUAUGAGAGCUACUGCUGCCUAUAUUUACAUCAGGGGUGAGUAUGUCAAUGAGCGGAAAAAUCUGGAGAAAGCCAGAAGAGAAGCUUAUGAAGCUGGCUUAUUAGGAAAAAAUGCAUGUGGGUCUGGUUAUGACUUCGAUGUACAUAUCCACUUCGGAGCGGGUGCUUAUAUUUGUGGUGAGGAGACAGCUCUUCUAGAGAGCCUCGAGGGCAAACAAGGAAAACCCAGAUUGAAGCCUCCUUUUCCUGCUAAUGCAGGGCUGUAUGGGUGUCCCAGUACCGUCACAAAUGUGGAAACAGUAGCUGUUUCACCUACCAUUUUGAGGCGGGGGCCCCGAGUGGUUCGCUAGUUUUGGUAGGAAAAACAAUUCUGGAACAAAACUUUUUUGCAUCUCAGGGCAUGUGAACAAGCCUUGCACAGUCGAGGAGGAGAUGAGUAUACCAUUAAAGGAGCUUAUAGAGAGGCACUGUGGUGGUGUUCGCGGUGGAUGGGACAAUUUACUUGCUAUUAUCCCAGGAGGUUCAUCUGUCCCAUUGAUACCCAAGCAUAUAUGUGAGGAUGUGCUAAUGGACUUUGAUGCACUUAAAGCUGUACAGUCAGGGUUGGGGACUGCUGCCGUGAUUGUGAUGGAUAAGUCAACGGAUGUUGUGGACGCAAUUGCAAGGCUCUCUUACUUCUACAAGCAUGAGAGUUGUGGCCAGUGCACGCCAUGCAGGGAAGGUACAGGGUGGCUUUGGAUGAUCAUGGAAAGAUUGAAGGUGGGGAAUGCAAAACUGGAAGAGGUUGACAUGCUUCAAGAGGUGACGAAACAGAUUGAAGGGCACACGAUUUGUGCAUUGGGUGAUGCCGCUGCUUGGCCAGUCCAGGGUCUGAUCAGGCACUUCAGACCGGAGCUCGAGAGGAGGAUCAGAGAACGGGCAGAGAGGGAGCUACAACAGGCUGCUGCUGCUUGAUACUUCUGUGCAGGUUGGUUCUGAUUUUCUUUUCCUUCCUUUUCUCUUUUCAGGUUUUUGGGAGGUAUUGGGAUUGAUUACAUUAGUAAGUUUAACUUUUUUUCCUUGUUGAUGUCAUAUUCGGAAGUGAUGCACAAUUGGUUGAGGAUCUCAUUUCUGGUUUUAGGCAACCUUACCAUCAUGUGGGUUCUUUUUGGUUUGGUUUCUUUUGUCUGUUAGGAUCAGUAUAGUAUUAACUAGUUAGAAGACUUGGGGAUUAAUGUGGAGUACUGGUUUAUUCUAGAGUAAGCACAGGUACUCCAGAAAACAAACUAAAGAUCUAAUCUGAUUUUGAGUAGCACCAAGGCAUUGCAUUUUGGUGCACUGCUUCCUCUUGCCUGUUUUUCUAAUUUGACUGGGCUGUCUCUACCUCUUUAUGUUCUUUUUGCUCUGCGUUUAGCUUGCUUUUCUUUUGUACGAGGAAUUGACAGUUUAGUGCAUUCAAUUUCUCUCCGCCUUUUGCGUACAGCUUUUGAUGUGGAAGUCAUUCUUGGUUUUUUAUGUGCAGGUGAGGACUUAUCCUGCUAGGGGCUAUGUAAUAAACAAUUUGAGACUUUUGAAGAAUACAUGGACAUGCAAGCCAGUCUGCUGUCUGUCCAGCAGAGCAGCAAGUCUAAUUUUUAUGCUUGUAUCAGACUGAAUUGCUCCCUACUUUUAUGUUUUUUUUUUUAAGAGCUUACUGGAUACAAGUUGGGUUCUAAGAUCAUUUUAUCAUGGUUUUGAAGAUUCAGAAACCUGAUAGUAUAUGGUUUUUGUCAAUAAACUAAACAUUAAUGUUUGAAUGUUUUCAGAGACUGUAUUGGUGGGAAAGUUAAAGGAGAGUUGAAGGUUUUGACUCAUAUCAUGAUGAUAUACAUCUUAGUUGUUUUUGUACGUUAACUCUCUUAUGUUGCACUGUUUGCCGAAACAUCUAAUACGGAAACCCGGGAUUCCUUUCGCUGUUUGCGAGAGAAGAGUGAUCUGUUAGGCUGUUUCAUCUGGAAUUCCCAGACUCAGACACCUCUUACUUUCCUAGGGUAUCAGUAAAGUUUUUUGCUGUGUAAUUUUCGUUAUAUAAACUGCGGGAUAACGGAUUUUCCCCUGAGAGUCAUCCAAGUUCCAACUGUGCAAAAGACGAUGUAUUGUGAUUUUUUUAUUAAUUGUUACUCCAGUCCAUGCUGAUUUUCUUUUUUAAUCUGUCCAUUUCCUGAGCAGAGGAGGACUAAAGAGGUAUUCUCUCUUGCCCCAGUGGUAGCUUCUCAGUAUCUCGUGUCUCGCUCACAGAAAAUGGAUCCAACCCUGACUUUCAAGUCAACAUCCGGAUCAGGCAUGUUGACUUCCUCAUGUUGGAGGAGCUAUAAGACAGUGAUCGUGCUUUGUGCCUCAUUUUAGAUUAAUUUUAUGCUUAAGGACGUUAAUUAGAGCCAUUGGUCAAACCUCUCCAAAUUUAUAAAAAAAAUUUGGGAGAGAGAAUAAAAAUAUGUAGUCAUGCAUCGCUAAAAUGUCGGAGUGACUGGCGGCAACGAUGUAUCAGCAGCACUUAUAACAGUACAGUAUGUGAGGAUAUUUUUACUUGGGAUCCUCGGUGACAUGUUUUCUAUGCCAACUCAAUGCCAUCAAUAGUGUUGCGCCAAGUGUCUUGUUAUUAAUUAUAUUUUAAUUUUUUAAUAAUUCAACUUGGCUUGAUUUAACACAAAUAUAAAUAAUAACAAGACACUUGGUGCAAUACUAUUGGUGAUAUUGAAUUGACAUAGAAAACAUGUCACCGAGAUUCCAGGUGGGAUAUUUUUUUGUUUGUUGGUUGACUUACUCUGCACAAACAUGGAAUUAGUUAUUCCGGCCUCAUUUUUUCCUUUUAUAUACCUCUAGAUAAUUCAAUUUAAAAGAUUUUUCCAUAAAAUUAAAAUGGGUAAUUAUCCUUUCUUUUGUACCUUUAUAGAAUUGAAUUUAAAAGAUUUGGGUUCAAAGAAAUACCGGCAUUCGAGAAAACGUUAUGAAUAACCAUUUUUCAUUUCACUCAAAACCACCUCAAAUGCUUAUUGUUUCAACUCAAUGAAAGAUAUAGGAUAAACUAAUUUAUUAAACAAAUUGAAAUUGAUCCAAGAUGGCAUUAUUGUAAUAUACUGCCUACAAAAAAGGAGGAAGAAAGUAGUAAAUGCUUAUUGUUUAGUGUCCAAAUCCAAAAUGCACAAGGCAGAUGUGAUCGUGAUGACCAAUCACCACAUUUAAUUCAAGGGUUAAUAUAACAGUUUUCUAUUUUUUUUUUCUUUUAGCGCCAAAAAAAAAAGAAAAAGAAAAAAGAGAGAGAGGAAGACAUGCCAUGGACGAAGAAAAGAAAGCUGUAUCAAGAAGGAACAGAAGAAGGCGGGAGGACAGGAAAAGGAGAGAGAAAGAAAGGAUGAAUGAAUCAAAAGAAACAGAUGGAAAGUAAAGUCGGAAACCAAUCCCCGGAAUGUAAAGAAUUCCUUUUACAACGUAACACGUAAAGUGGAAUUUUUUUUUUUUUUUUUUGUUUUAGCAAAGUAAAGUGGAUAUUACUGCUGUACUUUUCUUUUCUCCUCUGAGAUAUAUAUUUAUAAUGGGGAAAAAAAAUCAAAGCAAAUCAAAGCAAAAAAAAUCAAGAAGCUCGAGUCACCGUCGGAGAAAGGAGUGGACUUUUAUGCUCGAACUACGCUACGCUCAGCAUAAUUACCCAACUUAAUAGCAAAUUGGCAUUAGCACCUUCUUCUUCUACUACUUUGGGGGGACUUCUGCAUAUACAAUUUUUUCUUUCAACUUUUUCCUCCAAAUUUUCUCACCUUUGCUCUCCAGAUACAAACAAAAAACUAUCACGAGCUUAAAAAGUUGGAGAAAUUCUGGACUAAACGAACAAUGGAUUACCAUCAUUAACGCAAACAAAGUAAAAUUUACUCGGGCUUCUCAGUCUCCAUAGCCUGUCUACCAAAGGUAAGUGUACCCCUUACUUCCACCCUCUUUUCUUUUAUCGUGCUACUUCAUUUUGGGAUUUAAAAGGGCUGCAUUGUCUGAUUAUUUAUUGAGUUUUGAUGUUUAGGUUUCUGACUGCUGGAAUGGUACUAUUAUGAAUCCCUUAUUUCUUUCUUUCUUGGUGUUUUUUUCCCUGUAACUUGAUAAAAAUCCUGUCUUUAAAUGGUUAUCUGUUCUUACAACAAUUGAGUAAGCUGUAAAUAUAUACAGGAAUAUUAAUCUCAGGAAAUAAGUUCAAUCGAGCUGAAAUGGUUGUAGUUUUUCCCCUGCUUUACUUCUCCUUUGCUCAUUUAUUCAAUUAAACAGAUUACGUUAUGUAUCAUUAAAUGUUGUUUGAUAAAGCGCAUUAACAAGGGAAAAAAAAAUGCUGAACCUUUUAAAUUUUUGUAUUUCGUGGUAAUUCUUUUUUAUUGACUUUUUAAUUGAUUUAUUGCUGCUUGUGGUUAGAACUCUAGCUGAUUACAAGCUUGGCGAAGAGCAUUCAUCUGUGUGAGAUCAUUCAGGUAUGGUGCUCGGUUUGAGGUCAAAGAAAAAAAGGGGUGCUUCGGUUCAAAUUGAUUACCUUAUCAAUGUAGUGGAGAUUAAGCCUUGGCCCCCAUCUCAGUCUUUGAGAUCGGUUCAGUCCGUAUUGCUUCAGUGGCAAAAUGGUGAUCAAAAUUCUGGUUCUUUCCUAACUGUUGCUGGGGAUGCGAACAUUGCGUUCAACGAGUCCUUCACACUUCCUGUAACUUUACAUCCAGAUAAAAAGGCCCGCGAUAGAUUUCAGAAGAAUUACUUGGAGUUCUCAUUGUAUGAGCCUCGUAAAGAAAAAGCCACUAAAGAGCAAUUGUUAGGGACAGCUAUAAUAAAUCUAUCAGAGUUUGGAGUAAUCGAAGACAUUUUGCCCAUUAUUGCUCCACUGAACUUCAAGAAGACUUCCAAAAGCUCACCGCAGCCAGCUCUUUAUUUUCAAGUAGAGCCCCUAGAUAAGGGCAGUUCGAAGUCCUCACCCAACGUGAGAUCCUCCAGAACAUCAUUGGACCAGGAUGGCCAAGAAGCCCAUGCUGAAUUCAAUGGUGACGACUCUGAGAUAGCUUCUUUCACCGAUGAUGAUGUUUCUUCUCAUUCGUCUCAGACAGUUGCCUCUUCUGUGUUUGAUGCUGCAAGGGCUUCACCAUCUCAGAGUGAUAAGGUAGCUGAUUCCACUCACUAAUCUUUGUGAUCUCUGUCUCAUGAUUAUAGCUUUUUCCUUAAUUAGUACCUUGAUUGACAAUCGUUUUGCCUUGGCUGAAUCUUCAUUCUGUAUUGCUCAAACUGGGUGUAUUGUCCCUAUUCUAAAACGGUGACAUAAUUCCUUCUUAAACUGAAUGACAUUCUCUGUGUGUGUGUUUCCACACGUGCGUGGAUGUGGUUGUCAGUGCAUGUGAGCACACAUUUUAGCUGACAUUUACAAAUCUACAGAAUGGAUUGGAGGCUGUCAAUGAAAUUACAGGAAUGGAUAAUCAACACUCAAAUGGAAGAUUGCCACCAUCUUCAUCCAUUAGCUUAUCAUUAAAUACAGGACACCCAGUAAACAACCAUACCUCGAAGUCCAAAGUCCCUGGGAGAAGCAAGACAUCAUUGCAGAAGAAUUCGUAUAACCCCUCAAUUGAAUCUUCUUCCUCAUUUGAUGGCUAUUACAAUAUGUAUGGGGGAUCUAGCAACUACAUAGAGUGCCUUGAGCAGGAAACUGUGACCCAUGGUGUUAGCAAAGAGGGAAAGAAUGAAGGAAACAAUCCAGAAUAUAAAAAUGAGCCAGUUGAUAGAUUAACUCAGCCCAUACAUGAUGAAAAUGACAUUGAAAAACAUGCUCCCAUUUUUAAGGGCAUGGAUGUUGCUCAGUUGGAAGUGAAUGGGGAGAAGCAAGAAAAAAAUUUUGGACAGGAUGAACAGUUCCCAACUGAAAAGAGAUUGUUUUCAGACUACAAGUCAGUCGAUAAAUUACCACAUAAUGGUUUCAGAAGGCUAGGUACAAUUGGGGGUGUUACCUCCACUAGGGAAGCACUUGGGGUUCAGAUUUCAAAUGGUCGACUAAAGCGUGUCAAGUCACAGUUAUACUACUCAGCUGGAAGAAGUGAAUAUUUUGGAAAAAGCCACGACACAGAAAGGGCAACAAAUGUACACAAGCCUAAGAAUGCUGAUAAUAGUGCUAAAACUAUUCAAGAAACAGAGAACAAAGAAUCUGUAGAUGGAAGUUCCAAUGCUUAUGGUCAAAGUGUUGCAGAAAAUCAAAUGAAAGUGCUGAGAAAUGAAUCUCAUGAUUAUGGAGCUGAAUCAUAUUCCAGAAUUCAGAUGCUGGAGGAAGAGUUACGGGAAGCUGCAACUCUCGAGAUUGGCCUUUACUCUGUGGUUGCUGAGCAUGGGAGUUCUGUUAGCAAGGUUCAUGCCCCGGCUCGCCGCCUUUCUAGAUUCUAUCUUCAUGCAUGCAAAGAAAAAUCCCGAGCUAAACAGGCAAGUGCUGCAAGAGCAGCUAUCUCAGGUUUAGUUUUGGUCUCCAAAGCUUGCGAAACGAUGUUCCAAGGUACAUAUUAGUCCCAUAGCUAUUUUGUAUCAGUGAAGCACAUUACUUUAGUCAGUAUUGAAAAAUAGGAAAGCCAGGACUUGGUGAAUGGAAGCAUCAGUAAAAUAGGAAAGGAAAAAAACAAAAAAAAUGCUGGUGACUAGGAAGAAAAGGUGCACUUUUCUAAGGUUAUUGUUACAAGGAAUUGUAGAACUUUUAUUUGAUACUGCUUCAGAAAAUUUAUAUGUGUCAAAGGCAAUUGCAUAUUAAAACUCACACUGGUACAUCUGUACCUCCUAUGCAGGCUGACUUUCUGGUUGUCGAAUGCAAUCAUGUUGAGAGUUAUGUCAUCCAAACUGCUGCAGAAAUAUCAAAUUUAGAGGCGAAGCAUGCAGGAAAAAGUGAUCGCUCUGUCUCUCACUUGGAUUCAGCUUCCCAAAGAGACAAGAUAGCUUCUCUAUGUUGAGGAAAGAAAUAGCGAUUCAGUUGAAGAAUCUGAUGACUGGGAGGACAUAGAAACAUUUAUUUUUGCAUUGGAGAAGGCUGAAUCUUGGGUUUUUUCUCGAUUGUUGAGUCUAUCUGGUGGCAGGUUAGAUUCCUAAUUUUUUCUUGCGCUGCAUUUAAUCUUGUUUUUAAUCAAUCAAAACUGUCUUCUAAAUCAGCAGUGUGCUUAUUUUGCCCAUGCAGACUAUAACUCCACACAUGCAGCCGACAGUUGCAAAAACAGGUGGUAGAACUAGGGGCUUAGGUACAAAGAAGAAUAAUGCAAGUGGAUAUGGUUUGGGUGAUCAAGUGCAGGGUAACUUCUCUAUAGAACUUUGGAAGAAGGCUUUCAAAGAUGCCUGUGAAAGGCUUUGCCCAAUUCGGGCAGGAGGACAUGAAUGUGGCUGUUUGCCUGUCAUGCAAGAUUGGUACGCUUUUACAUUGGAAUAUAGCGAUUAAUGUGCAUUCAAUAGUCACAGACAACUCCUGCUGGAGACAAAUAUUUCUAGUUUUUAGUUGAUCUACCUGUCAUGGCAUGUAAACAUACUUUUAAGUGUGUUGGUUACGGAGUAUUAUGAUUCAAUACAGAUCAUCAAAUAAAUAGAGAAGUGGGUUGUCAGUAAUAUACGUGAUCAUAUAGAGUUAUAUUAAUGUCUUCCAGCACUCUACGAUUAGUACCAUGCAUUCUCUGAGUACUGCAUUUUCAUUGCUUGAUUUACUGGAAAUAUUUUAUCCUGGAAUACGUGGAUGGUUUUACUAGGAUAUGGUUGUAAUUGACCAGAUCAUCAUUUUAAUGUUUAUUCUGUGUAUUCUAGGUAAUGGAGCAGUUAGUGAGUCGAUUGGAUGUGGCAAUGUUCAAUGCUAUCCUUCGUGAAUCAGCGGAAGAAAUGCCUUCAGAUCCUGUGUCUGACCCCAUUAGUGAUUCUAGGGUUCUCCCAAUUCCAGCUGGAAAAUUGAGUUUUGGAGCGGGUGUACAACUGAAAAAUGCUGUUAGUAGUGAAGCAGCUCUUCAAAAGUUUUACCUAAAACUUCUGUGCAAGAUGUUUGCAUUACUUAAUGCUUAUUUUUGCAAUAUUUUCUUCUUUGCGCAGCAUUUUGACUUUCAAGUGAAAAUGAUGGGCGACUUUGCUUCCUUUCAAAAUUCCAACUCUGAACAUUAGAUGUGCAACAAAAGAAUCUGAUUAGCAAUGAUUCAUCGAAUCUAAGAACAGAGCCUCUUUUUCUAACAUGUAGCUUCUAGAAUUAUCUGCCAACCACUUUAAGUCGAAGUUUCAAUCAAAUGAAGUAUUUGUUUUAGAUGUUAAUUAAAUCUGUUAUUUUGUUAGUUCUGUUGGAGCGUGCUUGAAGAACACUGCUUUGUAGUUGGCCUAUAUAAUAUCAAUUGUUUUAGUCAUUAGUUGGGAUAGCAGGAUUCUUUAUGUUAUUUAUUAUUAUUUUUUUUGGCUGGUGUUUGUAGAUUGGUAACUGGUCUAGGUGGCUCUCAGAUCUCUUUGGCAUUGAAGAUAGUGAAUCACUUGACGACAGUGAUACUGCUGGUGAUGACAAGGGAUCUGAAUCCUUCAAGGCUUUUCGUUUCCUCAAUGCUUUGAGUGAUCUCAUGAUGCUUCCUUUGGAGAUGCUUAUGGAUAUACCAACAAGAAAAGAGGUGAAUGGCUGCUACAGCAAAUUGGUUUGAAAAAUUCUAGUUUCCACGUGGCUUUAUUCAAUUUUCCAGAUUUUGCUUCUUUUAGGUUUGCCCACUACUUGGUCCAACAAUGAUCAAGAAGGUGCUUAGUAAUUUUGUUCCAGAUGAGUUCUGCCCAAACCCAAUUCCACAAAGUGUUAUUCAUGCACUGGAUCAUGAGGUUGGUUAUCAAUUUUAGCAGUCAUUUGGAAAUUAUGUGCCAUCUCUUCUCUUGACAGCUGGUUGAAUAAUGCAGAGCUAGUUCAAGAUGGAUUUAAAAUCCUAGAAAGAGUUAAUAGAAUAGUAUCAUGCAUGGGGUACCGGCUUUAUUUUGCUGAUAUAUUUGCAUGUUGAUCCAGGAUGCUUCGGGUGUUUCUACAGAAUCAAUCACAAGUCACCCAUGCACUGCCCCUCCUACAAUCUAUUCACCUCCUCCGGCACCUUCACUGCUACGUUCUAUUAAAGAGGUUGGAAACAAUAAUAUACAAAGAAGCGGGUCAUCAUUACUCAAAAAAUCGUACACAAGUGAUGAUGAGCUUGAUGAACUUGACACACGCUUGACUAGUAUAAUUGCCGAUAGCUUCCAGAGUUCUGCUGCAAGAAAACUCAACUGGAUACCCAGAGGAAACGGCAAAGGAAAGGUCUCCAGGUAUCAGCUACUUCGAGAGUUAUGGAAAGGUUAUGAAGAGUAAAACCACUUGUAAUUUGUAAAGCAUUAUGUAUAUAUAGAGAGAGACACAGAGCGACGAAUUCCGUUGAACUGUGGAGAUGAAACCUGCAGUGACAGGACUCUUGUGCAUUCCUUUUCAUUCAAGUUUGUUUGUAUUUAUUUGGCCCUUUAAGGCAUGCCAAACAGUUUUCUAGAAAUGUUUAUUCAUUAAGGAUCUCUAUGUAAUUAACCGAGGAAGGGCUUCCCUUUCCAAGGAUCUUCACUCGACUCUGAAACGAGCAGUCCAAGUGCGACAGAGACAUCCAAUGGGUUCCAUGCAUGCUUCCUGAGACAUCACAAAUAGCAAGGGCAUUUUUCAACUUCCCAAUUGUACAAAGAUCACCAACAAUUCUCUUCCAUUGCAACUCCGAAACUUGGUUAUCGUCGCCAUAUUUUAAAGAUUUAAUGAUUUCAUGAGGAAGAAAAGCACCAGCGGCAAUCUUUUGCUUUCCACUCUUGACGCUAUCAAGAUACUCUCCGAACCGUUCCUCGUCAUGUUUAAGGAACAACUCUUCGUAAUUCUGCAUUGCAAUUGAGGGAACUCUGCCCUAAGGAAGCUCAUUCCAUCUGUCGGCUAAAUCUCAGGCAGCUUGAGAGCCUUGCAGAGUGGUACAAGGACUUCCUUUCGUAAUCGAUCCCGAACUCUAUAUGCAGAAUGAGCAUCUUCAAUUCCGUCAUAUUCAGGCAAGUCUGGAGGAAAUAUUCUCCUUGAGCGUGGACCGAUCACAUUCAGCAUAGAGAGAGGGACGCCAUUUUGCUGCAAAGCUUAUAUUCCUGAGCUUUCCCAUCUUCACAUUCUCCAUAUCAUUCUUCAAGGCCUCAGCAAAAAGAUGUGCGACCUGAUUGUGUAAGAACCUGAAAACUGGAUCGCUGUUGUACCUCUCUACACACUUCUUGCCUGAAGCAAUCCUCUGUUCCUCGGUUGCGAUUCUGGGCAGCAGCAUUAAUUUCUUGCACCAUUCUUCUCCGCCGUACAGCUUCCUUUUUGCUAUCUCCCUCUUACCUUUUCCUGGAGGUCAGGACCUUUGAGGAGUCUAUGCAGAAUCUCUGGCAAAUCCUUGAAGUACCCGAAUUAUGCUAUUGCGGGAGCAUUGCAAGCCAAAGUCUUGGGAUGUUUCUGAUGAAGCCACAGAGCUGAUGAAUAAAACCCCUCCCUAUCACAUUUCCCUGAUAUGUCAUACAGCCACAGAGCUGAUGAAUAAAGUCGUGGGAUGCAUGUUUUGACGAGGAUCUGAUAUAAUCAUAUAGCCUAUACGGCUAUAUACGCUCCAUAACCUUAAAAAAAAAAAAAAAGAACAGAGAGAGCUCUACAUAUCAUAUGCCUUCUGUUCAAGUUUUAAUGUUGAAGCAACCUUUGAUUUCUACCGGAUUAAUGGGACCAAUAGAAGUCGUUCGCUGUACACAAGAUACAGGAUCUGAAGGGCCUAUACAGCGGUUUACGUGGAAAAAGUAAAAGCAACCAUUUUUCUUGUAACAAAACAACACGUAAAGUCAACAGAGUUCACAAUUCAGUACUUCGAGCAUAUAUGAAUUAGUACUUCCAUAGAAGCGAUAUUCGAUCAUACUAAGGUUGUGUUUGGAUUGCAUUUUUCAUGAAAAAAUUACUGUAACGAUUCGAUGUAUGUGAGGAAAAAAGGUAACAGGGAAAUGUGAUCACGGAAAAUGACGUAAUUUUUUGACGGAAAACAGCAAUCCAAACAAGGCCUAGUGAAGAAAGGCGCAACGGUCGAUUGUUCUUCUGGGAAGUUACUUUGCUCCAGAACCUACUACUGGCAACCCUAACACAAUAAUAGAUGGCUGGAUUCAUUAUUGUCACUGUCUUGAAAUGCGUCGGUAUUAUGUUGAGGGUGUUGGAUAAAUAGCUACAACAAUGUUAACACUAUCUGCUUGAGUCGUGCGUAGCACUGUCCUAAGAAACUAUUUCAUGAAAUUGAAAUGUUUCCCCAGGAUUAAACAAGCCUUCUUCUAAUUGUUGCUAAUAACAACAAGAAAAACAAGAUUUCUUCUUAUUGCAAACUAGAAGGACCAGAACUAGCAAAUUAAAACCAGCAGAUAUAUAUAAAGACAAGAAGAUGAGAACAGAAUUAUCAAUAGGAUAUCAACUAACAAAAAAUAAAAGAGAGAAAGAGAGAGAGAGAGAGAGCAGCUAUCAAAAGAUAUCAACUGAAGCUGUUGGGUAAUUUUCUGAGGGAGAAGUGGAUCCUAUUUAUAGACUUCAGAGUGAGGUGCAACCCUUCUCACUUCCGAUGUGGGACAAAGACUGCAACCCUUCUCACUUGACAAUGUGGGACAGAGAAAUAAUACUUCUCAUUUUUCCGAUGUGGGACAAAGAAUAUUUUUGAAAUACUAUAUAUUUUACAACAAUCUCCCACCUAUUUCAAAAAAUUCUUUGGAUAAAGGAAGAAUUUUAAAAGUACUCUGCUGGAUUUGGUUGAAAUGUAAUUAGAUUGGUGUCUUUUGGACUAUGAACCAAACAUAGAUUGAUAAAACAUGAUCUACAGAAUUAUUGGUGAAAUAUAAAUUUCUAUGAACCAAUAACUCUUGAUGUAUGACAGAGAUUUUAUCAAUCACAUUACAACCCAUAAUUUGCUGUUAACGCGAUUUUGCGCUUUUUGGCCGUGCGCCUGCCUGGUUAUUCAUGAGAGCUCUAAAGAUUUGACCAAUGAAUCUUAUAGGAGCGGCCCCACUCCACUCCCAUAUAGGUGAAUUCAUCAAGUGUGUAUUGCUUUAACUACACCUCCCUAAUGGGAUAUGAAUUCAUUAAGAGUUUUAACUCAUCCUCACAAUUACUCAAAGCACUUAUCUCUAGAGGGACUUAAAUUUGAAGUGCUUUAUUAUCAAUAUUGACUUGUUAUUACCCAUAUGAACCUACUUCAUGGGAUCACCAAUCACAUAGGUUGGGUUACCGUCUCUAUUGACAACUUGUUGGUCGAAGUCCCAUUUCUUUCGUAGUUUGAAGAAUCAAUUUUCUUCCUACGGGUUUAGUCAGAGGAUCGGCCAAAUUCAACUCUGACUUUACAUAAUCAAUGGAAAUAAUUCCAUCUCUAAACAGCUGCUUUACGACAUCAUGUCUCAAUCUCAUGUGUCGACUUUUACAAUUAUACGAUUUAUUUUUAGCUAUGGCAAUCGCUGCUUGACAGUCACAAUGUAUGGACACAGGAGGCAACAAAUCCUUAGUUGAAGGAAUAUUAGCUAAGAAAUUUCUCAACCACUCGGCCUCAGUCCCUGUCAGUUCCAGAGCUACAAACUCUGACUCCAUUGUUGAUCUAGCAAUGAUUGUCUGUCUAGCAGAUUUCCAUGCUAUUGCACCACCACCAAGGGUGUACACAUAACCACUAGUGGAUUUCGUAUCAUUUGAAUCAGAGAUCCAAUUAGCAUCACUGUAACCUUCUAAUACAGUGGGAAAUCCACUAUACAGGAUACCAAAAUUCAUGGUACCUCUCAAAUAUUUCAUUAGUCUGACUAAUGCAAACCAAUGCUCACGGUUGGGAUUAUGAGUAUAUCUACUCAGUCGACAUACAGCAUAAGCUAUAUCAGGUCUAGUAAAAUUCAUCAGAUGCAUCAGACUCCCAAUAAUCUGAGCAUAUUUAGACUGAGCAAUUGGGCCACCAUUAUUUUUCUUUAAUUGAGUGUUAGCAUCAUAAGGAGUACUCACAGGUGUCACAUCAUAAUUUUCAAACUUCCUAAGAAGUCUUUCUGUAUAAUGUUCUUGUGACAACAUUAUACCAUCACCUUUCCUUAUGAUUUUAACACCCAAUAUUAUUUUGGCUUCACCCAAAUCUUUCAUAUCAAAAUUAGAAGACAAAAAAUAUUUAGUACUAUUUACAAUAUCUAGACUAGUACCAAAUAUAAGCAUGUCAUCCACAUAUAAACUGAUUAUCACAUAUUGAUCAUUUAUAUUUUUGACAUAUACACAUUUAUCCACUUCUACAGACGAAAAUCCAUCUUUCAUCCAUACUUGAUCAAAUUUCUCAUGCCACUGUUUAGGAGCUUGUUUUAGGCCAUAAAGAGAUUUAAUUAGUUUACAAACCUUAUUUUCUUGUCCAGAUACAAUACAUCCCUCAGGUUGAAACAUAUAAAUUUCUUCUUCUAAGUCACCAUUUAAAAAGGCUGUUUUGACAUCCAUUUGAUGAAUAACAAGUUUAUGGAUAGAAGCUAAAGCAAAUAAAACUCGAAUAGACGCAAUUCUAGUUACUGGUGCAAAUGUAUCAAAAUAGUCAAUAUUUUGUUUUUGAGAAAAUCCUUUUGCUACUAAACGAGCUUUGUACUUUUCUAUAGAGCCAUCAGAGUUAUAUUUUCUUUUAAAAAUCCAUUUGCAACCAAUAGGUUUUGCACCAGGAGGUAAGUCUACCAAAAUCCAAGUUUUAUUUGACAAGAUAGAAUCAAUUUCAGAUUUAAUUGCUUCUUUCCAAAAUUUACACUCAGGAGAAGAAAUAGCAUCGGAGUAUGUUAAAGGAUCAUUAUCAACAAGAAAGGUUUGGAAAUCUUUUCCAAAUGAAAAUUCUUUUCUUGGCCUUUUGCUCCUUCUUAAUUCCUCAAUUGGAAUAAUUUCCUUAUUUAUUUCAACAGGUGCAUGAGAAAUUUUACUAGACAGUGGAAAAAUAUGUUCAAAAAAAUUCUGCAUUCUUUGUCUCAAUAAUUGUAUUACAAUCAAGUAUAUCACUUCUUAACACAAGAAAUCUAUAUGCAGCACUAUGUUCAGCAUAUCCAAUAAACAUACAAUCAGAAGUUUUAGAACCUAUUUUCCUUUUCUUAGGUUCAGGCAACAAGACUUUAGCAAGACACCCCCAAACUUUUAAAUAUUUCAAAUUUGGUUUAUAAUUUUUCCAUAACUCAUAAGGUGUUUUGCCAGUCUUUUUAUGUGGGAUUCUAUUUUGUAAGUGACAUGCAGAUAAUAUAGCUUCUCCCCAUAAAUUAUCUGAAGCAUGAGAACUAAUUAACAUAGAGUUCAUCAUUUCUUUUAACGUUCUAUUUUUCCUUUCAGCUACUCCAUUAGAUUCUGGUGAAUAAGGUGGAGUAUAUUUCAUGUAUUAUGCCUUCCUGUUCACAAAGGUUAUCUAAAGUUAAAUAUUCUCCACCCCUAUCUGAUCUAAUUCUUUUUAUCCUUUUAUUAAGUUGAUUUUCUACUUCAGACUUAUAGGAUAAAAAGGCAUUAUAAGUAUCAUCUUUAUUUCUAAGUAAAUAAACUUUGGUAUAUCUGGAAUAGUCAUCUAUAAAGGUGACAUAAUACCUUUUCCCACCUCUAGUCAUUGUUUGUUUUAAAUCACCUAAAUCAGUAUGAAUUAAAUUUAAUAACUCAGUUUCUCUAUGGACAGUUAUACAACUUUUCUUUGUUAUUUUAGCUUCUGCACAUAUUUCACAUUUGUCCAUAUUAUCAUUAAUACCAGAAAUUAGGCCACAUGAUUGCAUUUUCUUUAUAUAACCAAUAUUAACAUGUCCUAAUCUAGCAUGCCAUAAAGAAAUGGAAUCAAUAAUAUAAGCAGAAGAAGAUGCAUUUUCAUUGAUCACAUUGGAAAUAUUAAGUACAAAAGGUCCCUGAUUACAAUAGUCUUUCCCAACAAACACAUUAUUUCUUGUCAUUAUAAUCUUAUCAGAUUCGAAUGACACUUUCACCUCAACUUUUCCAAGCAAAGCCACAGAAACAAGAUUUGCCCGAAUAUUUGGAACAUGCAGCACAUCAUUAAGAGCCAAAGUAUUUCCUGAAGUGAGUUUCAAUAGUACUUUGCCCUUACCAGAACUUUAGCAGUUCGUGAGUCUGCAAGGUAGACUACUUUUUCAUCAUCCCCUAUUGAAGUAUAGGAGGAAAACGCUUCUCGAUUUGCACAUAUGUGCCGAGUAGCCCAGAGUCUACCACCCAUUCUUUAACAUUAGCUGCAAUGUUCACUUGAGAGAUGACUGCAGCAAUUAUUUCAUCUCCUUCGGUUAAAUUAAUCUUAGGAGGAUUACCAUUUGCUUUGUCACCUUUAUUGUAUCUAUACAGGGCAGCAUAAUGUUCUGAUUUUCUACAAUAAUGGCAAUUGCCUUUCUUUUUCUUAAAGUUGGGAAUAUUAGGCUUGUAAUUGGGAUUUUUUGGUCUAUUAUACUGGGACUUAUUGGCUUGCACAUAGCUACAAUACACAUCAAAUAAUUCAUUUAAAAGUGUUUGUAAAAUAGUAUAUCGACAUACCUUAUUGGCAUAUUUCCACGACUCUUGUAUCUUGACAUCUAUUGUGGCAGCAGGUUGAGAUUCCGUCAGUGCAUAGGCCACUCCAUGUAUGUCGAGUAGAGAGUAGACACGUUCUUGCCACCUUUUGAAGUUUUCAUCAACAAAAACCUCAAUUCUAGAGACGUCAGGAAAUGGCUUCGCAAAAGGUAGUGUCACUGCAACAGUUGCUGAUGAAGACUGUGGGGUGUUAACAUUGUCAGAUGCCAUAGUUUCUUAGAUUGUUGGAUAAAUAGCUACAACAAUGUUAACACUAUCUGCUUGAGUCGUGCGUAGCACUGUCCUAAGAAACUAUUUCAUGAAAUUGAAAUGUUUCCCCAGGAUUAAACAAGCCUUCUUCUAAUUGUUGCUAACAAGAAAAACAAGAUUUCUUCUUAUUGCAAACUAGAAGGACCAGAACUAGCAAAUUAAAACCAGCAGAUAUAUAUAAAAGACAAGAAGAUGAGAACAGAAUUAUCAAUAGGAUAUCAACUAACAAAAAAUAAAAGAGAGAAAGAGAGAGAGAGAGAGAGCAGCUAUCAAAAGAUAUCAACUGAAGCUGCUGGGGUAAUUUUCUGAGGGAGAAGUGGAUCCUAUUUAUAGACUUCAGAGUGAGGUGCAACCCUUCUCACUUCCGAUGUGGGACAAAGACUGCAACCCUUCUCACUUGACAAUGUGGGACAGAGAAAUAAUACUUCUCAUUUUUCCGAUGUGAGACAAAGAAUAUUUUUGAAAUACUAUAUAUUUUACAACAGAGGGUGUUAAGAAGGGUUUAUCCUUUCAAAUCAUUCCUUGAUCCGCAAGUUAUCCGUCUUGCCAAAAUUACAUACACGUCCUUGAUCACUCAUGAUUUGCUUUGCUGUAAGGGUCAGUCUUGCCAGCAAUUUAAAUUGGAGGGUUUAAAAAGACUUUUUCCAUUCUCAUCUUCACGAGACAAUUAUUCAAGCUAUUGUCCUGCCAACUCCCAAGAACUUGAUCAGCAAGGAAGGGGAUUUUGAGCCAAUGCAAGUUAGUUUGUUCCACGCGCAAGGCCAUUACAUGAUAACGAAGAAAUUGAGCUUGACUCAACAAAAAAUGCCAUGCACUCGAACCUCCUUUCAGUUUUCACUUCCAUUCAUUCAAAUCUGAUUAAAUUGAAGGAAUAUCAUCCAGUAAACACUGCACAAACGGUUUCUUCAGUUAAACACUUCCAUUCAUUCAGAUUUGAUUAAAUUGAAGGAACAUCACCCAGUAAACACAGCACGAUCACUGGCUAACUGCAGGCUGCAGCUUAGUCCUGCCAUACUACAAGCCAAACAGAAUUUACUUCCGCGGACUAGUUACUGUCAAUCAUCGAGCAUCUCACCAUCUGAUUUUCCGGCCAAAAAUAAAAGAGGCAAAAUGGUGAGAGCCAAGUAGAGCAACUCCGGAUUACUUUCUUAGCUGUCUAUACAAAAACAUGAUCGAGUUCCUCACAAAACCUACGAGUCACGAUGUAUGGAAUGGAUGGUUAAUACUGUAGGCCCUUGAUGAAAAGGCACAACUUUAAUUUAACUUUCAAAAACUACUACAAAAUACCAAAUUCCAUCCAUGUUGAGGCGCUCAAAAUAUAUCAGCCCUUAAGACAUAGCCUGCCAACUAUCAUACAAUUAAGGUGCAAAAAGCUUACAUGCACACUUAUUUUAUUUUAAUAUCCUAAUUGCUAACCACAUAUGAUUUUCCAUUGUAACUGCUACUUUACUUCUCAGGCUUUUCUUAGAAAAAUGGCUCGGCAUAGCUUAGAUAUGAGAUGAACCGCGCUUUUAGCAACUGAGUGUGGUAAGUAUGAUGAAAUUGGAGUGCAACCAACAAAUGAAACUGCUACAAUAAUUUUGAUUGACAAAUCAUGAAUGCCAAAUUUACCAAUUGGAAUAGGAAAUCAUUAGCAUUUGGUGGCUGUUGACGAGGCAUAAAAACACAUUACCAUGCGAUGCACCUUAACAAGAAAAAACAAGUAAUAUAAGCUAGAAAUUCUACCUUUUUAACUGUAGGCCUCCAAACUGGUUCUUUAAUGUGUCAUAAUGCCCAUAACCAUGAUAUAGAACACGCACUGGAUUUUCCUUUCCAUAUUCUUGACCAUACUCGGCUAUUACUUUGAGGGAAUUUGUCUUCUUAUCCAACAUAUGCACUGUGAUAGGAACCCUGAAUCAAAAAUUUAGAUUAGCUUCUCAGGUAUCAAUACCAUGAGCACUACCAACCUUCAACUGGAUAGGCACGUUACAAUGUUUGAAUUCUUUCAUUUAUAGCGUGGGCAUGGAUAGGUUAAAUCAGAGAAAUACGGUAGACCUACUGUAAAACAUGGGAAGACAUUAGUAGCUCAGGCUCUCCUCCCCAACUAUGGGGCCGCCUCAUUUUCAUAACAUACGUGUCAAAAUCACCUUCAACAAACCUGAAAAGCAACAAAUUUCCCUUGAGAACAAACUUUGUUUUUGUACUUGAAAACAUGCUUGAGCUGUGAUAGAUAACAUUUCUCAGGACAUCCCGGAUGUGUUCGAGGAUAACAGAGCUCUGGUCAUACUGAGACCCAAGUUGUGCAAGAAUGAAUUGAAAGACAAAUUUUUAAAGGUCCAGGUUAGCACGAACCCCAAAGGUCAAGGUUCGGAAGAACAAGAAAUGUAUGGACUUGCUAUGGCCUUGAUCAAUACAGCCAGUACUGCCAGAAUGACUCGAAAGAAAAAUCAAACUUCAAACGUGAAGCUGGAUGCUGAACUGAUUAACAUGAUUUCAAAAAGGUAGGUCAAUUGUUCAGAAGAUAUGCAUGGACUUGCCACGGACUAGGUCAAAGUGUAGUAAACCAAGCAAAAGAGCAGUAUCCCAAAGGCAUAUACGCAAGUCUUACCACUCUGUAUCUGCUCGUCUUUUGAUAAGUUCAUCUGUCACCUGUAAGAACAGAGUUGCAUUUGUUGGUCAAAAGAACUCAUGAUAACCAAAAGUUUAGUCGGAUCGUUACUAAGUUUUGCUUCUUCUGCAAUACAGAGCUGUUAGCUGGAAGGACACCACAGGCAGACAGAACUUUUACUUUGAGGGAGCAAAGUAUUGAUCAUGGACAUAACAGAGUGCGACAGAAAUUGUUUGAAAAACUUAUUAGUCAAGGAAAACCUGCGUUUUUGAAAGGAAACUUGUAGAAACUCUUGGAAUGGUCAACCUCGUCAGAUAUUCAAUCGCCUUAACAUUCUCUAUAAUUUAGUUACUCGUGUCACUUAGAACACAGCAAAAAGAAAAAGUAUCAUUGUGCCACAAGUCAACUGUAAAUUAAGUAGUGAUAGACGAAAUGUGGGGUUAAGAUUUAAUUCAAACUGGAGCAAAAAAGAAAUGCUGUACAGGUAUUAAGUCGAAUCCCAGCUAGACAAGUAGUAUUAAGUUGAUCCUAAAAGCACCAGAGUCCAAGAAUUAGGAAGAGCAGAAGAAAGCUAAUGAUUUACUUUGGCUCUGAGCUCAUCAGCCAGCUCUCUCUCAUCGGCUUCACUUGGAGAUGGCUUUCCUAAUCUCAAACAAUCACCAUGGACCACAGACCUGAACAAGCAUCUCCCAUCUCCAGGUAUCCCUGCAGCAAAGUGGUGCAAAAAGACCAUUUGCCGUGGUUGACAUUAUUAGGGCAGCUUAUGUAACAACAACAUCAAAGCAUAUUGUUGAUCCAAAAUAACAGGACUGCAAGCAAAGAUUAUUUGCCGUAACGUUUCAAACUGCAUACCAUAUCUUCAUCAUGCAGGAUGAACGUAACGUUAUUGUAAUGUUUUACAAUUCUAACAUAAUAGGAACGUAAAAAUAUAUGUGAGGAAGAAAUGGAUGAAAACGCAAAGUACUUGUUGCUCAUGAAGAUGAUAUCCACUUAUUCAAAAGCAAAAAUAGAAUAACCGGAAAAAAAAAAAAAAAAAAGUGUGACAGCACUCGCACACCUAAACCAAAAGCCAUUACGAUUACCAGAUUUUAUUCGCUCCUCAAACAUCAUAAAGAUGGACCAGCAAAUGAUCUAGUCACUGUAUUUCCCGUUUUCUCUUUUUGAUAACUUGAAUUUUUUUUUAAAACAAAUAAAUAAAUAUAUAGCAACACAACUCAAUUAAGCAAAAGAAAAAUGCUGCAAUGCAAGAAAAGAAUCAUAAAGCCAAGCCAAUGAGUUGAAGCCAAGCAUCCAUGCCAGAGUUAUUAUGACGUAAGAAAUGGUAAAUGCCACAUAAAAAUUUUUUCAAAAAAAAAAACAGAGAGAGAGAGAGGAACAAAUAAAUAACAAUAAGCAGCAGAUACGAAUGGUGCGGAAGUGGUUACCAAACUUCCAAUCUCGUUUCGGCAUGAGAUCAAAGAUGUUUCCAACUCUUUCUUUUUUUUGGCAAUUUAAAUGGAGUACUGUACGUAGUUCAUGUUUUUAUGGAAUUUACCUUUUUGUAAAUUCGAAAUACAUUAUUCUGAUUCUGUAGCAGCGAGACGGGGAGAGGCAGACUUUCAUCAGAAGAAGAAGAGAAUCAGAUUCGAUUCAACGCGAGAAGAGCAAGAAUCGACUGAGUGAGGGGGCUGAGUUACAAUAUUGAGGCGCGACUGACUCGGGAAGCGGAGGCACGAUGGGCUCACUGCAUGUGUGGGCUUUUAGUUUUAGGGCCGCAAUUGAUGUGGGCUUUUAUUCUUAGUACGAAAAUGUACACGUGUUCUAUUGUUUUAUUAGAUGUGUCAUGAUUUUCGGUUAAUUUUUCAUGAGCGAAAUAAUUAUUUGGAUUGCACGUUAUUUAUACAUACAUGCUGAUUUACUUGUAUGAUCAAUACAUUUUUUAAUUUUUUUAUUUCACAUACAUCAUAUAAAAAAUUACUACAAUAUUUUUUUAUAAAAUUAUCUCAAACAAUGAAUCUACUAUCCAAACACACUUAUAAUAUUGGCUCAUAAUUUUGCUUUUGUUUUUGGAGCAUCCCAUAAUAGUUGUAAUUUCGACAAUUAGACAAAAACUUAACGGUUAAAAAGAAAAAAAAAAUUAAAAGAGUUGCCAUCUCCAAAGCAGGGACCUAAAGCGAAAGGAAGUCACUGUGCUUGUAACUUAAUAGACAUCCGUCCUAUCUUUGAGAAGAGAGUUAGGGGGGGAAAAUAGAAAAGGUCAAUCUUUCGAAUAAGGAAGAAGAACGUAAUUGUAAUAAAAUUAAGAAAAGAAGCAAAAAAAAAAAAAGAACGCAAGAAAAUUGCUGAAAAAGCUUCUCCUUAGAAAUGCUUGACCUUCUUGUCGCACAAGCUUGGGCAAACCCUUGACCUUGUGGUUCUCUUCUUUUUUUCUAGACUUGGAGAGCUUUGCAAUUUGUAGGAUUAUUAAAUCAAAAGUCUUUUUAGAAUUUAUUUAUUUAGUUAGGAAACUACUUAUUUUGUUGUUUAGUUGUAAUUUCCUAGUAGUAGUUGCAAUAAAAGCCUUCAAAGUUCUUCUCUGUUUUUUUUUUUCCUCUGUUUCUUUGUUUUGUAUGCGGGUCUCGAGAUUUAUUUAGGCUUUGUUUGGAUUGCUUAUUUCCGUCGAAAAAUAUUGGGAGUGUUUGGAUACCUACGCUAUCUCAAAUAAUAUUUUGCUUGCAUCAUAAACACAUUUCCCAACCUAUCUUUUUAUAUUCCCAAUUACCUUUUUAUCUCACAUACAUCACAUCACAAAAAGUGCUACAGUAAUUAUUCCAAAUAAUAUUCAAAUAAUACACUAUCCAAACAAACUAUUGUCGUUUUCCGUGAUCACAUUUCCCUAUCACCUUUUUCCCUUACAUAUAUCAAAUCGCUACAGUAAUUUUUCCAUGAAAAAUGACGGAAAAUGCAAUCCAAACACAACCUUUGUCUUCCCGUGGUUUCGUUGAAUCGAGAAAGCAUAUUUAUUGUGUUUCAUAUAGAGUAGUUUGAUUAAUAUGUAUGUUUGUUUGUUUGGAUAAGAGGUUAUUUGGAUGAUUUAUUUGAAAUAAUUAUUGUAACAUUUUUUAUGAUGUGAGAUAAAAAAAGACGAUUGAGAUUUUGAAGUAAAUUAUUUUGUUUCAAAUUAUCUCAAUCCAAACACUCAUUUUAUUAUUAUUUUGUUUUACGGGCCUACACAACUGCAUAUAAAUGGUAUUUUCUUGGUAUUUUCUUUUGUGUCGACCACGCCACUAUAAUAUGUUUUGAUACUCUGAAAUUUCAAAUGGCUUCUGCUGAAAGUUCCACACUCAAAUUUAGACGUAUUAUAAAAGCGCAAGUCUCGAACGCCCCCCGUCCCAAAUGCAGCAGCCUCGUAUACAUAACAAGUUUUCUGCCGCCUAACAGAGCAAAGUUCCAACCAAAAAAAAAAAAAAAAAACAGUGCAAAGUUUAAAACACGAGAUCGAGAUAUCCUAUCCACCCAUCAUGUUUUCCCUAAACAGUGGCAUUCCUUCAACAACGUCGGUUCUAUCAGCAUACACAACUUUUGCUGCAUCCGCUGUUCUAGUGCGCACCGUGCUCAAUGAAGUCCAGCGCAUGACUAGCCGGCUUAUACCCCAACAACUCCAAGACAAGCUCUUCACCAAAAUUGGAUCCCUUUUUGGGAAUCUCUCUUCCCAGAUGUGUAUAACCAUUCUGAUCACAAUGGCAUCACCCCGAAUGAGAUGUUCGAGGCUUGUGAAACUUAUUUAAGAGGAAACAUAAGCCCGUCGGUCCACCGGCUCAAGGUAGUGAAGGAGCCAAAAGCAGAGAAAUUGUCCGUCAACAUAAGCGAUGGCGAGACAACUUUUGACGUAUUCGAGGGGAUACAGCUUGUUUGGAGAUUGAAUUGCUCUGAGACUCAGAAGACUGGCACCGACUAUGAUGGCUACUUCUCUUCUGAAAGGGUGGAACGUCGAUCGUUUGAGCUUUUCUUUAACAAGAAGCACAAGGAUAAGGUAUUAGGAUCUUACCUGCCCUACGUGCUUGAAAGAUCGAAAGCCAUCAACGGAGAGAACAAAGUGAUAAAGCUGUACUCGGGUGGAAAUUGGUACGUGGUUAUUAAUCUCCAACAUCCAUCCACGUUUGACACGCUGGCAAUGGAUCCAGAGGUUAAGAAAGAAUUGAUGCAGGACUUGGAUAGAUUUGUGAGGAGGAGGACUUUCUAUAAGAGGGUUGGGAAGGCUUGGAAAAGAGGAUACUUGUUGUAUGGUCCUCCAGGAACCGGCAAGUCCAGCUUGGUUGCUGCCAUGGCGAACUAUCUCAAAUUCCACAUCUAUGACUUGGAGCUUUCCAGUGUGCGAGGCAACAACGACCUUAGAAGUCUACUGGUUUCGACUCAAAACCGAUCAAUCCUUGUCAUUGAGGACAUUGAUUGCAGCAUUGAGAUGCAGAACAGAGAAGCUGGCCAAUCCGGAAGAUGCAGUGGUGAGAUUCAGGUGAUCCUCUAUUUAAAGCUUUAUUUAUUAUUCAAAAGCCUUUCACCUUUACUGAGUCUUCUUCCUCUGCAUGUAGCCAAGAAAUAUCGUGCUAUAUCUUUAGAAAUUAAUUGAUCUUAUUUGGCCUGGCAGCUAACAUUAUCAGGAUUGCUGAAUUUUAUCGAUGGGCUGUGGUCGAGUUGCGGUGAUGAAAGAAUAGUUGUGUUCACAACCAACUACAAAGAAAGGCUGGAUCCUGCACUGUUAAGGCCUGGACGGAUGGACAUGCAUAUUCAUUUGUCAUAUUGCACUCCUGGUGGAUUCAGGAUCUUGGCUUCCAAUUAUCUUGGUUUGAAGGAUCACGACGGUUUAGUGAAAUUGAAGAGCUCAUAGCAGAAGUGGAGGUAACCGCUGCUGAGAUUGCGGAAGAGCUCAUGAAAAGUGAAGAAAUUGACUUUGUACUUGCGGGACUCGUUGCUUUCCUUGAGAAGAAAAAGAAGGAAAAGGCCAAGUCCAAUAUUGGCAAAGAGGACGAAGUUAAGGGUAACAAGAAAGAGGAGGACGUAAAGUUACCAAGGAGAAGUAGGAGGAAGAGAAGCAGAAAAUCCAGGAUAUGAUGGUUCCAUUUAUUUACAAUCUGUUUAUGUAGCUUGUGUUCUUUUCUUUGUUUUUUUCCCUUCCUUUCUUUCUUUCUUUCUUUCUUUUUCUUCUGCGUCUUUUUCUUUCUUUUGUAUCGUGUGGAUACGAAAGUACUAGUAAUAAAUAUCUUUUGAAGUAGUAUCGAGUUCACACUAAUUGGCUAUUGGCAUGUUGGUUGUGAAGUAUACCUCAACAUUUAAAUAAACCUAAAUCGGAAAAAGAACUAAAUCUGAAAUUUGUGGUACUUGCAUGCGUCAGUCAUUACUUAGACAGAGACCAUAAUGUCUUGUUUCAAACUUUGAAAUUACUACAAAUAUUCCAUCCAUUUAUAGAAUAUUCUCCUCAUGAAAAUGCCUUUUAAAAGCUCCACCACCUCCUCAAAACAGAAAAAAAAAAAAAGUGAUGUUUAGCACCAGAAAGAUGUAAGCAACAUAAUUGAUCACUGUAAUUAGCCUGAGAUGUACAAGUUUCUCGGAUAUGCUAAAAGCCAGUCAUGAUCUAAGAAAGCAAAACAAAUGACAGCCUCCCAUUUUCCUGGACUCGUUCCUUACAAAGCGAAUAAGACCAAUAAGGUAGAAACUUUGGAAGAUUGACUGGUUCUUUCUCACCUUCAUUCAAGAGUUAUUGGAACUGAGAUGGUCAAAUUUGAUCCCUUUAAUUAACACCUUUAACAUAGCGCUGCGCUCGAUUGAACUAUAUUGACUCAGAACUUCUCAUUUUAUGGUAGCAUGUGCCCUCGUCAUCUGUGUAGAAGAAGUAAAUAGAGCUGCUUUUAUUCCCUCAGGACCAACAAUCGCUGCCAGAACGAUGUUGAGACGUCGUCCAUUACAUACGUUUGUAGCGUCAAUUUUAGCCAUUAUUCACAGUGCCUGCGGUAAAGCACAGGACUAAAUGGACCUAUGGGAUCAUUGACGACAAAAACAACCAAAUUCAUCAGUUCUACCUUUCCGUUUAUAUAUUCUAUGCAGUAUCAAUGCCUAGCAAUCUUGUCCUUUGCUGAUGAUCACAUUCUAGCCAUUGAAAACAUGGUAGAAAACAUUUUUCCACCAUCAACGCAUUUAUUCAACGGGAUUGACAAGCUUGUUUACAAUGCAGAAUAUUUACCAGGAAGGUUUGACGAUGCCAUGAAUGCAAUCCCUAUAAUUAUGCACCAAGUUCCAUUUCUUGAUUGGGUAGUGAUGCAUCUCAUCACGGCUAAAUUUUCUAAUCUCUACCUGAUGAAUUGGGAUCAAAGAAUACACAAGAGAAGGAUAUAAUGAUUGAUAUAGUCUGCAACAAUCCCGGACCUGGGCUAGACAUUUCGAUGGAUAAGGCAGCCUCCCACAAAGAGAAUGAUGAGUUUCCUUCGAUGUCCACAUCUCAUCCUUCACGAGAAAUGGCCAAAGAAUUUGAAAGCGAAAAGGGUUGCGUUCAAAUGCCAAAAAUCGCACAAUGUCAACUCAACGAAGAUACAGUCACCUCCAGAAUUAUCCAAGGGGUCUUUCUACAAGCCAUUCCAAGAUGAGAUGAGGUGCAGUUACAAGGAAAUGCUUGAAAAGGGAACAAAGGGAAAUGCUGAAACUAAGAGGACAAUCAUAAUAACUCACAAUAUGAAACUCCUCGAAGCACAAUCAGUGAAGGAGGAGUUGAAAUAGACAGAGAGAAAGACCUACAGGAAAGCAUUGCGGGAUUUGACCUGGAUGAUCCAAUUUUAGAACUAUACGAAGCAAGCUGGCACCUGAAAUAAAUCCAGUAAGUAUCAAAUUAAGGUAUUGCUGCUAUGGCAAUCAGAUAACACACCUGAAAUGAUUUGCGUGGUAGAUACCCGUUUGGCAAACAAGUUUUUGAUCAAGUUUGUCUUCUACAAGUUUUUUAACAACUUUAGCUACAAUAAUCUCAAAAAACCUAGAAGUUUUUAAACUAUCACUUCAAAAUAUCCAAAAAUUUACACAUUUCAAAAAUUUUUCUUAUAACUUUUACAGUAAGCUACAGUUAAAAUUUUAGACAAAUACCCAAAAAAUUCAUUUGCCAAACAGUACCCAGGAGAAACAUGGUAGUUGCCUAGUUCUGAUCAUUGAUCAGCAGCCGCAGAAUAUAGCAUGAUUACGGUUCGCAUGCAUUUCUACAGUGCUGAAACUUGUAAUGUUGUUUUUUAUAGUACAUUUUAUGAUAUAUGGACUGUAUGCAGAGUUGCAUUUGUCCUACAAAUCGUUGAUGAAACAAGCUCUUUUUAACAAGCUUUUUUUAUUUACAAUUGAUUAUUCGCCCUGCUUCUGAACACUUUUAACUUCCGCAAACGACAAUCUUGGCAGAAUCUAUGAAGAAAAGCAAAUAAAGGUUGGGAGAAAAAUUAACUUCCCAAGCAAAGUGACAAUUGAUACCUUUUUUUUUUGGAGCAAAAACAAUUGCGUGGUUGAAAUGAAAGGAAAAGAGCUUAUUACAAGUCUUGUGUGAAAGAAGGGGCCAGGAGAAUCCACGAGGUUGGACAUAGAAGACAACAUAGAAAAUGCUGAGACACAACUUGUAAGUAAGCGCUGCGAUUGACCAAAAAAUUAAUAACGCCCACCGUGGGGCUCGAACCCACGACCACAAGGUUAAGAGCCUUGCGCUCUACCGACUGAGCUAGACGGGCUUGUUGCAAGUUAAACACAUGAGCUAUUGAAGUUUUAAAAUGGCAUUCCAGCAAUAAACCCAGCCCGGCCGACAAUCAAACCAAUCAACCAGAUGAACCAGCUAUUGGGCUGAGCUGAGUUUCUAAUUAGACGUUUAAACAUAAGAACCGUUGACUGGUAAAUAAUUCAACGAUUCAACCGAAACCGACCAAAUUUUGUUCACAAACCGAGUUUUGUGGAAAAAUUUUUAGUUAGCUUUUAUUAAGACUCAAACUUGGGAACUUAAGCACAUAACUAGAGCAUAGUUACCACCAGGCCACUUACCAAAUGUUAGUAGAGUAACUUUCUUAUGAUAUAUGAAUGUUUUAUUAAUUCUAUUUUUUUUUAAUUUCUCUAAAACAAAUUUAUUUGGAAUCUUUUAAUAAAAACUUAUAACCUUCCAAACUCUAUAAGUUAUAAAAUGGAUUUCAAAAAUAACAUAUUACAUAAUUCAUGUUAAAGGCAAAUAUUGUUUUUAAUAAUUUUUUGCACUUAAAAUUCAUAAAUAAGCUAAUAAUUAUACUAAAUACAGAUAAAAUUUUACACUUGAAAUUUGGUGGAUUACUAAAUAAAUUUAUAUUUUAUUGAUUUUAUAUGAAUUAAUUAUUCUAUAGUGAAUUAAAUUGAAUGAGCAUUUACUAUGACAUUUUUAUUACAUUUAUAUCAUAUAUUUUAUAUCAAAAUUUAUAAAACAUAAUAUUUAAAUAUAUUUAGUGAUCACUAAUUCAACCACUCAUCCAUUGAUUAAAUCAGUGAUCCAUUAACCCUCCUCGCGGGUUCCUUUCCAAGCCGGUAUAAUAACUAUGCCAGCGAUACAAGGAGGCAUUGAAGGGCCCAAACAAAGAAAUCGAUCCCUCCCUGCGUCAACUCAUUGAAAGAUGCAACAACUCACUUCCAGCUCAUGCUCAACAAACAACACCACAACGGCAACGUGAAAGAGAAAUCUAAGAAAUAAUGAAGGAAAAUUCACAAGAUCGCCUUCCCUUUGAAUAGCAUGCCAUCUAACUCUUCAAUUGGUCGCGAUGCAAGUUUACAUCAUUUACAGACUCCCGUUCUUUAAGUACCAGGAGAUUCACUUUUAAAACUUCAACUAAGGGUUCACUUUUGGGUAGUUGUACGCUAUUCUAUCAGGAAGAUAAAGCAAGCAAAAUUUAGUGGCUAUAGCCUUACAGGAACCUGUACAUAUCUUCUGUGGGAAACAGGAAACUGGAAAACACGAUGCCUAUUGAAUAGGACAGAACUAAUUAAUACAAAGGAGAGAUACGUGAUUUAAUGUACAAGAUUGUCAGCAAAGGAACUAAGAAGAGUCUCUUAACACUGGUAUACAGAAAAACUCUUGUUCUUCCACCAAAAACUCCAGGCUCUUCCCACUUUUCUUCUGGAAACUGAUUUGCAUAGUGGUUUUGCAUCUUCUGUGGUUACGGGAAUCUCACUACAUUCAGGCUGCAGCGCAGCCUGGACAGCUGAUGGCUCCCGCUGCCUCUGCUCACGAAACAACAUUAAGAGCUUCUGAGCUUUCUGUUUUCCUCUCGUCGUCCCAUUUACAGAAAUACAAACCAAAGAAGGAAUCACUCCUUCUUGAAGGACCAUUUGACUGCACUUCUCAUUGCCAUUGCAUAGUAUUAAAAGACAUGCAGCAGCUUGCUCCUGCUCAACAGGCUCACCAACAUCCAAAAUAGUGCAAGCCCACUGACAAGGCCAGAAGAAGAUAUGAUUUCCUCACGCGCUGAUCUACUUGCAGCCAAGUUUAUGACAACCGCAAUGGAUUUCUCUGUCCAAGAAUGGUCACCCGAAUUUGUGAUAAGGACUUGCAAACUGUCAAUGACACCAGCUGAUAGAAGGGGGGAUAUUGGCUUGGUGCCAGAAAGAUUAUAAAGGGCAUGGAGCGAAUCAAGCCUACAUUGUACAUCAGGUUGAUGCUGAAGAACCUGAAUCAAGAAAGGGACAGCUUCACUGGAUCCAAUAAUGGGCUUGGCCUCUUCAAGGCAAGACAGGUUAAGGUAAAGGGCUGUUGCAGCUCCAGCACAUUUGCAAUUAAUGAUCAUCUUCCCAGCAAUUCAAGCACUUUUCCUUCCAGCAUCAAGUCCUUGUUUCUGAAGAGCAGCAUAGUGAAAUUGAAUAAGAACUUCCAGUGUAUAAUAAUCUAUUCUAAUAAUAAUCCAUUCUAAUAAUAAGCACCUAUAAACUGCAAUAUAACCUCUAUCCCGCGUCUCUGUAGUUGAAAACAAUGUCCAAAAUUCAAGACAUCAAGAUUUACAAAGAAGUACCUGUUAUUAUUCACAGCCAGAUUGAAAAGAGCCAUGGCUCCAACUUCCUGAGCUGUCUCAUUCCUUGCUUGCAAGGCCGAGUCCAAAAACCGCAAUAAUGCUUCAACAAAACCAUUUGCCCCCAUGUAUAUUCUGGCUUCUUCAUCAUCCUUUAGCAAGUGCCUUAUCUGUUCUACCACUUUGCACUGUUUUGUUAUGUCGUCUUCUUUUUCUAAGAUGACCAAAAAGUCUUUAUACUUUCGAAUAAAUUGACCCCACAUUCAUGCUCCUGUGGAGAAACAUCUUCAACUUCAUUUCCUUCAGCUUCCUCAAUAACACCACUAUCCUCCAAGGGUACCACCUUCACACCCUUGAACUUGAAGUACCCAACAUUAUGGUUAAUUUUGAUUUUGCAGUAUCACUGUCUGACAGAGCCAAUCUCCAGUAGUUCAGAUCAAGAGACUCGGGAGGGCCAUCUGGAACAGGAACUCCAUUCUGUUCACACCAACUAGCAACUAGACCCUUUACACAGUAAUUUGGAGUCAAUCCAAGAUGACACAGCUGCUGCUGAGUUUUUGGGCAUGUCUUGUGCCCAUCGCUGAACCACUUCUCUAUGCAGAUUCUUUCAUACGUCUGUCCAGAAGCAAUAAUUACAGGAUCAUACAUGAGUUGCAAUGAUAUUGGGCACCUUAAUUCUUCAGGAGGACAGGAAUCUGCCCAGAUCUCCUGAAGUUUGGCUUGAAGUUAAAAGAGCUGAGUUUUGAGAGUUGUCUGUCAAAGGCAUGGCCAUUAAUUCCAGGCCCACUACCAUCCUCAAAUGAUCCUUGAACAGUUGGAGAACAAGGUGUAGAACCCUGUGAGUCAUUAUCAUCCGAAAAUUCAUUUCUAAAUAAUUUUGAUAUUUUCUCAUUAGAUGCAAAAGAUAAGCCACAAUUGAUUCCUUUCUUUUGUCUUCCUCAGCACGAGCUCUGUCUAUAAGUUUCUUCAAAGCCCGUCUCUCUCUAAGUGCAGCUCUUGAAGAUGUGAUACCAAGUCUAGAAGCAGCCUGGUGAAAAGAUUCAAGUUCACCAGUGUCGUUAGAGUUGUUGAAUUUUCUACCUUGCUGGAGCAAUGCAAUUAUCUCGUCACCAACUUGUUUCUCCAUCGAAUCAAGUGAGAAUUCAAUCCCCAUAAGAUCAAUCAAAAUUUCUGAUAUCUGAAAUUAGAAAAAGGCUGGGUUGACAUCGCUUCCUUCAAGAAGAACCAAUGAAAUACAAAAGGAGAAUGCACACUACUAGGUUAAGAACUUAAAUGAAAAGCAAUAGAAGAGGAGGAGGAGAUGACUGCAACAUUUACGAUGCAUAAGGCAGAUAGAUCUACAGGAUGAGGCUCAAAAGUCCAGAAGAUAUGGUAAAAUUUGAACAAACCAAUGUCCGAAAUGCUCAAAUCUCAAGUUGCCCCGAAAAAAUAGCUAAAACAUUAUUUUUCAACCAGUUUAAAAGUAGCAAAACCACAUACUUAUCUUGAUCCAAAAUCGUCUUUGCAAUACACAAGCACUUCAAAUGUCCGUUAAUGAAAUAUUAAUGAUGCUUAAUUAAUACAUGCAAGACUGAUUAGAGCAUACAUGUAUUGGACCACAUCAAAGACUAACAGUAGUAGCAGGAUCAAGUUAGAUCACUAAAAGAAAGAACUAAUAUAAACGUUACCUGUGAACCAAUAGCUUGUGGAACAAUAUCUUCGACACGCCUCAGACCAUCUUCAAGAGCGCAUCUUGCCUUUCUCGAACUUUAGAACAACAGAGUCACCAGUUAUAGCCUGAUCAAAAGAAUGUGUUAAGUGAAUAAGUGGAGAAAGAAGAAAUAAAAUUCGACGGCUUUCAGUAUGAUAAAGUCCAAAAUUCCAACUAUGAGGAAUAGCAUGCAAGUCAUUGUACUAUCAGAAAAACAGCUGAGUCGCCACUGUUUUCACGCAAUCAAAUAUUUCCUAGUAGCUGUCUAUCCAAAUAACAGGAAAGCGAGGAGAUAAAUCGUAUCUUCUGGUUACCAAAAUGACAACCAGAAAAAAACGAAUAGUUCACUAAAUGGCAAAUGCAGGUUAGAUUUUUUAUGACGUUUAGUGUGAGGGGACGAAUUGAGAACCAAAGUCAAGAAAAAAAUAGCUUAGAUAAACACCACAUGUAAACAAGAUCACAGCCAUACCAAGUAAAGUUUACUACACUCUGCACAGUGUUGAAGAAUAUUCUUCGUCUUCUCAAGGGCAAUGUGCAAUGCACACAAUGCUUGAAUGCCUGAUGUACUUCUUGGCCUUGCUGCUUCCAAGUCAGGAAAUAUCCCCAAUACUUUAGCAUAAAUUGCUGAUAAACUCUUACACAUCCCUCCAUGCAACUACAAAACCAACCACAUUUUUUGUCUUUUUGUCAAUUGCUUGCAACAUUCAUGAUAUUACAAUAAAGACCUUAGAAAGUUGUGAUUGAUAUUACAUAACACAACAAAAGAGUUAAACCAUCAAAGAUGCUGCAACAAAUUGGAUUCAAUGCCCUCAAAAGUACCUCCAAUUCAUCAGGUGAACUAUAUUUUUUCCUAACGUAAUCAAACUAAAUCCUGCUACCAAACAUGACCCAACUAUUAUUAUUAACAAAAGUGUCAUUUUUUCAAAGAGAAUCAUCAUACACCAAAAUGGCUGAAUUAAAAAGCAUAAGUGUACCGUUAGACAAAACCUUUCAUUGAGAACAAAAUGCCAAAUAUCAAGUACUAAAGGAAAAAGAAUCAAAACGAGUCAGACAAACAUGUACAUCAGAACCCUCCAAACAUCCAAUAUAUAGAACCAUCCAACAACCUAAAGGCAGAAUAUACCAAUUAGCAUACCUUUGGUUCCCCAAUUAAGAGCAAAAUUUCUUCAACUUCAGCAGUUUCCAUGAUUCACAUUAACGGGAUUCAACUUUACUCACCUGAAAAAUUAGUACGUAACUAGAAAUAAUCAGAAUCUAUGAAUAAGGUAAUGCACCAAUAACCAUGGCAAGUUAACUAAUAAAAAGAGAAAAUUUAAACAAUAAUAAAGUAAAAAUCAACCCCAAACGGAAAAUAGCAAAACUCAAAUCCUCAUCCAGAUUGUGGAAACGAAGAGAUGCUAAAAACAAAAUCCUCGCUUCUUUAACUAAAAACCCAUCACUUGAAAAAACAAAUUCUGACAUGUCAGAAUACAAGUUAGUUCCUACAUAAUUGGGAUUCGAAUGAGAUCAGAAAGGCAUAAUGAGGCAAACGAUGCAAUAGCUUUGGUUGGAGCAAAGUCGAAAAUUUUGUAGUUUUACUUAUAAACUUCUUAACAAAAAUAUAGGAGCGGAAAAAAUCUUAACCGAUGUAGAAGGAAAAUAUGCGUUCAAAACAACAGAUGAAAACGAGUACAGCAAAGCCAAGCCUAAAAUCCAACCAAAGAGCAAAUGUUUUUACCCAAAUGAUGUACAAUCAUGAUCAAGCAGAACCAAAAUACAAAAAGGUUUGCAAUUAAUCACGUACAAUGAUUGACGGAGGCUCGAGGAAAUGAAGACUUGAGCAGAAAUUAAGGACCAUGUGUUGUAUUGGCCUUAUCACAAGCAGAAACUUUAAUUGCUUCCUUUGACCAGCUUUAGCUAAUUUCACUAGUUCUCUCUCAUAUAUUCAGGAGAUAUUCAAGAAACCAUAUAGGAAGAAAGAGAAAGGGCUGCUUUUCAGAUUUAGACUGAGGGCGAAAGAGAUGAUUAUGAUGGUGAUGAUGAUGGAAAUUGGAAAGCCAAAGGUAAUGAGAGAGGGAGAGGCUUUGGUUAAUUUUAGCAGAGUAGGGAAGAGAGGGGCCAGGGGAGUAAAUAGGGAGGAAUAUUUGAAAUUACUAUUUAAAUAGGGGUACAAAAUAAAAUAAAUGAUAUCAAAUCUGGGGACUAUGAGUGAAGGUUAAUUUUUUCAGUAUUCUGUUAUGGAAAGUACUCUUUCAUCUUCUUUUUUUUUUUUUUGGAUUUAAAAAUGAUUUUCGAGGGUUUUCUGUAGAAAAAAUAAUAAUUUUGGAGGGGCUCUCGGAAUUUUGAAGGCCGAUUUUGUCUCCCAAGUUCAUCGGCCGACAGUUGCCGACCUCCUGGUUUGUCGGCUAGCAGAUCUGGCUUAAAUGUGAUUGUAAUUUGUCCAUUUUGCCAUCCUUCCUUCUCUUUCUAGUCACGGAGGUUACGCGACUUCUUUUUUGAACGAUUUUCACUUUCACCGGCACUUUAUACCUUGAGUGACCACGGAAUUUUUUUUUUUUUUCUUCCUUCAUUGUAUACACAGCAGUUUCAGGUGUUAGUUUUCACAUACAAUAAUUAUAACGGUGCCUAUUCAAAUGAUAAAUUAGAUAUAAUUUAAGUGUUGCUAACAAAUAAUAUUUUAUAUAUUGACAAUGCAUACACUAUCAGCGUUGGAUAAAUGACAAUUAUAUAAAAUUUAAAUUUAAAAUUUAACUUUUGUACGUAUGCUAUAAAUCAAACGACAUUAAUGUAUACACUAUCAGUAUAUAUAAAAUUUACUCAAACAAAUAUUAAUGAGUACUUGUCAGAAAAAUCAUAACUAUGAUAAUAUACAAUGAUAGUUUUACAUCUCAAUUGCUACUGCAUUUCUAGUUGUUAACUUGCAAGUAUAAUCAUUUUUCUCAUUUGCCCUGUUCCGUGGAAUAGUUGAGGAUUGACAUGCAAAAUUAGAGCAUUAUCAUAACCGUUUUGAAUGCCAGAACGGUAAUAAAUGAUUAAUUAAACCUAAGCAAAAGAGAAACAGUAAUCAAGUGCAAUAACAAGAAUCGGAUGAUGAAUAAGCAUCAUUUAUUUUUUAUUAAUUAUUAUUAUUAUGGUGGCUGCUUCAGCAUUUUUAAAGUGAUCAAGCACUUUGUGAAAGGAUCUGAUUUAAGUGGCAAGCUCAGUCGAAAAAGAAACAAAAAAAAAAAAAAAAAGCGAAUUAGGACAUGAUGGUGCUUAUUGAUUGCCUAAUAAAAUCUGCAAGGUGCGCCAUGAAAUAUAGCCUGACGUGUAAACCAUCCCGAUUAAACCCCAAGCUAUACUUUAAUAAUAACCGUGGAAUCCAAUUUGGCCACAUUUUAUAGAUAAACCCAUGCAAUAAACUAUCUAACCUGCCUGCAUGUUACGAUGUUCUUGAUUUAAAUGUCAAUUUCCCGUAUUUGUACUUUCAUCAAAAAGCAUAUUUUAAUGUCAUUUUGUGAUGUUCAUGAUUUAUCACCUUGGUAAGGAGUUCAUUUAUGAAAUAGAGAUUCUUUAACCAAAUUAACUAAGGCUUUGUUUGGAUUGCAUUUUUCUGAAUUUUUUUGGCAAAAAAAAAUUACUAUAAUGAUUUGAAAUAUGCGAGAUAAAAAAAUAAUUGAAAAAUGUGUCUACGAAAACGUUACAAAUUUUCUUUGAAAAUCUAGAAUCCAACACACGCCCUAAACAAUCUAUUGGAUAUAGAUAUAGAGGGUAAGAGGGCUUGCAAUUGAAUGUAAAUAUAUUUACCGACAAUUCAACACUAAAUCAUUUCCAAUUGAGGUUAUACUCCUAAGUAGCCUUUUUUAUAAUUUAACCUGCAUAUGCAACAAAUUAAGACAAUUGCAUCUGUUAAAUAGUAGCGGUAAAUCAUUAACAAAUAUGAGUCAACCAAUGACUAACUGUACAAUUUGUAUCAUAAUUUGAUUGCAGUAUUUUUACUUAAAAAUAAUAUAUCAAUACAGUUUUCACAUUGACAGUUUGAUUCGAGAUGAUUUCUUAGGAGCAGUGAUUCGAUCUUAUUAGCGAAGAAGCCGAACAUGUAUUAGCACAUGAUUUUAAUCUCACUUCUAAACUUUUAAAUCCAUGUACUUUCCUCUUUUUUUGUUUUAUUUAUCAAUUCCAUGAAUGUGGACAAAAAAACAGUUUGACAAGGGUCUUGAUGUAAAAGUCAAAAGGUUGAAACGUUUUAGAAACUGGAUGUCAUGAGUUCAAAUUCCUCUUUUUUCCUCCUCUUGUUCUUGAAUUCCACCUCCCCCUUGUGGGGACGGCGGGCCGGGGAUAGGGAGGUGCGAAGACUAAUGAAAAAGGAAUGCAGAGAGGGAUCACACGAACGAUUAGGACGCUGGUGAGGGCUACGGAUUGGGCAAAAAGGUAAAUUCGUAUUAAUUUGAUACUGUCGUCCCCAACUCUGACCAGCGGAUGUCGCCAUAGAUGAGUACGGCAAACGUGGAUUUAAAUUAGUAUCAGAUCAGUGCCAGUCCACGUGGGUGAAGUUUUCACCAUCGAUUUUCGCACAAUUAUUUUGCAGCGCAAUUGAACCUGCCAAGUGCCACCCAAGUCACCCCAAAACAAGGGAAAAUUAAAAUUGCCAAAGCCAGAUCCGUAAUUAGCGGAAACGCUUGUGCUUAUCCUAUGAUAUGGAGUGAAAUCGUGCUCCGGGUAGCCCACUUUGGAUUAGGCCAGUAAAUUAGGUCUAAUGAGUCGGGACUUUUGUAAGCUCGAGGCCAACUCAUUUAAUUUGUGACACCUUCAAAUUUCAGGUUACGAGUUUCGAGCUAAUAAAUGUAAAACUUAUAUUCAACUCUCAUAAUAUUCGAGUUAUGAAUCUUAUUUGAAUUUAGUCUAAAUUCACUUAUCAAUUAAUUUUAUUAAUAUAAUUUCUAUAACUAUUAAGUUGUAAAACUAAUUUAACAUUCACAUGAGUACAACAUUAAAACUAAAUAUGAACGAGUAAUGGUUCUUAAAAAGUAUAAAUCAAUAUUUUUUUCAACAAUAUUUAUAUUUAUUUUGUUCGAAGUAAAUAGAAAAUAGUAAUGAAAUAUGUGAUCAUAAGCCAAUAUAUUUUCAACUAUUGGAAUUUUUUCAUAGUCUUGUGACUUGAAUACAAACAUACCAACACAAAAAGAAAUCAAUUAAUAUUAUGCUAUGACAAAAAUUUAUUCAAUGAAUAAAAAAUAAUUACUCAAUAAAAAUAUCAUAUAAUUGGGUAUAGAAUUGAUUAAUUGUAUAUAAUAUAAUACCAAAACAUAAAUAUUAUGUAUAUUACCUAUAUAUAUCAGUAUAAAAUCAAAAUAUAAAUAUUACCUAUAUUAUAAUAUAUAUAUAUCUAGGUAGGGCCAGGCCUAUAUCGGGUUUGAAUCUGAUAAAUCCCAAGCUCGGCUCAUAGUUAAUGAGAGCCUAGUUUUGAAGCCCAAACUCAGCCCAGCUCACUGAUAUUGCAGAUUCAUCGAGCUUUUUAUCGAGUUGAACGGAUUGGACUCGGACUAGUCCGACCCUAUUGAAAAUCAUACUCUGGAUUGCUAGUUUAAAAAUAAAAAAUGUGAAAUUUUGAAGUUUUGGUAAAUAAAAAAUAUUGUAGAUAUGAGUGAGGUUAAAAAGGUGAUCACAAAAUAUGAAUUUUUUGAAGUUUUGGUUAAAAGAUAUACUAUAGAUGUAUGAAAGAUAAAAAGAUAAUUAAAAAAUGUGUUUAUAAAAAGCAUCAAACUGAGUAAAUCUUAUAUACACUGACGGCAUAUACACUAUCAAGGUUGGAUAUAUGACACAUACGCAAAAUUUAAGUUUUAAAUUUAAAUUCGAAUUAUGUGUCAAUGGUGAAAGUGUAUACACUGUCAGAUGAUUAAUCCUAAACUUUUUGCUUAAACAAUAGCAAUCCGAAUAUGGCUAUUUUUCUUUCUAUGGGUUAUGUUUUCUUUGAAGCUCGGUAAUUUUGGUUUGAUAUGCUUACUACCUUUUUUUUUCCUUCGUGUACAAUAUAUCUUUUGCCUUUUUCGACAUUCUCUUCUACAACUAAAUUUUUGAAAGCCAUGUUGGAAACUAGCGCUGAGAGGAGAAUCAUAAUUUUAAUUCCAACAGUUUGGUUCCUGAAGAAAUAAUUGAUCCUUGUUGCUUUUUAUUUUAAAGAAAAAGAAAAACAAUUGGCAAAAUAUAGCCCCUAAUUGUUCCACUUUCUAUCCGAAGAAGAAGAAGAAAGAGAUAAUUGACAAUUUUAGCAAUCACCAAUAACGAAGGUCACAUAUAGAUAUUAGUCAAAACAACAAGGUUAAAAUUUAUUUUUACCUGGGUCAGCAAAAAUUUAUGCAACUAGUUUUUUUUUUUUUUUUAUUUAAGGAUUUUUCUCUAACGGAUUGACACUCCUUAGUGUGCUUAAGUUACAUUUAACCAAUAUCUUGAACACAACAUUCACCCUCUUGCAUUUUGACAUUUUUUUCCGAAUCAAAUUUUUUACUUUUUUUAAAGAAAAAUUGACACAUGAAACUUCUCUUAAAAAGUGAUUACUGGGCCUGCUAGCCAAACUCCCUUUUAUUUUAUUUUUUCAGCCUAUUAGACUUCAUUGUUUGAAAUGGAAAGUGAAUGUGAUUUGUGUGCACAUUUUAAGUAUUUUAUUUAAUUAUUGUGGCUAACAUCCACGCGAUUGCCAUCAUCGUUAGUAAUUGGUCAAAUUCUUUUAAUUGUCUAUUUUUCAUAUCAAAAGUAACAGCAUUAAAGAUUAGAUUUGUUUACAAUCAAAUUUGAAAAAUUACGUCAUCGAAGAGUCUAAACUUUAGGUACCGAAACUGCAAUUAUUCCUUGCUUCAAAUGAUAAAUGUUUGCCUUUUGACACCUAACUUAGGAAUUGAAGGGUGGAACCGAGGAUCCCUUUGUCCCAUGCUACCAGGAAAAGGCAAAAAAGGAUGUCGAAUUGAACGCCUUCCGAGUGCUAAUACACAUUCCAAAAAAGAAGUGGAUUAGCAAGUGAUGGACUAUCAUUCCAAAUUUAUUCGUGCAUUCAUGAAGGGCAGUCAAAUCGUGCCUGCUUUACGAAUAGGAUCGAGGUUCCGGCGAAGCUGCCGGAAACUGUUCGUAGAAGCUUGAGAGGGCAGAUUGUACAGUUACAGGCUGAAGGGCAUGCGACAAACUAUUUUAUUUAUCCAAAACCCACAUCCCACGAGAAAACAUAAAUCCGUAGGAAGUAAACCAAGAAAAAAAAAAGAAGGGAUUUAUUCCAUUCAAAGCAAACACUUGAAAAGCCCAAAUCGAGAUUACAAAAGUGGCUUGAGUUUACCAUACCAUUCAGAUUCAAAAUAAAAGCAUAGCCAAUCAACAACUCACCUUGAACUUGAGCUCGAAUUCUUGGUGCUCAUUUGAAUUGUUAUUUUUAAAAGUUUUUAUAUAAAAUGUACCAAAAUAAUUUAAUUUGAUGUAUGUAAAAUAAAAAUAUUUUUCCCUAGAAAAACUAUCAUAGUUUUUAGCUUUUUGCCUGCUCACUUCCUCAAAAAUUGGGUGACAAAAACGCAUAAUGCAGCAUAAAUCAUCAGUCCAAAAGUUGGUGGCCACCACCAAAGCAUUAAAGUUUGAUGGGGUGGGAGGCAAGCGCUCACCAAAUCUUGCUUCCUACCAAUUGCCACGUUAAAAGUAGCCUUGUUUAAAAAAUUCAGGCCAUUGCGUAAUGCGUCCGUUUGAUUCGGGUGGUAGUUCAAUCCCCUCGAAAUUAUCCCUAUGACUGAUUAGAUCCGUUCUCUCUCCUAAUAUAAGAUAGAUUAGGUUAUAUAACAAUUAUGUCUCUGAAAAAAAAAGAGAAAAAAAAAGGGAUGCAUGCUGCAACAUGUUGUGAUGAUAAUUGUGCACAUGCUUUGAAAUAAAGAUGAAUGGACUAUGAAUUAUUGGGUGGGGAUGAGAGAUGCGGUGCUAGCGCGAUGCAUGUAGCAACCCAUGCGGGCGACGACCGACAGAGUGCGCCAUGGUGGCUGCUCCGGGAGCAAGAGGACAGCCACAUAUUAUCAAUCAAUUAACAUCGUCCAUACAUGAGGACACGAUCUAGUUCUUCCAGUCUCUCAAUAUUGUCUCGAUCGCGCUAGCUAUUCUGAACAGGGAAUUUUCAGUAAAUUAGGUUGCGCGGUUCUUUCAUGAUUCUGAUGUUAAAUAAACCUUUUUUUUUAAAAAAAAAAAAUUUUUGGUCUCUAUCGAUGAACAAUUAUUCGAACUCUGAACCAGGCUCAAAUUUGUUCCUAAUUUUAUCCACCUUUGAAGAAUAGAUACAGUAUUUAAUACCACCAUCUUUUAAGAUUUACGGCUACAUUAUUAGUUCGUAAACCAGCCGAAAUGGCCUGUCUAAUCAAUCAUCAUUCAUUUAUUCUCAUCACGCAUGCAUAACAUUUUUUCAUUUUUGCGCUCAAAUUGAUUCGAGUUGGAGGCCCUUCUUGCCCGGGUAAAUAACUUUUUUCGAACGGUUUGUAUUUGGAUAUAUAUAUAUAUAUAUAUAUAUAUAUAUAUAUAAUUAGUUAGGCUCAUGAUUUGUUGAUUAAUCAUUUGAUCCCUACCUAAGGAGACUGCUAGGGUUCUGUCUUCUCUGUCCUUUAGCAAUAUUCUUUCCUUCUUUUUUUUUUUUUUUUGUUUUCGUUUUUGCCCCAAUUUGGCCAUUAAUGUACGGGAACAUAAUAAAUUAUUAUUCUUUCUCUUGAACAAGGAGUCAAUAUUAAUAUGGGACGACAAACAAAAAGGGGUCAAAGUCAAACAACAUGAUUGCUUGUUGUAUUAACUAUUAUGAUUGAUUGUGCUCAAAUUUUCAAAUGAACUGGGAACAUUUGGAUUGGAGUCCAACGGUUUCAUUCAUAUAUAGUACAUUAGUAUUCAGAAGAUGGAAGUGGGAUUAAUUAAUUAAGAGUUGUAAUCGUACUACUACUUUUUUUUUAAAAUUUAUUUAUUUUCCCUUUUUUAAUUAAGCAUCUUACCUGCCUUUGCCGGUGGUGUACAUAUAUAUAUAUACACACACAUGACUACAUGAGUCAACCUUAGGCUCAUAAUUGAAGUCCAAGCAGUAGCAGCGGAUUCCUUGUGUUGGUCCUACCACUGCCAUGCAUGCCAUGUUACUGCAGCUACGUACUUUUCUAGUGAUGAAGGAAGGAAAGGGUUCUCCUCUCCGCCACAACUUUUUUGCGUACGAGGUCGGGGUGAGAUAUUUUUUUGCCUUGCUGGUGCUGUUACUUGUGUGGGAUGUGGAGCAUAGGGUACUAACUCUUCGGAUCCAGAUCUGAGAGAUAAGCGUUAUGGUCAUUAAUUAAUGAAUGCCUGCUCAUGAUGAUGAAUCGAUGAUGCAUAAAUAAACAUGGAGUUACUAAAACUGAUUGAAUUUGAUUGAUUACCUCUGCAGCUUAAUUUGGUAAUUAGGUCUGUCAAUCGGGCCUAAUGAGCCGUGCUUUGAUGAGUUCAAGUUCAGUUCAUUAAUUUGAAACAUUUUCGGGUUUCGGGCUAUGAGUUUCGGGUUCAUAAAUGUGAAGCUCAUACUCAACUCACAUAAUUAUUGGAUUCUGAGCCUUAAUCGGGUUUAGCCCAAACUCACUUAUUACUCCUUACUUUUCUUAAUAUAAUUAUUAUAACUAUUAAGUAUUUAGUAAAAAAUAUAUUUGGAUAUAUAAUUAUACAAUAUAAUAUAUAAUAUUAUAUAUAUAGGUAAUUAAAGGGCCGGGCCUAUAUCGAGUUUGAGCCUAAUAAGGCCCAAGAUCGCUCACAUUUAAUUCGGGCCUAAUUUAGGCUCAAACUCAACCUCGACUCACUAAAUGAUCGGGCUCAUCGGGCUUUUAUCGGGCCGAACUCGGGCUGGCCCAGCCCCAUUGGCAGUCCUAUUGGUAAUGCCAUUCCAAUUCCAAUUUAAGAUCUCUCAUACAUACGAAAACCUCCUCUCACACUCUAUAUAUAUAAUAUAUAUAUAUAUAUAUAUAUAUAUAUAUAUAUAUAUAGGGUUAAUUACAUUUACCCCCGAGAUUUGACAAAUAACGAAUCGAUCCCUGAGAUUUGACCAAAUAACAGAUUCCCCCCUCACACUAACUUCUGUCACUUAUAAGUAACGGAAAUAGCCAAAAGUCUGAAUAACCUUAUUAAUUUCCAUCAAACUUUUAAGACAUAAAAUAGAAAAUAUGUACUUACAAUUUUAGCCCUUUAGGCAGGAAACAAGACAGAUAGCGACUUUAUCAUUUCAACCCCUACAAUCCCAACAUCAGAUUAUCAUACUGCACUCUCACUUUUCUUGAACUCUCUUUCCAUGAAACCCUAUGUUUCUAUCGUUGCUUAAUCCUUAAAUCACUAAGAUAAAACUCAAAACUACAGUGCGUUGUCUACAUAUCAACAUAUUGUGGCUGGAGAAAUUUUUCACAACAAGGUUGUAGGUUCGGAAAGCUAUUGGAGGCCUAAGCAUGGUACUAUCUUUAACUGAUCAUUUCUUGCAUGGGUAUUAUAUACUAUUUGAACCAAAAAAAUGAGUUCUGCAUGCACGGAUCUAAUAUUUAUUUACAUUAGAUCCUUCUUAGUUUGAUUUCUAGGACACAAAUAUGCUUCAAAUUAGGGGUUUUUGAUUGUGAUGCAUCAAUACAACAUUGCCAGCAUUUUUUGUUGCUACUGCAUGUAUAAUAGUUAUAUGGGUGGUGAACGUAGUCAUAAAAACAAGAAAUCCAGAUUUAAUAAUGUAAAUCUGGAGUUUUUGUGAAUUUUUUUAAUAUAUCACUUUUUUCUACAUUGGCAACAUACAUAUGUAAUUUUAGUUGUUUGAACCACAAUAAGGUUGUAUUAGUCGUUUAUCAAAAUAGUUUACAAUUUAGAGUUUAAUAGGAAAUCUUUAUUUAUUUCCUGUUAUGUCAGAUUCCACGUUGAUUCAUAUCUUCAAACUUAGUUGCAUGCAAAUCGGUUUUUUCUCAUCAUAUUAAUGCUAUUUGUUAAUGAAGCACAUGAUAAACUUUGUUGUUUUCGUGUUUUAGGCUGGACUUGCAAGUGUCUACGACAUUACUCUUCAUUGUGAAAGCAUGAAGUUCGAACUAAGGAAUAUUGAUCCCGAUCGCUAUUCUUACAUUGACUUGUUAUCUGAUGUUGUUGUGAGAAUGUUUUGAAUCGUAUUUCUAGUCGACAAAAUAUCAUGAUUGCUUUAUGUUGUGAUAUCCCUGGUACUUGGAAACAAUGAACAUUGAAACUGAUUCGGAUGUGCUGGAAAUGUUGGUUUACAUAGGAGGAGAAUGGACGUAUCAAUGUUUAUGUUAGGCCAGGUUUGUGAUGAUGUUCAAGAGAACUUGAAUGAAAAUGCUGGUAAUGGGAACAAUAUUGAUGGAAAUGGAAUAUUAUGGGGCUGAAUUUAAUAAUAUUAGUGCCAAUGUUAAUAAUGAUAAUGAAAACAACACGGGAAAAUGGUAACAAUGUUGAUAUUGCUAUGAACUUUGAAGUGGUGGGUGUUAACUUCCAUGGGGCAGACAGUAGCAAUACCAAAAGGGCUGGUAAGAAGAAUUCAAAAGGUUGGGCAGAAGGAAAUGCUAGACAAAAUACUAUAACUAGCAAAAGGUUGGGUAAAAAAAGGAAUUCGAAAAUGUUUUGAAUGGUGUUGAUGCAGGGAUCCAGGAUGAAGUGGAAACUGAUGAUGAGCUAUAUGUUUAUAGUGACAAUGAUGAGAUGAGUGUUGACUUAGAUGAUGAACUAUUUAGUACAUUUGUACAAGAGGGAUUGGAAAAUGAGUUAGAUUCUGUGAGAGACUUGUCUAAUUAUGAGUCCAAUGAUGAAGUUGAAGCUGAAAAUGAGUCCGACAGUGACUUGGAGGAUGAUUUAAUGGGUGCAUGCCUAAAUAUUGCUGAGUUUUCCAUGCCUGAGGGAGAGAAAAUUUAGGCUCUUAAGGGAAUGAUAUUUGCAAAUGUUGAUACUUUUAGAAGGGUGCUAUAUGAAAUAUAAAAUUCAGUGGAUUUUCCUCUAAUUUUUGAUAAAAAUGAAAAGUCUAGAGUUACGGCGCAUUGUGGCAAUCAAAGGUUUGAUUGGAGAGUACAUGCUUCUCCAGCACCUGAUAAGAUGACAUAUGGUAAAAACAUGCACACCUGAUCAUACUUGUGUCAUGAGUGAAAAAUUGUUGCUGUCUGCCAAGUGGAUUGCAAGAAAAUAUAUUGACCUAUUGAGGGCAGAUUCCACUGUUAAACCUGAGCUAUUAAGGCAUGAAUUGGCUAAGUAUGGUGUUUUUCCUACUGAUAUGCAGCUUUAUAGAGCAAAGCAAAAGGCACAGGACAUUAUUGAUGUAGCCAUGGUGAUAGCUAUAGCUUGCUGCCAAAGUAUUGUGUCAUGAUUAUGAAUACAAAUCCUGGUAGUAUAGCUAAGAUUCAAUUUGAAAUGACUUUGGAUCAGCUGUUCCUUCAGUUAAAAGAAUGUUUGUGGGGUUAGAUGCACUAAAGAAAGGAUUUUUUGGUGGCUGCCUUCCUUUCAUAGGAUUUGAUGAUGUCACUUGAAAGGCGGCGUAUGGAGGGGUUUUACUUUCUGCAAUUGGUCUAGAUGGAAAUAAUGGAUUGUAUCCUAUUGCUUAUGCCAUUGUUGAGAGUGAGAAUGAAGAAAGCUGGAUGUUUUCUUUGAAUGGUUAGCUGCAAUGCUUGAUGACUUUCCAAGGGAUAGGCCUUGGACUUUCAUGACUGAUAGGCAAAAGGUAAGAUCUUAACAACUCAUUCAAUUAAUCAAUCACUGAUUUUGGGAUUUUAACACAUGUAUUUUUUGACGUUUGUAGGGACUGAUUGAAGCCAUUAACUCUAAGGUACCAUGGGCAGUGAACAGAAAGUGUUGCAGGCAUAUAUAUAGCAAUUUUAGAGGCCGUUUUCCAGGAGUUAUGCUUAGGCAAUUAUUUUGGCAAGCUUCCAGGGCUUACACUGAAGUAAACUUUAAGGAGGCUAUGGCCAAAAUUAAGGAUUUAAAACCUGCAGCCCACGAGUGGCUGGAGAAAAUUCCUUAUCACCUGUGGUCUAGGCAUGCUUUCCCCACAGAUUUGAAGAAUGAUCACAUCACAAACAACAUUGCUGAAUCUUUCAAUCAUUGGAUAGGAGAUCUAAGGGGUAAGAAUGUGUUAACAUUGCUGGACAAUAUUCGAUCUAAGUUGAUGAGUAGGCUGCUAAAAAGAUUUGAAAAAGGCUGUCUUUAUAAGAAUAAUGUGGUUUCAAAUGUGAAAAACAGACUUAAUGUACUUGCUAAUGAAUGUAGAAAGUGCACUAUACUGCUUGCAAGUGGUAACGAAUUCCAAGUGAAGGAUUGUAAUGUUUCUUACAUUGUGAACAUCAAUGAGAGAACAUGUGAUUGCAAGGUAUGGAACUUGUCUGGAAUACCAUGCAAGCAUGCAACAGCUGUUCUUAUUAACAAGAGAGCAGAUUUGGAAAAUUAUUGUGAUUUUAGCAAGACAAAAGAAUUUUACAUCAGAGCAUACAAUGAAGUCAUUCAUCCAAUCCCAGAUGUAAAGUUUUGGCCACCUAUUGAAGUGAAUCCAUCAAAAGUACUACCACCAGUACUUAGAAGAAAAGCUGGCAGGCCAAGAAAGGCCCGGAGAAGGGAGCAAGGAGAAGCACCAGCUGUAGGCCAAGGAAAAAGAUCAUCCACGCUGAAGUGUAGUUUGUGUCAACAAUUUGGGCACAAUAAAAGAGCUUGUGAAGGUGGUCCAAAGAGGGAUAGAAAAGGCAAUUUCAAGAGAAGAAAGGUGGAGUGCACUAUUCAAACUCUUACAUUCUUACGUACCAUGGACUGUAAUCUUAAGCAUUUUCUAACCUUGUUUUCAUUCUUACUGAAGUUACUUGGUCAGACCAGUGGAAUGGAACCUCGUGUAUCUACUGGAACUAGCAGACCAACAUCUACUUAUUGUCCCACACAAGAAUCAGUUACUCUACCUGCUGGAAGUACACAACCUCCCAUUGAAGUCUCUCAGGUGACUUCUAAUGUCAUGUACUCAAAUUCUCAUAUUUGUAGAUUUUGCUAACUAUAAACAUGCAUGAAAUUGUAGGGAGAAAGCAAUACUAGACAUGUUGCUUUAUCUCAAACACCUGAAGAAAUGUUUGGGAGUUCAAGAGCUUCAAAUCUACUGGGCAAAAAUCUUGCUGCUAUGGUCAUUGGAAGAAGAUCAGUUGCUGGCAACAACAAUGGAGGGUCAAUAUCAGGAUCUAUUCCUACUUCAGCACAACCAGGGCCUACAUCAACAUUGCCAGCAACUUCUGAAAAAAAUUCUCAAUCUAAAUAUGCAAUGUUCUAGCCUUCAGGCUUUGUUUACAUAUGCUUUUUUUGACAUGGUUGCAAAUGAAGAUAAUUAGGAUUCUCAGUCUAUUGUGCUUGUACUUAUUAGACUUUAUGGCCAUGUUAUGGUCUUGUUGUUCUGUUGACGGUUCAUAGCACAUAUGUGGUGCUGAUACUGAUAAAACUCUGUGACCAGUGUAUGGUCUUUUUGUUCUUUUGAUGAUUCAUAGCACAAUGGAACUAAGUUUUGCUUGUUUCUCUGUUUGUUUUCACUAGCUCUUUUCAAGUGCUUGGUAUGAGAUAUUUUAGAUUUUAUGCAAACUGUUGAGUGCAGCUGAGUGGUCACAUAUUGCAUGAUUUUCCAGCCAGGGUUAUGCGGAAGAGACUCAGGUUAUUUUGCUGAAAUGGAGUAUGGUACGCCUAAUUGUGUUCUUGAUAUAGGCACACAGUACGCCUCUUCAGGAUCCUGAGUUGCGGCUUGAUGAAAAGAAGCUGAUUCUCAGCAAUAGCGUAUGCAAGGAGCCUGUUAAAUCUAUACCUUGGAGAUUAAUUUUGUCAAAAUCUCCUGUGUGGGCCCUUAUAAUUUCUCACUUCUGUCACAAUUGGGGAACAUUUAUUCUUCUAACAUGGAUGCCUACAUAUUAUCACCAGGUGCAGCCUCAUUCAUUUGUGGCCUCCUCAACUAUAGCUUCUAGAGCUUUAAGGACUUCUUCUAAGUUUACCAUGAUAUAGUUCUCUACGAGUUUGAUUUCUCACCUGACCUCUAGAUUUGUAAGCUUAAGCUUUUGAUGGUUAGUAUAAUAUGACAUUUUCUCUAAACAAGAAAAAACUGAAAGGAUAGUAAAUUGGCAGCUCUGCAUUCUAGACGAUUUGCUUGUUAAAUCCUGAAAUUAGUAAAAGUUUAUGCAGUUCUACCUUCAACCAUUGGUUCCUUUACACUUCCUUUCCCUUGUCUAUUCAAUUCUUCUUCUUCUUCUUCUUCUUUUUAAUUAUUUUCAUACUCCUUGUUUGUACUAUUUUUUGAACUAUGAAAACAUGCAUAGCCUAACAUGUUAAAAGUAUAAUGAUAUCUUCACGCGUCACUUGGAAAUGAUGCUGAUGCUCCUAGUAUCGGUUUCUUUUGUCAUUGUUUUCUUGAAAUAAUUUUGGAUUUCAUAUUACUGCUCACAGUAAGUCUAGAAUUCUCUUCUAGAUAAUGAAGUCACGAUACUCACCAAUUUUCAUGUUAAUAACAGCUUAAUAAACCAUAUGAUCGUACUGACUGGAAAUGAUAUUGUUUUCUUAAUUCUGUUACAGGUGUUGAAGUUUAAUCUUACUGAAUCUGGAAUGUGUUCGGUCUUGCCUUGGCUUACCAUGGCCUUCUCGGCAAACGUUGGUGGGUGGAUUGCUGAUUCUUUGGUGAGCAAAGGUGUAUCUGUCACCAUUGUUAGAAAGGUGAAGUAUUAUGCAUGUAGUUGAACUGACUAAUGUUUAUGGUUAACUCAUUGUGAUUUAUUACGUUGGUUUUGGCAUACUUUGUGCUGGUGAUGACGAAUUGUAAAUUGUCAACACAAUCACAUAGUGUGCAAAGUCUAAAUUGUGAAGAUAUGUACAUGCUGGACCACUUAUUUUAGCUACAUCCACUGAGGCUGGUUAUGAUAGGUCCAAUCUUUUUCAAAGUUGCUUUGGCCUUCCUGUGGCAUUUGCACUUGAGUGCAGCUAGAUUAGUCUCUUUUAGUUGUAAGUUCAGUGGCUGAACUAAUUUAAUGUUUUGAGAUCUUCGUGCAGAUAAUGCAGACGAUUGGAUUUCUUGGCCCUGCAUUUUUCCUGACUCAGUUAAACCAUGUUGAUUCUCCUGCAAUGGCAGUUUUGUGUAUGGCCUGCAGUCAGGUCUGUGAAUACCAUACAAUGAAUCAAACAUUAAUUAUUAUCUAUCUUUUUACAUAGGAGGACUUGGGAUUCGAUCCUUCUUCCGAAACCAAGUUCGGUUUGAAGAAUUUGUGGAUUUCAGUCCUUAAGCUAAUUGUCCAAAUAUGUUUUGGCAGUGGUAACAGCUGAGACAGGGCUUCUGGAAAAAUUGACAUUCUUGCAAACCAGAGGAGAUGUAUUGAGACGUUGCACCGAGUCAAUAGUUGUGAACGGUUUAGGACUUGGAUUGGCCCUUCUGAGUGGUAUUGUAAUAUUAACAGCAGUUUUACCAAAGCAUGAAGCUCCACACUUUAAGAUGAUGUACACAAACAACAAAUGCUUGUCUUCUCAGUAACAAUUAUCCAAGUUUUUGUUAUGAAUAAUUAUUUUAAUUGUUUGCAUGAAAUGAAGUAGACUAUAAACAACUCGAAACAACCAAACGUUAUACCACUGAAAUAACACUAGAGGUUCCAUUUCAUCCAAGAACAUUUACAACAAAUCUUUGUAGCAUUUUAAACUAGACACAAAAGACAUUUCCAUCAGCUAACACAUAUGAGCCGUGAAAAUCUAGAAAGCCAGUGCCACUUUUUUCAACUUCUUAACAUGUUUAUAAGUUGGGCAAACAAGUAUGCAGCCAACAAGACAAGAUUUAUUGCUACCAAUAUCUUAAUAUGCCCAAGCCAGCUCCAAAUAGAACAGAGCACCGUAUUUGCAUCAUUUCUUUGGAUCAUAUGACUUGCUGCACCAACGUCUCCAUCUACAUUUCUCCUCAGCCAUGGAUUAUAGUUUACUUCAGUAAAUUCAGAUCUUGCACCUUGCAUAAAUCUUGGGUUAUAGUUCACCUCAUUCUCUACAACAUAAUUUGGCAAAACCCACUUCAACCAUCCAUGCACACUACAAUUAUAAUAAAGCCUUCGGGGGUUCUUUUGUGUUCGAGAUACCAUAAUUGAAGCUAUUUGACCACAACCACAUCUUAUGCUCUCAAAGCUCAAAUUUUCAAUAUUUGAGCUAUUGCUUGAUAAAGCCAUUCCUACAAAAUAAAAGUCAUAUUAUAAAAGUAAAAACAUUAACAGCAACCAAACUCAAUUAGAGUAGGCAUUAAAGUGACAAAAAAUAUAAUUCCUGCAAAAUGUAAUUAACCCUCAUAAGAUUUACUAAAAGCUAAUCAAUUAGGCUUAUUGCUAACAACUACAAAAAUAUUACUCGUUGUUUUUACUUUGCAAAUUAUUUUUAAAUUAAACUCUUCAAUUUCAUCUUAUUAACAGACCAUAAAUCGUAUAAUUUUAUAAACCCCAAACCUUGAGAUAUCCUAAAUGUGGCCACGGAAUAACAAAAUACCAACAAAAGCAAAUAAAUUACACAUAAAUGAAAAUUAAUCUAAGAAUGAUAAUGUCAUAAUUAAAGAACCCUUAAAUUCCGUCUUAAUUAGAGGCAACUCCAUAAAUUCUUAAAUCCCAAACCCUAAACAAUAACUCUUUCAAUAUUAACUCAUCUUAACUCACCAUUACAUUAUGAUUCGGAACCAGCACAUGCUUACCUGAUGUAGCGGCAAGUUGAUUUUUACGUAAGUAGCUUGAUUCUCUCCAAGUUUUGUUGCUGUUGUUCUCUUGAAGUUUUUGCUCGUUAAACUUGGGGAAAAUGGGCCCUCUUUUUGUCCAGAUAAAGGUAGGCAAUGGGGAUGUGUUUUUCUUCUCAAGUCAAACGUGAUUGGGAUGUAAAUUAUAUAUUUUUAAUGAAAAGGGUAUUUUCGGAACUAUAAUUAAUCUUCAUUACAGCUGGAUACAAUAAAUGGCAAUUUCGUCAUUCCAAGUUUUCUUUUUCCUGAUGUCAAGUACAAUGACUAACGUCUCUUAACAGUAGGGGGGUGAUUGUUAAAUGUCUGGUUAUUCAAAGGGGUGGACUGUUAUUUGGUCAAAUCUCAGGGAUCGAUUCGUUAUUUGGUCAAACCUCAAGGGAGGUAAAUGUAAUUAACCCAUAUAUAUAUUUGAAUUCUCGCAAAUCAGUGGCCCUCCAUUUGAAUUUCCGUUGCAGUUAUGAUAAAAAUCAUCAUGCAUGCAUGCCUGUCAAGUGUCAUGUUGGUGAUGUCCAAUCCAUUAUCCAGCCAAGCCAUACAUAGGAGCAUUUUGUUAUAAGUAGUAGUAGUAGUAUUUGCCUGCCAUUUGGCACCAGUUCUCUCUUUUUUUUUUUUUUUGGUUUAUCAAUCAAUCAAAAUUCAAAAGAAGCAAAGGGUUGGUGUCCGUACGAUCCAAUUAGCUACUGAACUCUCGGCUUUUGUUUUCUUGUGGGUAUAAAUUCUGAGCCUCAGAUGGAUGAGUUGUGCAUUGAUUGAUCUCAACAAACCCCCCAAAGACUAACAACAACACGUUUGGAUUGGAGGUUUAAAUUCGUGGGGUACGUUGCAUUGCAUAUUUGCAUUGCAUUGCAUUGAUUGGGCAGUUUCUUUUGGUGGAUUAAGGACAUAAUAAUAAUGUUGGAUUCAGCAAAUGCAUGUGAAUUGUGAUCCACAAUUACAAAAAAGUUGGUUGCUUGCACCUUCUUUGCAUGAAAAUCCACCGAAAAUGGUCAUAACUAACUAUAUCACACACACACACACACACACACAUAUAUUCACCCAUCAAUUACUCGAUUCAAAAUUUUUUCUCUCUCUCCUGAAAGUCGUAGUGAUUUGUCCCGCAAUAAUUUGUCUCUAAACCAUUUAAUAAAUCGCAAUUUAUCUUAGUACCAGUAGUCUUUUUUGAAGCAAAAGUCUUGCGUGGCCACUGACAGUAAGAAUUACUAAUUUGAUUACUCGCGUGGCCCCCAAAAGCAAUGAUUUUUUCCUUUCUCCGUUUUACUAGUUUGAUGAACGCUGUACUGGAUGACUGACUGUUAGUAGUGGCAUUUGCUACUUCUGGACACAUUUUUUAUUUCUCAUAAAAAAAAAAAGCUUGCACCCGCUGGUUUGCCCGAGAGGUUAAGGGGGAAGACUUAAGAUCUUCUGCACAUAAGUGCGCAUGGGUUCGAACCCCAUAGCCAGCAAAUUCAUUUUUGAUUUAUAUUUCAGCCCUCAAUUUCCAAAAUAGCAAAAUUCUCCAAAAUCAUUUUUUGACGUAUCUCUCAACCUUCAAUUUCCAACAUGGAAUUCUCAUGCAAACUCAAAUAGGGAACCCUCUGUCUAGGCCAUAAUUUUACAACAUUUUGGAAAAACACUCUUCUUCAGGAAGUUGCAUCUUCUUCGACUUAAAUUCAUAUAGUGAUGGAUGGGUUCAGGGUUGUCUACUGGACACUUGUUAGAGAAAUCAUAUGAUGAUCAUUCCAUCAAUCAUAUUGAAUAAUAAUGCAAGAAGCUAAAGUAAUUAGGAUUUACUCUCAAACCCCCUUACACGAAAAAAGGGGAAAAAUAUAGGUUUGUUUCCAACAUUAUGCUUCCUCAUUAUUCUAAUAGAGGAGGCCAAAUUGCAAAAGUACCCAAUCCCAUAGAACCUUUUUUUUUUUUUGGUCGAAUGGGAGGGUUUAAAGUCAAAAUCUCCUAUAAUCCCUUGCUCUUUACCAUCCAACCCAACUCUUUUCCUGAAACUCGGUUAUAAUAUUGCUAUCCAAACACAGGCAAAAAUAAUUUUUUUUUUCCAUGUUAAACUAGUAAGACCAACUUUUGUUAUGCUGCUUACGAAUCAUCGCAAUUCUGAAGGUAUUUAACUUGCAUUGACAGAAACCAAUUGUCACCCAAAAUUUCCACAGAAUGGCCGGCCCGUGUCAUAUUAGCCAUUGCCUUUCCAUGAAUUGCAGCCCAUCUCUCUUCCGAGUGGGCCUAAUAGACGGUGUGUGCGUGCGUGGAGCCCAACUCUGUCGCCAGAUCCAAUCCUCCUCGAGCCCUCUUUCUUUAAAAAAACGAGUCCGCUUCGAUUUAAGAAUCCGGGUCCCCAUUUUAUUCGUACCAUUCUAAUGCUUUAAAUUAGCGCUGGAGUUUUGAGCAAAAAACUUGAAUAUAUUCGCAGUUGCACGGUGAAUUGCCAAAUUUUUAUCCGCAAUUAUCUGCUCUCUGCAACAAAGAGGUAAGGAAAACGUAAAUCUUGCUCUCCCUACUGUCAUUGAUCGCAAUUAACUUUACGAUUGGGCUGAUUUCUUUAUCCAAUUCAUGAGAAAUUUUUAGUUUAGGUAAUUUCUGUACUUUUAGCCGAAUAAAGAUGGACAAAGAGAGAAAUCAAAGUUUGUUUAUCUUGAUUUUCUGUUUGAUUGCUCAAAAAGAAAUUUUUUUGGUCGAAGGUGACAAUGAUGAAGAUUGACUUCAGUGGACUUGAGCCGAAUUCUUUGUUGAGGGGAAACCCUAAUGAAUUGCUGAGCGGGCUUUCGACUGCCCCAGAAUUUCAGAUUCCUAAUACUAAUGAUGUAAGCCUUUUUAAUAAGUAUCUUUUGCUCUUUUGUUGUUGGGUUUUUCUUAUUUUUAAUUUAACAAAAUCUGGUUGGAUGUUGUGUCUAGUUUGAUGGGUUUCAGAAAGAAUCGGUUCAAAUGGUUAAGCCAGCAAAGGAACGACGACUUUGGCUUUCAUUUUCAAAGAAGGUGUUAUAGUAGCUGCUGACUCGCGUGCUAGCAUGGGCGGUUAUAUAUGUAAGUAUCUGGAUGUUUUGAUUGAGCUGAUGUUCUUGUGUUAAAUGAGGUUGUAGUAUAUAUUUGUGGUUGAAUUCUAUUAUCCUUAGAGGGUGAUUUUGAAAAUUUACUGAUACUGGUUGGUGCUGAUCGCUAUAUUGUGAUUGGUGAUUGUAUGCAACAAUAUUGGCUGUUUAAUAGUUCGACAUGUUCGUUUUAGAGUUCUGUUAAGAAAAUACGUUAGGAUGUUUUAUUGUUUGCUGUUAAUAGUUUUGAGGUUGAGGCUUUUUUUUUUGGCUUCAUAACGGCUUUAUCUAGGCUGUAGCAAAGCAUGGAAAAUGUUUGAGUUUGAAAUCUGUAAUUUUCCUCGGAUCUAUGACUCCCGAGACUUAUGUCAUUAGCUAUCUGAAUGCCUUAAAAAGCAAUAUUUUGUCGUAACAGUACCAUCUUAUGAUAUUGGUUUUUAGGACAAAUCAAAUUUGACCAUCCUAAAACUUCAUUUGGUUGUGAGGCUUCUACAUUUCUUAAUUCUGCUAACCAUCAUCAGCGUUUACCAAGUUGCAUGUGAAAGGAGCGAUUUUGCUGAUGUAGUUUUCUGCUAAGGUCAUUAGAAAGAUGUAUCUUGUAAUUUGAGUGCAGUAAACUGGUAGACUAAACAACCUGCAGGUUGAAACUGCCUUGCGAGCAUCCUUAUGGUCAUUUGUAAAGCUCCUCUAGCAUCGUCUCAUGUUGUGGAUAAACAUAUAUGAGAAGUGUAACUUGAAUGAGGUGUGCAGUUGUAUAAAUUAAGGUGAUCCAACAAUGUAAUUAUAGUUCAUUUUAUGCUCUCUCUCUCUCUCUCUUACUUAGUUGAGCGUGUACCUUUCUUUUGAAACUUAGCACUAUAACAAGGCUUUGCACUUAAGAACUUGCUCAUAGAUAUCAGAAUUCUUACAGAGUGUAUGAUUUCCUCAUCCUAGCUAGUCAAUAACUGUGGGCGUAUGAAGCAACAUGCCCCUGUGGAAUGAUCAACAGAGUUGCAGAUAGUGCAGAUCCUUGGGUUGCGUCACUGUUUGUCGUACCUUGGGCUAGGCUAGUUCUGGAUGUAUGCUCUUGAACCUUUAGCUAGGGUGAAUGCAUUGAAUGUUGGAUGUACUCUUUUGUUGCUAGCAUGUCUCUGUUGUUAGCAUGUCUCUGUUGUGAUCUUCUGCAUUAGGGGCCCAUAUUGGAGAACCAAGCGCAAUUGCCCUUGUAGUAGCGCUGCUUGCCCUGGUUAGCAUAGUUUGGUACCCAUUUGAAUGGCUGAUAUGUGUCAUAUUUGGAUGUCACUUUUACCAGAUUCUUAUAUGUUGUGAUGGACCUAUAUACCCCACCAUUUCUUAAUUAAUGUGAUGGACCGUAUACUUUUGAAAUGUAAACAUAGCUUUCUCCUGAAGCUAUUUCUGAUGAUGUUCAUUUUUUGACAAAUGAAAAUUUUGCCAUAACUAAACUUUGUCCACUGCAUUCUGAAAAUCUACAACUGUUGUAUUAAAGAUUGGAAAAGCUUGGCAAAAGAAGAUGUUGCUUGUCAUUAAACUUAGUUUUUGUCAUACUUUUACCGAGCUCUUCAAUUUGCUUAUCAUGCAAAAUGAUAAAUAUGCCAUGAAAACUAAGCCACAGUGUUGAUCCUGCAGCUUAAUAUCCUUUGGUGAUUUUUAAAGAAUAAAAUUUGUAUUAGCUAUUAACCCUGUUUUAACUCACAGCAUCACAAUCUGUGAAGAAAAUCAUUGAAAUUAAUCCCUACAUGCUGGGCACAAUGGCUGGAGGUGCUGCUGACUGCCAGUUUUGGCACAGAAAUUUGGGAAUAAAGGUACUUUUACUAUGCAGAACCCUCUCUUAGUGAUACUAUUAUGUCUAGAGAGCAAGCGCUAUGUUGUGUCCUCCUUUUUUCUGUUGGAUCCAUGCUGCUCAAUGAUGUUAAAGUACAUGGAUAGUGGUUAUUCUUUUUUUUUUCUUUAGUAGUAUUUCAAGUAAUAGUUGUAAUCAAAAUCUGGGUUAAUAUAGCUCUCUAGAAUUAUUGAGCAUUCCCUAAUCUGUUUGCUUGAUUUAGUAUUCAGGUAGAAUCAGGUGAUUAGGGACACUUAAAAGUUGGGAUGAACGUUGGUCAUCAUGCUUGUUAACUGCCUCUGGACUUUACAUGUUCCAUGCAUUAGAUUAUAUAUAAAUGACCAUAUCAAAAUUUAGGAGUUGGGGAAACAAUAAAUGAAUGGAAUCAUGUUUACAGGGACAGAAUAAGUCAUGAAAUUUUCCUCUAGAUUAUAAAUUUUCUGCAAGAUGGGUGCUAAAUAUAGAAAAAUUGGACGAUUAACAGGCAAAGAUCUUAUCUCGCUUCAGAAUUAGUCAAGUAACGGUUCCUUUCUGCUAACUUUGCAACAUUUCAUCAAUGUAAUGUUUCGGGUCUGUCAUUACACAUUUUUCUUUGGAAGUUGGUUUGCAUGUGCCUAUUAAGCCCAUCUGGAAAAGCAGAAAGCCUAGUAAAAAGUUAGUUACUUGUACAUAAUGCAUUAUCUGGCUAUGGGAAGAAAAUUGAUCGGUAGUCUUGCAUAUUUCAGUGCCGCCUACAUGAACUCGCAAACAAGAGAAGAAUUUCUGUUACGGGGGCGUCAAAGUUGCUAGCCAACAUACUGUACUCUUAUCGUGGAAUGGGGUUGUCUGUCGGAACAAUGAUUGCUGGGUGGGAUGAAAAGGUACUGCUGGUUUUCUGCAGGGAUUUGUCAUGUAUUUUGUAUGCAGAUAUAGCAUCAACUCUAUGUUCUGACUGAGCAUUCUUUAUGUGUUUCUUUAGGGUCCUGGCCUAUACUACGUGGACAGUGAAGGGGGACGGCUUAACGGAAACAGAUUCUCUGUCGGAUCUGGUUCACCAUAUGCUUAUGGUGUUCUUGAUAGUGGGUACGUUCUUUAUAUAUUUUUCUGCUCCAUCAAUCUUAGCAAUUCUUUGUUGUUUCAGUGGGUCAGAAGUGAAGGCUGGGGUCUGCUUGCAUCAUUCUUUAAAAUGCUUGCCUUUUUCGGGUGUUUCUAAUUAAAUAAAGCACGGGUGGUUGCUAAUUUUCCUGAAACGUCUUUUCUCUUGGUCACUUAUCUAGGUACCGCUUUGAUAUGUCGGUAGAAGAGGCUGCGGAGUUGGCCAGGCGUGCGAUUUACCAUGCUACAUUCCGGGAUGGUGCCAGUGGUGGUGUUGUCAGUGGUAUGCUUCCUCUCUCCUCUGCUUGUAAUCCGAUUCUAUACCUGAAAAUUUGUCGGUCUGUUCUAGUCUUAAGCAUGUUUUUUCUGUUGCUUUGUCUUUCUGGUUUUCAGUUUAUCAUGUGGGACCUGAUGGGUGGAAGAAGCUCUCUGGCGACGAUGUUGGGGAACUUCAUUAUGCAUAUUAUCCAGUUGAGCCAACAGUUGAACAUGAAAUGGCAGAGGCAUCAUCUUCUUGAGAUACUACGAUAUUUUGGGGGGGGGGUGGAUUUUACCUUCAUAUAUGUUCACAAUUUGUACUUUGAUAUUAAUCUUGCAAACAGUUCCCAGGAGACCUCCUUUAUGGUUUUCUAGUUUCUUCGGACCGUAGGAUUCGAGAAGGCUACAUUUAUUUUUCCAGAUUUUGCUUCUUGCUGGUUCUGCUUUUGGUAAAAAAUGUAGAUUAUUCGACAAUCAUUAACAGUUCGUUUGGUAGUUGGAUUUAUGACUUAACCAUCAGUACCUUACGAUUUGGUUGCAGUCUCUGGUGCUAGAUGCCGGAUAUGGUUUGUUUCAGUUGUUGUACUUGAUGACAGAUCUAAGAAGAUAGGCGGGGAAUUGAGCCCCGCGUGGCGGUUUGUGAAUUUGCAGUGUCCUGGAAAGAAAUGUGCAACAACAAUAAAAGAGAUUUGAGCUGUGUUGUCAGAGUUGCGGGAUAUUCAAUUUGACACCAUUCUCAGCUAUGGAGGGAGGAAAGUGAAAAGGAGGUGGUGGAGCAGGCCGUCAGAGUCUAGUAAAUUACGAGAUCGGAGGCUGUCAUUUGAACUGAUAGAACCCAAUAGUUGAACUUGUCCAUUUCCGUUGGAGGCUUUUGAUGUAUAUAUAUCUGUCUACUAUAGGAAACGAGGAAGGAAAGGAAAGGAAAAGAAAGAGGUAUUUCGUCGUUUAUAUUGCACGCGAUGGGAUGCAGCAAGGGGGGAGUUGGGAAUGUAACUUGUUUGCAAUAAUUAGUAGUACAUGUCUUUUGCUUGAAGCACCAGUCGCGUCCGAAAACCUUGCUCGUUUUCUUUUCAGGGUAAGGGUAUGAGUCGUAUGACCAAGACCAACCUCAUACAAAAAAAAAAUAAAAAAGAAGAAGAAGACGAGGAUGUGGACUUGGCUUUGUGGAUAUGGCACAGGGAUUAGUGUCGGAUCAUGAUUUCCCGAAAAAAGUAGAAUUUAUAUGGGUAGUGCUUCCGUUAACUUUGCUUCCUAGACAAUUUUAUGGAGUGUUUGACUAAAUAAAUUUGGGUAAUGUGUGAGGAGGGGCGGGGCCUGCAGAGACUGCUGAACAACUUCAAACAACAAAGUAGUCGAUGGAUGAUUCGUAGGUGGGGGAGUGGGUUUAGAAAUCCCUUCACUGCAAAGCAUCAUCUUUUCUUUUUCUUUUUCUUUAUGUGUGUGUGGGUGGUGUUGGUGUUUGUGUUCAAAUAGCAUCUUGAGUUGGUGCUUCCGUUUCAUCCUAUUAUUAUUAUUGUCUCCCAAAAGCAUUUUCUGUCAUUUGCGGCUUAGCAAAGUUGCGGCCCUGAAAAGCACACAGCCGCCCUGCUACUGCUAUAAAUAAUCAUCAAUCUGUUGAGUUGAUGCUUAUGAUAAAUUGAGGGAUAAUCCACUUCCCCCUUGUACCAAACCAAACGUCACUUUCUCGGACGGGAAAAACAACCGACGAGUUUAGAAGCUACUAGUAUAAUAUAUAGUUCCGUCCGAAUGAAACAUUUGAUCCACAAAAAAGAAAAAAAAAAAAAAAGGGGAUUGGAUAUGCAGCAGCAUGUUGUUGUAGUACAUGUAAUACAUGAAUCUCGUCGUCUGCUUAGAAAAUCCAAUCAGCUCUCCGCAAAUGUGGAGUUGAUGGCGUCAAUCAGCAGCACAAUGGAUGAACUUCAUGAAACCAACCAGGUGCAGGUGCAGGUUCAGGUUCAGGUUCAGUAAUCGAUCGUCUAGGGUGACGACUCACGGACCAAUCAUCAUUAUUAUUAUUAAUCAACCGAUUCCGUUCUCUCUCUCUUUUUUUUUUUUUUUUUUUUCCUUCCAACAAAUGUGGGUCCGAUGAUAGCUUCAGCUAAUAUAUAUAUAUAUAUAUAAAUAUAUAUAUUUUUUAUAUAAUUUUAUAAAUCUGUGCCUGAAAUCAAUUGUCCGAUUGGAGGCGCAGCAGCAUUAGCAUCACGUGCAGAUCAGCAGACGGGAGGUACAGGUACUACCCUUGAGUGAUGUACUGCUGCUGUCUGGAGAAAUGUACGCAGAGAAGAAACAAACGACGUAGGGAGCUGGGAUUUAAAACAUUAUUAUUAUUAAUUGGUUUGUGUUUUGUUAGCUUCUAAGCAUGUUCUCAUGAUUGAGAGGAAGAUGUAUACAUAAUAAUAAUGGAUAAUCAAUCAUGAAUAUCUCCACCAAAGCCAAUUUGUAUCCGCGUAAUAAUAAAUAAUAAUCAUCAUAGAGUGAUGCAUUUGUUACUCGUACUCGUCAUGGAGAAUCAAGCAGUAGUAGCAGCAUUAAUCAACAAAGUAAUACUCUAAUAUUUGAAUUUUAAAUUUUCAAAUUUCAGUUUCACCGCGCUUUAAAAAAACACGUGAAUUUUAGCUAACGUCAUUAAGCUUAGGUUGAAGUAAAAACCUAUUUAUUUAAUGAUGGAUCAUCGUUUCCUUUAAUGCCAUGGAAUAUCAGCAUUAUUGUUGCUUUAUGCCAGUUUUGAUUGAUUUGUCAAGCUACUGCAUUCAACCACAAUAAUACUCCCUCCGUCCCAUUUUGAUAGUCCUGUUUCUUUUUUCACACAGUUUAAGAAAAAGUAGUUAACUUUGUUGGAAAAGUAAAUUUAGAUUGCUAUUUCCUAAAAUGCCCUCACAUUAAAUAUGGGUACAAUUUCAUGGGAACUUGAAUUGAUGGUAAAAAGAAGAAUCAACUCUCGUUAAAUAGGAUAGGUUUAUAAUAUAUUGUAUCUACACGUACCGGUAACAUUUUCCUUGAAUACAUUUGUUAAACAUAUAGAGUAUAUAUCUGUCGUAUGUAUCGGUGUAUAUACAGUAGUUUUACUCAUAUUAUUAUUAGCACGGUAAACACACACGUCGCUAUGACUCAGUUUGACCAAAUUGUAUGAACUGAAACACAGGGGGGUUUAAAAAAAAAAAAAGGAACAAACCGCUAGGGGGUUAUACUUAUAUUACACACGAUGGUAAGACUUUCGCUUGAAGUUUUAGGAGUUAUUUUGUGGGUAAAAGUCAAUGUCCCAAUCCCAACAAAGAAGACAUCCACAUGAAAUGAGAGUAGAUUGCAUCGCCAUCAUUAUUUUGUUUCUUUAUUACAGUAGUAUUUACUAAGCUCCCCACCUCCAGUAUACAGCUUUUCCCCAUCAUAAAAAAAAAAAAAAGCCAUCUUGCUUUCCUUCUACUACUCCCUCUAUCUCUUGGCGGGAGCUGGACCCACCAAUCAAAACGCCUCCUCUCCCCCCCGCCCUCUACUCUCUUCCUUUUACUCUCUCUCUCUCACUCAUAAACCUCAACUACUUCCCCACCCCCCACGCCUCCUCUCUCAUUUCCACCACCGCCACGGCCCACCUACUCCUCCCUCUACAGUGCUACUAAAGCAUUCCCAACCCCGAAGAACAAAAGAGUUAAACAAGAAAACAAAAAGAAAGGGAGCAGCAUUUUGCUUGAACUUAAUUGCAUUUGUACAACUCUGGCCAUGCUUUGGUCUGACAGUUAAAAGUUAAACAUAAGUCCUACCUCGAAAACAGAGAAGAUUUCACAAUGCCGGUUUUGAGAAUUUUUUUAUUAAUUGUGAUUUCUGUUGUAUUUCAUGUCGUCUUACAACUUAAGCGGGCGAAUUCUCUAACCGCCGAUGGCUUUCCCUCUUGUCCCUCAAGUCCGCCAUCGACGGCGGCGGUUCCGCAUUAACUGACUGGAACGAGGACGACGCCAGCCAUGUCACUGGACUGGAAUUUCGUGUAUGAACAUUUCCGGCUCCAAUGAUCCUCGUGUCGUCGGAAUCACCGUCUCCGGCAAGAAUCUCCGUGGCUACAUUCCCUCCGAGCUCGGCACGCUUAUUUAUCUCCGUCGCCUUAAUCUUCACGGCAACAACUUCUACGGUUCCAUCCCUGACCAGCUCUUCAACGCCUCCUCGCUCCACAGCUUGUUUCUUUACGGUAACAACCUCUCCGGGCCGCUGCCUCCCUCGAUUUGCAAUCUCCCUCGUCUCCAGAACCUUGAUCUUUCCAACAAAUUCUCUCUCGGAAGCCCUCCCGAAGGAGCUCCGGAGCUGCAGGCAGUUGCAGCGAUUAAUUCUAGCCAGAAAUAGGUUUUCCGGCGACAUUCCGGCGGGGAUCUUCCCGGAGCUCGCUAACUUAGAGCAGCUUGAUCUCUCAUCCAACUCAUUCACCGGUUCGAUCCGGAAGACAUUGGAGAAUUGAAAUCGUUAACCGGGACCUUGAACCUUUCCUUUAAUCAGUUUACUGGGGACAUCCCCAAGUCUUUGGGUGAUUUACCGCUCACGCGUUAGUUUUGAUCUUAGGAAUAAUAAUUUAAGUGGUGGAAUUCCCCAAACGGGGUCGUUUGCUAAUCAGGGUCCGACCGCAUUUCUCAAUAAUCCAAUGUUAUGUGGAUUUCCUCUGCAAAAAACAUGUAGGAACAGUUCAAAUAAUCCUCCAGGGGUCCAGUCGUCUUCACGGGAUAAUGAGGGGGUGGAUUCGCAUAAAGGGCUAAAACCGGGGUUGAUCAUACUGAUCGCAGUGGCCGAUGCCAUAGGAGUGGCAUUUGUAGGACUGGUGAUCGUGUAUUUGUAUUGGAGGAGGAAAGACUCCGGUGGCUGUAGCUGUACCGGAAAGUGAAGUUUGGUGGGAAUGAGAAGAGGAAGCUGUGUGCUUUCCCUUGUGUAGGUGCAUUUCCGAGUAAUGACUCAGAAAUUCAGUCGGAGAAGGGGGUUGAUGGUGGUGGAAGUGGUGCUAAUGGGAGUGAGGGGGAUCUUGUUGCUAUAGACAAGGGCUUUAAUUUUGAGCUUGAUGAGCUGUUGAGGGCGUCGGCUUACGUGUUGGGAAAGAGUGGCUGGGGAUAGUGUACAAGGUUGUGCUGGGGAGUGGCGUGCCAGUGGCAGUGAGGAGGCUGGGCGAGGGUGGUGAACAGAGGUACAAGGAAUUUGUGGCGGAGAUUCAGGCUAUUGGAAGGGUGAAGCAUCCAAACAUCGUCAGAUUGAGGGCUUAUUACUGGGCUCCGGACGAGAAGCUUCUUAUCAGCGACUUCAUUUCGAAUGGCAACUUGGCUUCUGCUCUUCAUGGUAUGCUCUCCGACUCUUGCUAUGCUUCAUUUGGCUGCUGCUUGUUGCUUGGAUGGGUUUUUCAUUUGCACGUGUUUUGCUUUAUUUAAAGACAAAUUUAGCUAAAUUGAAUCUGGAAAAUAGAAGAUACGAUUUCAUAAAUGAUUCUACUUGGAAAUUAGGGAACCAACAAUGCUGUAGCUGCUAAAAUUUUUGUCGAGAUUCUCUUCAAAUCGCAAGACGGAGUAGGGUGUAUAUUGAUUUAAAUGCAUAUGAAUUACUUUGGAACCGUGUUAGAACAGUUGCAAUCUUUCUAAACGAAAAAGAUGAUUCUCUGUGAUUCUCCUUCUGAUGUUGGUCUCGUACUAGAAAAUUGGCCGACUUUCCUGCUAGAUCUUAGAGGAUUUAUUUGGCCUUGCAUUGGCGUGAGCACUGUAGUGGCAAUAAAAUAUUUCAUAAUGGUGAACCUCAUACGUAGUUGAAAACUAGGUGGAGCCAUCAUGCCCUUUUAUGGACCAAAACCAUUGGCGAAGCAGUGGAUCUAGGACGACGUAAUCCAAUGUGGUUCUAGCAAAUUAUCAUUGCAAAACUUUGUAUUAAUUUCAAUAAUCUUGGUGUCAUCUGAAGUGACAUUCUGCAUAAACUUUAUUAAUGCAUACUUGGCAACUGCUACUAUUGAAUAUUCUGGAUCUUCAGUUCUUUCGAAGUUGUCACCUUCCCUCUUUCCUUUGCUGCUCACUUCUGUCUGCCUAUGGUAAGGUAAGAGAUGAAUCUGACAACAUAAUUUGGGUCAAGAAGAUCUCGUAUUAACAUCUGCAUGUCGCAUCAUAUUAGUUAAGUUGGUUGAUUGUUUGAUUGAAGAUGCGUAACAUGGAUGAUGCAGGGAGAACAGGUCAGGCGUCAUCUAGCUUAUCAUGGGGAACCAGGCUGAAAAUUGCUAAAGGAACAGCGAGGGGCUUAGCGUAUCUUCACGAAUGUAGCCCCAGAAAAUUUGUCCAUGGAGACAUAAAGCCCUCUAAUAUUCUCCUUGACAAUGAUUUUCAAGCUUGCAUUUCUGAUUUCGGCCUGAACCGCCUGAUCAACAUCACGGGCAACAAUCCUUCAUUCUCUGGUGGAUUUAUAGGUGGGGCUCUUCCAUAUUUAAAAUCAGCUCAACCCGAGCGACCCAACAAUUACCAAUCACCGGAAGCUCGGAUCCCUGGCAACCGACCUACCCAAAAGUGGGAUGUCUACUCAUUUGGAGUUGUCUUGCUCGAGUUGCUGACGGGGAAGUCUCCCGAGCUCUCGUCUCCUACGACAUCCACUUCUACGGAGAUCCCAGACCUAGUAAGGUGGGUGAGGAAGGGAUUUGAAGAGGAAAACCCACUAUCAGACGUGGUAGACCCAAUGUUGCUUAAAGAAGUACACGCAAAGAAGGAAGUACUUGCAGCGUUUCAUGUGGCGCUUGCAUGCACGGAGGCAGACCCUGAGGUUCGACCAAGGAUGAAGACUAUUUCUGAGAAUCUUGAGAAGAUUUGAACAUAGAAGGAAGUGCAAUUUUCAGCAGACGUAAUCGAUGAGGGAACUCUUCAAUUCCGGACAUUUUAAGAUGGCCAAAUGCAUCAGCAUUUUUCAUCUAGGCAAAUUUUGUACGUUUUCAUUAAGCAUUCAUAGUCUAUAUAAUAUAGCCCUCUACAUUCCCAGGAAAUUCUCGUCAUUUACGCUUCUCACAAAAUGGGUACAUAAAUUCCUGGUUGUUUCAACAUUUCUCUUUUGUGCUGUGUAGUUAUAGUUUCGUUUGUUAUUUUAGUAAUACACCCAGUAAUCAGAAGGUUAGCGUAGCUAAAUUUGUUAUUCAUGUUUCUUUCUUUUCUCUUAAUUAGUAGGCUCCUGUAAUAAAGGAUAUCCAUAAUCUUGUCUCCCUCGCCAUCAUUCAUCAUCAUCAUCAUCAUCAUCAUGUUGGCCUGUAAUUCUGUGUUUAUCCACUCCCGACUGUUCCUGUCUGUGCCAGCGAAUGACCUUAACCUCAUCCUACAUUGACUGCCAAAAUGUGGUGGUUGGGGGAAUUAUGGAUAAGAUCUGGUAAAUUGAAUAUCAUCGUCAUCAGCUUUUACAGAAGGAAAACACGUAUUACUUACAAACAAAGCAUAUGCUCGGAAAUUGAGAGUUGAUACGCAGGAGUCUCAACUCCUAUUAUUCACACACAACUCGCACUAACGCAAAGCUACCAUGAUGAUCGUGUCAAAGUGGGCUUUGAGGCCGUGCAAGGCUUAGUUAGGUAGCCUUCAAAGUAUUUGCAAUGUCAAUUACAAAUCGGAACUUGACAUCACCCUUUGCUAGACGCUCCAUUGCAGUGUUCACAUACUCCAUUGGUAUAAUCUCAACAUCUGCAGUUAUUUUGUUAUUCGCAGCAAAAUCAAUCAUCUCUUGCGUCUCCGCGAUGCCGCCAAUGGCACUCCCUCCCACCCACCUUCCUGCUCGAAAGCAAGAGAGAGGCUGGAAUUUCAAGCGGCUUGUUGGGAUACCAAGCAGGACAAGAACGCCCUGUGACUUCAAUAAACCAAUCAAUGGUCCGAGAUCGUGAACCGCCGAGACCGUGUCAAUGAUCCCAUCCAAUGUCUCCAUACCAGCCUGCAUUUUGUCUUUGUCAUGGCUAACCAGAAAGGCAUCUGCCUGAAGACGUACAAUGGCGUCAUCCUUCUUGCUAGGACUCGUACUGAUCACAGUCACUUUAGCACCAAAUGCCUUGGCAAACUUCACGGCCACAUGGCCUAGCCCGCCUAGACCCACCACUCCAAUGUGCAUCCCUGGACCGUCUAGCCCAAAAUAUUUCAGGGCACUGUAGGUUGUGAUCCCGGAACAGAGGAGAGGCUCCAGAAUCAAGAGGCAAAUUUUCAGGCCAACGAAUCACAAAGUUUUCGUCAGCAACCAUGAUAUUGGAGUAGCCUCCAUAUGUUGGAGUCCCAUCAUGGUAUGUUGAAUUAUAAGUGAGUAUCAUUUAGGACAGUAGUUUUCAAGGUCGUUGGCACAGCUGGGGCAAGAAUGACACGAACCAACCAUGCAUCCAACGCCAACUUUAUCUCCAACUUUGAAUUUCUCCACUUUGCUACCAACUUCUGUGACUACUCCCACGAUUUCAUGGCCUGGGACCAUUGGAUAACUGGAAAUACCCCACUCGUUCUUCAGGGUGUGAAGAUCGGUGUGACAAAUUCCACAGUACAGCACCCUGAACAUAACAUCGUUUUCACCCGUCGCUCUCCUGGAGAACUUGAACGGAGAGAGGAAGCCAGAUUCAUCUCUGGCUGCCCAACCGAAGGCCUUGACUGGGUGUUCAGUUUUUGCAGCAAGCUCUCUAGAGUUGUCGGAAGGACUCUCCCUGAAGCCAAUAUAACUCAUGACUCUUCUCCAAAUGCAUUUCAAGAUAUCGAUCAAGCUUCCAGUGAAAUCCAUGGCCAUUUCCCACUGCACAGUCAACAAUACAUGAGAUGACGUGAUCAAUAUAUAAAUAAAUGUUCAUGACUAGUAUUUGGGAUGCUUCUUACGCCUGAAUUUUCCUUCUCUGUCGGUAAUCUGUAUCAGGUGACAAAUAAAUCGCGCUUGCAAACGCUAGUCGUCGUUCGUUUUACUGCGUUAUGAAUCUAUUAUAAUUGGAUAGAAGCAAAAAGAUACUACUGUGCACGUAUGGCGAAUUUACCUUACGCAACAUAAUGCAGAAAAUUAAAAUGACAGAGAUUGUGGCACCUUAAUUAGUGCUUUGAAAUUAUUAAGCCAAGCCUCCGUUGAAUAACAAAAUCAUUAAUGCAAGAACGUUUAAUGAGCACAAAUGACGACGACAGGAGCAAUUAAAACAUGAAUCGCGAAUCUGCUUGAAGCGCAUGCGCAUGAGGUUUCAAUAAUUUUUGCAGACCUAUAAAUGUGUGAUCAAAAACAUGAACUCGAAGGGAAUGUCAAAAUCCUUACCUGACUUUGGCAGUAAAUGCUUGUGUUGAGACACAAAAGAAGAAUUGAUCCGUCUCUCUCUCUCUCCUCACUCGUGAAUGUAGGCACAAUUAGUAGUAUUGUAAUGGUAAAUGAAGUGGCUAAAAAGUAAAAAUCACAUAUAGUAUAGUAUAUUCUUUCUUGAACUUGAGAGUUAGACAAAGAAUAAAAGAGUGGGUGAAAGUGUUCCAGGGAUGACGAGCAAGGAAAGCAAGGUACAUGCUCAAAUACUCCCAUCUUUUUAUAAAGCAAACCCACCCAGAAAAUUAGAAAGGAUUUAGAAAUUGUAGUUGGAAUUAGUGCUUAAAUUUCACAAAACAACACUGUACUGUUGUCGGAUUUAUGACAUAUAUGCAAAAAUUACACGAUUAGUGUAGGCAAAAUUACUUCAAAAAUAAACGCAUAAAACUUGUACAGAAAAAAAAAAAAAAAAAAAAAGGACUCGUCGCGUGAGGCCCAUCUUGAUUAGUUUCGGCUUCUGGGUCUCCUUUCACGAAGCCCAUAUGUACUUCGCCGCGUGAGGCUAAAGCCCAUGAGACAAGGCUUUGUUUAGUCCAUAAUGCUGCCUGCGUUAACAAUAUAGAUCGGCAUUUUGGUAAAAGUCUUUGGGCCGACGUAGCCUUAGAAAAUGUGCAGCAGAACACCACGAGACUCCUGCUGAAAAUCCCUAGCUGCACUAGGCCACUUCUUCUUCUGCUGAAAAACCCUAGCAGGAGCAUAUUCCCAUCCGUUUCCCCCACGCUGAAAAGAUGGUUCGCCUCUCUCCUCCUCUCAGCUUCUCCCUGCUUUAGUCCUUAUAACAAUUUGCGUUAUUAUCAGUUUCGUCUUUGGUUUUGAUUUUUCAUGUCAAAAUGCUCGAAUUAUAACAACUUUUUGGUGUUUUCGGUGUGCUCUGUCAGGUGAAGUACUCAAGGGAGCCCGAUAACCCUACCAAGUGUAAUUGCUUUUUUCCUCCCUCCCUUUUUUUUUUUUUGGUUUUAAACUAGAUUUUGAUUUGUUUUUUCAUUCUUAGAUUUGUUUCAAAAUUUUUUAUCAUCGAUUUUUUAGGCUUUUGUGCUAAUUUUGUUAAAAGUUUAUAAAAUGCAGCCUGCAAAGCUAGGGGAUCUGAUCUCCGUGUUCAUUUCAAGGUAUCGAUUGCUCUCUCUCUCUCUCUCUCAUCACUUAAACAAAUGGAUGCUUUGAUCUACUUUUUUGAAGGCCAUUUAGUUCUUUUCCUGCUCUGUAUGUAUGCUCUUUUUUGGCUAUUUAAGUUUUUGAUUGGACUUGUCGGUAGUGUAACCUGAUGAAAAAAGCAGGGGCCUGUUGCCGUUUAAUGUGAACGGGUCUCUCGUAAACUUCAGGGAAAUAAAACUUGGCAUUGUUAUUGGGUGAACCUCUUGAGCUUCAUGAUGGACGGUUCAGUAAACGAUGAUACAUUCUGAUUAUAUAGUCAUCUUUCUUUGAUUAUUAGAACAAACCAAGGAAAACUUGUGUUUUCUAAUGGGAUUUUGUGGGCUUCAGACUAGCUUGUCUGUCAUGGAUGUUUUAGUAUUAAUUUCUUAAAUUGAUAAACGGUUGCAACCUUAUUUACCUCCCUCAAUUUUGAAGUAAAGAAAAGCUGACAGAAUGGGAACUUUCUGUCCGUUGGUAUGUGGGGCUGAUAAUUGUUUAGUAAAUGACAAAGUCUUCAUACCUUUCAACCUAACAUACUUUUAUGAUUCAUUUCGAUGUGGGUUGGGGUUUUAGUAUCCACAUCUUACGGUUAUGGAAAGCAGGGAUUGUGUGUAUCGACAUUGUGCUAAUUUGUGAUUGCACUUUGCUCGAAAGAGUUCUCUGCAAUAUCUUUUUUUGGGAAGAUGGGCAGUUGUAUUUCGUUAUCUUGUUGAAAACCUUCAACAAUCAUCUUCCCGACAUUUUUAUAUAUCCAUCUUGCUAAUCAGUCUGAUGUACGAGGACAAGAAAUAAGCUUCAUGUCUUUAUGAGCUUUUCUGAUCCUUGGUAAACAUCUGUUGCCUUCAGAAGUUCCUGGGAGAGGGAGAUAUCGUUGAUUAAGUUUUCAGUGAAUACUAGUGAGAAUGGUUGAUAAUUUCUGGUGGGCACUUGAAAGUUGUAACUAAUUCUGCUGGGUCUUUCUUUGUUGUUGUAUCCACUAUUAUGCUGUAUGUUCCUUUUACUACAACUUUUAUUUCUGCUUUGUCAUUGCUUUUGUUUGGGGCCUAGAGAUGUGAAUCUUAGUUCUUGUAGUAUUAGAGUUGUUACCUUGCUAGGGUUGUUUGUGUUUUUUCUCCUUGGAACGGUGCAUAAUUUAUAAUGUAAGAUCUGCUAUAUGCUUCAAUGGUGCUGCUUUGUUAUUUGGUCCGAAUUCUUAGCUAGUUUUUUGUCCAAGCAUACAAUCUGACAGUGUGUGUGUGCUCUCUUCUUUAACAGAACACAAGGGAAACAGCGCACGCGAUCAGGAAGCUGCCUUUAGCCAAGGCUAAGAGGUACUUGGAGGAUGUUUUGGCCCAUAAACAGGCAAUUCCUUUUACACGUUUCUGUGGAGGUGUUGGCCGUACUGCUCAGGCCAAGAAUAGGCAUUCAAAUGGACAGGGUCGCUGGCCUGUUAAAUCUGCUGAUUCAUUUUGGAUUUGCUCAAGAAUGCUGAAAGCAAUGCAGAGGUUUGUCCGUGCUCCCAGAAGUUAUAAUCUAAUAUUCGUUGUUUUGUACAACUUUGACAGCAGUUAUUUUAUCCUGCAGGUGAAAGGCUUGGAUGUGGAUUCACUUUUCAUUUCUCACAUUCAGGUGAAUCAAGCACAAAAACAAAGACGCCGCACAUAUCGUGCCCAUGGAAGAAUAAACCGUAUGUCUGAUCGAUGACUUUUUUUCAGUUUUCUGUUCUGUGCAUUAUGUCCAUUAACUUUAAUAUAUGAUCUUUUUGGCCAGCCUACAUGUCUUCCCCCUGCCAUAUUGAGUUGAUUUUGUCUGAGAAGGAAGAGUCUGUGAAAAAGGAGGUAAUACAUAUGUAGUUAUAUCUUUCAGCUAUCUGUCAAUCUGGUUGAUAUCCAGAAAGGUAUCAUUUUAAAUUUCUGGGGCGCUUCUCUUUGUGUCUAAAUUUUUUUCUUAUAUUUUGCAGCCUGAAUCGCAGUUGGCCACAAGUAAAUCUAGGAAGGCUUAAGCUUUAUGUAAUGGUGCUUUCAUUGGCAAUGCUUUUAGCCGAUUCUACAAAUUUUGAGGCAUAUUGUUACUUAAUGCUAUUGGAAGUUGCAGACAAGUUUUGCUAGUGCUUAAAUUCAAAAAGUUCAUUCAAAGACAUACUUUGACUUGUAGAGACAGCUUUUUGUUCUUCUUAAAUGUCGUGUGGCUUCUUUUUGGUUGGAUGUUAUGGUAGUGUUGGAUUAUUUAUCAAGCUGCACUUACUGGCCGUCUCUAUUAUGCUGUCAUUCUUCGAGCCGGCCUUCUCACAGUGCCUUUUUAUCUUCAAAAUUUUUCUUGGGACUAACGAUGAACAUUGUGGAUGCAAGGUAGACCUUAGAUAUGAGAUGCAUGAAAUUUUUAGUGUAGGCUCUGGAUGCUGGCUGUUUAAGACGCUCUGCUGAGCUAGAAAUACUACUGCAGGAAUUGCUUUCCUUGAUGGUUUUGUUCGAUUUAGUAUCCCCAUGAGAAAGAGUUUAGGCUCUCUUGAGAAAGAGUUUAGGCUUAGUAUCCAUUGUGCAAAUUUGAGGUACUUAAAACGGGCAGCUCCUCUGUGUGUUUUGAGUGGGUAUCUAUAUGUUAAACUAGUUUUUACCCUGAAUUAGUCGUGUGAAUUGCGGAGUCUGGAAUGUGUGGAUUGUGCGAUUAUAGCUCAGCGGAAUGCCUGUUUUUGUGCAAUACGAGAUUCAUUCUCAGACUGAAUGAAGGAAAUUAUGCAUCAGUUGUGGAUGAUGUGUCGGGUAAUUGAUCUCUGAAUUACGAGGAAAUCAAGAAACACUUGAAUGGCGUAGAACUUGCAUUCUGUAGGACUGAACUUCCCCAGAAUCUGUUUCUGGUGCCGGAGGUUCAUUUUGAGUUUUGACCAUGGUGAAUUCGGUGCCGGAGAGGUGAUUGAGAAAGUCUCCCGCCCAAAUUAAACUAUCUUUCAACGGACUUCAUUGGUUAGGCUGACGUUUGAUGUGAAGGGUGGGCUUAUUGUGGUCGCGGUUGGCAAUAAACUCCUAUUUGAUAUUUCACGUAGGCAAAAAAGGAAACACAUCUUGAGUUGUGUCAUCAUGGACUCCGCGGAAAGUUAUCAAGACAAAUCAACAUCAUGCAAGCAUUUCCGGGUUAUGCUAGGGCAGCACGAACAAUGUGAUGCAAUGAAGGGGGCGCAAAUCCACCCAUUCUACAAAGAACGCGUGCCCAGGCAAUAUGUAUUUGUUUAUUUAAAUCUUUUUUUGGUGCAAUGAUAAAAGCAGACUAGCAAAACAUGCAUGACGUAAUAAAUGUAAAGGGCAAGGAGGUAAUAACCAAUACUCUCUCCAUUCUAAUUUGUUUGUCAUAUUUUAAGAAUCAAAUUUUUUAAGAAUAGUAGUUUAAUUGUAUUGCUUGUGAAAAAUAUAAUACUCUCAAUAAAUGAGGGAGGUAAGGAAGGCUUCCGUAAUCGCAAAUCGGCUACAAAUCUUCAGGAAAGAGCGAAAGACUAUCAGUCUGGUUAUAGAGAUUUCUGCCACCAUAGAUUACAGAAGAUGAGAGGGCCCAAGAACAAAAUGUGUUGAUGGGGGCCCAAGAUCCCUGUCAACGAGGCCUAAGUUAUGUGUAAUUUGAGCCCAAUUGCCAACAAAAUAAUAUAUAUGUGUGUGUGUCUAUAUAUAUAUAUAUAAUAUAUAUAUUAUAUAUAUAUAUAUAUAUAUAUAUAUAUCCUACCUAUUAAAAGCGCGGAAGGCUGAGGAGCAGUAGCGUGUCGUCCCUUUCUGGCAUUCUGCGGGUUCUUUGGAGAUUUUGUGAAGCCCUAAGGGUAAUUUUGACAGGUGAUUUCUCUUGCUGCUAGAGCUGUUAAGUUAAUCAAAUAGCUCGAAAGCUCGUUAGAGCUCGGCUCGUUAAUUUUGGUUAACGAGUCGAGCUCGAGCUCGAAACAUGCUCGUUUAGUUAACGAGCCGAGCUACUCGGCUCGUUUGAUACUCGAGUAGCUCGUUAGAGCUCGUUAAUGAAGGCAUAUUUGUCAUUUUAGAAAUCAAAAUUAUAAAAAUUAAAAAUUAUAGAUUUUUAUUAAGGUUAAUUUGCACGAACUCGAGCUCGAACUCGUGAAGCUCGACUCGUUUGUGAAAACGAGUCGAGCUCGAGCUCGAACUCGAGCCACAUGUACAUUUAACGAGCCGAGUUCGAACACAUUUUAAAGCUCGUUUUUCUAACGAGCUCGAGUCGAGCUCGGUUCGAAUUAAACUCGAGUCGAGCUCGGCAGCCAAAUACUCGGCUCGACUCGACUCGAUUAACAGCUCUAUUUGCUGCCUACUUCUUUCCUUUGUUUUUUCCCCUCUCCAGUUUAGUGUUUCCCCCUUGCGCUGCAUGUGGGUUUUUAAUGCCCCUAAGCCACAGUUUAUUUCGAUUUGGCCAUGAUCUAAGGCUAAUUGGAAAAAAAAAAAAGGGGAUAAUUGCACUCACCUCCUCUGAGGUUUCUAAAAUAGCAUUUACCUCCCCCGACAUGAAUUUGGGCCUCUAGUUGACAAAAGAUAGGGUGAAUUUACUUCUAUACCCUAAGAGUUUGAGGUUGUUUGUAAACAAAUUUGGAGCAAAAAAAAUUAGGGCAAUAAACAAGUUUACGAUAACUAAUUAAACAAGUUAAUGGUUAUUUCUUAUUUGAUUAGGCACUUUAAGUGCACUUAUAUAAUAGCAUCACAAAAUAGCGCUAAUUGAUACUCCAACAUGGCAUCAUUUUGUGAUUGACAGUAUUUGAAAGGAUAAUCCAAAUGUAUAUAAUUUGCAUAGAAGAGAAGCAGAAGCAAAAGGAAAGAAACCUCCAAACAAGGCCUCAUAAGAAAAUAUGUUCUGGUUGUUUUGGUCGAGUUCACUUCAUCUUAAGCAUUCAUGAAACAAAAAAAGAAAGAAAGCAAAAAAUCAAUGCCAAUUUUGAGGAUUUUUCUGUUAAAAAUUUGCGAUAAUCAAAAGACAAUAGUUAAGCAAUCCUUUGUAAUCUUAACAUAAUACACAUAGUUUCUAUGCACACGAAUGAAUCAGAGUUUUUUGAAAUUGGUUGUACAUAUUAUAUGCUUUAGAACCUUAGAUUUCUGAACGUAUGUUCAUUAAAUUUUCUUGUUGUUACUACUAUACUUGUUCUCUUUGCAUUUAUAUGAGUUUCACUAAUUGUUUCCAACUUUUGAUUUUAUUCAUUCUUUUACUAAUUCAACCUUACAAGAGGUAAAAGGGGUACAAAUGGAACAAAAUUAUUAUCUCUUUUCUCAAAAGACUUUUUUAAUGGCACUUUUUGUAACAUGAGCUAAAUAUGCUAUCAAAAUCUUAAGUUCAUGGGAGCUAAGUGCUAUUUUUGAAAGUUUAGGGGAUGUGAGUGCAACUAUUAGAAAUUUCAGGAGAGGUUUCUGCAAUUAUCCCAAAAAAAAAAAAACGCAUGAUGAGCCACAAUUUGUUCUUUUUGCCAUGGCUCGAGCGUAAUAAAUAUAUAAAAAAAGGACAUGGUGCCUAGUUUUGGACUGAUAUUAUAUCCUUUUUAGCCAUUAGGAAAAUAUAAAUUUAGAUUAACAUUUUAGUAUGAGUUCUGCUCCAAAUUUCGUCUACAUUCCUCACCAAAAAAAAUCGGCUCAAAAUUUUGUCUACACUCUUGGCCAAAAAAAAAAAAAGUAAAGGGUCUCUUGAGUGGCCACUUAUAUAACACUUUUUGUACAAAUUCAAAAAAAAAACAUUUAGUAUAAUUUUGUUCCAAAUUCGAUUGAAUAUUUUAAUAUCAAUUUUGUUCGAAAUUCUUCUACAUCACUGGAAAAGAAAAAGAGGUAUGGUAAGCUUUGUCAACAUUCUUGACCAAAAAUAAAUAAAUAAAUAAAGGGCCCAUUUAGUGUCCACUUAUAUAACACUUUUUGCAGGAAUUCAUUGCUACUAUUUGUAUGCAUCAUUUAAUUACUUGUGUGAAAAACCAAAUUUAGUAUAAUUUUGUUGCAAAUUCAAUUGAAUAUUUUAAUACCAAAUUUGUUCGAAAUUUUUCUAUAUUGCUGAAAAAGAAAAUGAAGUAUGGUGAGUUUUAAUUACUUGCGUACAUUUUAAAUAGUCAAAAAGUAAUAAUAGCAAUAGAUGAUUAGAUGAACAACAUAUAAACUCUUGCUAAAAAAAAACGGAGAGCUUUAAUUACUUGUGUACAUUUUAAAUAGAAAAAAAUAAUAGCAACAGAGAUGAUUAAGCAAAAUUUAUUAUUUCCUGCCUGUUUUUCUUAGUUUUUCCCCUUCUUAAAUGGCUUUUUUUCCUAACUAUUACGUUGUAUUAAUAAACAUAGCAUAAUGAAAAUUUGCAAAUAAAUUUUGCUCAAAAUUUCUCUAUAUUAGUGAAAAUGCUUGAUAUUAAUGAACGUAAUCUAAUAACCUAAAAAAAAAUCAAGAUGCAUUUUGCUCCAAAUUCCUCUAUAUUAGCGGAAAAAAAAUAGAAGCCUCCUUGAUUGGACACGAAUUUAAUGCUCUUUGGAUACAUUAACUAUUACUAUUUUUAUGCACCAUUUAUUUAUUUCUUUGUUGCUAAAAAAUAAUUAUGCUAAUAUUUUUUUUGUGUUAAAUGCGCUGAGCUCCAAUUGUUUCAAUGAUAUUAGAUAACAGAAAAUGUUUAAUAGCCGGAAAUGACUACAUAGAGACAAUGGAAGAACGACUUUAUUUUUUUUCCUGCUUGCUCCUUUGAAAAGCUAUUUGCUUGAUGAAUUGUGUCCUAAUCACUCCUUUUUGUUUUACUUUGAUAGUCUUUUUUUUUUUUUUGCACAUAGUUUAAUAAAAGAUGGUUAACUUUGUUAAAAGAGUAAAUCUAAGCUACUAUUUUCUUAAAAUGUCGUUAAACUAUUUCCAGAAGCAUAACUAAUCACUAUAUCUUUAGAUUAAUUACAAUAACAAUAAGUUAGUUACCAAACGCGAGUAUAUGCAUUCAUAGAGUAAGUUAGCGAGUGUUCUGGCAGACACAUUAAUUAGAAGGAGAGACCCGCAAGUAUUUUUGUUGCUUUCCUUCUGUCCAUGCCGCAGCAUCCGUAUGAUUGAUUUUGUUAGGUUGAACUUCAAAUUUGGAGCUCAAGCUGUUGAAAUUCAUUGUUUUGAGCCAUUCGCACAAGUUCGUUCUAUCUAAGAGGCACAGGAGCCAGCACUGAAAAGAAUACUAACAAAAUACUAAUCUUUAUGGGGCAAAAUACACAAUAGGAGGAAUAUGUCAUCUUGAUUGUCCUUCCACGUACAUCACGGAAUAUUAAGAGGAUGCCUCCUCAAUUCACGAAAAGCUGGAAAAUUGGUUAGCCAGUUUCAAGGAGAUAGAUUGGUAUAAUCGCGGAUUGUUUUAGUAACCAGAAAAUGGUGAGAAAGAUUCAAUCAAAAAUUGAAGAAGAAUAUUUCAAAUGGUCGGAGAUUUGACGUUUUAGCUUUGUUUGUAAAUCAUUAAUGUUGUUUAUCUCUUCCAGGGCUCAUUGGCAAUCAGCAAUACGUGUUACCAGCAUUCGAAUAGUACAGAAGUCAAAAAGGAUUUAAAAAAAAAAAAAAAAAAACGCACGCCUUCUCAGAUGAUAUUAGACCAUUGGAAAAUGGUUGGACGGUUUCAUGGAAAGAAUAUUCAAAUGAGAAAAUGAUAACAUUAUAGUAUACGCAAUGAACGGCUGAAACUACUGUUAUUUUCACCGGAAGUAAACGGCUGAGCCCCCACCCCCCGGUCCAAAAAAAAAAAAAAAAAAAAAAGGCCGAUUUAGAUGAUCCCCUCAUCAGGCCGGGAUUCCUAAUGGAAAAUUUUUUUACUCAAUUACCAGUUACAAGGGUUUCCCAUUUACUCUCUUCUUUUUUUUUUUUGUGGUCUUAUUCUUGAUUUUGGUUUUAUCUGAAAAAUAAACAAUUUCAAAUCAGACAAGAAAAAUCAAGUAACCUGUCAUAAAUCACACAAUCUAGAAUUCCUUUCAACACACGCAAUCCGGAUUGCAUUGCCGUAGAAAAUAAAAGAACAGUUUGUUUGGAUAGUAAUAAUAAUUCGCUUGUAUCAUAAACACAUUUUCUAAUCAAUCUUUUUAUGUUGUCAAUCAUUUUUUUAUCUCACAUACAUCACAUCACAUCACAUCACAAAAAAUAUUACAGUAAUUAUUUCAAAUAAUACUCUGAAAAUUUUUGUUGUAUCAAUUUGAAGCCAUGCACGUACGUUAACCUUGACAGCCCUUAUCCAAACUCCCCGCCCCCCCGUUCUAUCUCCUCUCUAGGUGCUUGGUUAUUAAACAGCCACCUUGUUGGUGAUAUUUAAAAGUAGUGUUUGCACAAAGCGCAAAACCUCACGUGUUAGGGAAUCUUGAACGUCAAAUCAUAAUUAAUUGGGGACUAAAUAUGGAAUCUUUUGAUUGUUGAUAAAUGAACCAGAGAGCGGGGGUGGAGGGCGACGCUCAAAGAGCACCACAGUCUCAGUCUUGAUCGAUCGUUCUUGUUUUCUCCCAGCAAUAAUUGAACGUUAUCUUGAUAUCAUUGAAAGGUGAGGCGCGGCAAAUUUGGAUUUUGGCGAACAAAUUGGAGUGGAAUUUCUGCGUCAAUUGAUGUAACAAUUCGCAAGCCAUUGAGCCAGAUUAAUUGUUUGGGUUGGUCUGUAUCAGACCUUUGUCGGGUUGAAGACAGGCAUUUGAAUAUUUGGUGCGCUCUCACAAAUUAGAUCCCAAACUUAGAUUAGAUUGUGUUUGGAUUACAUUUUUCAUAAAAAAAAUAUUAUAGCGAUUUGAUAUAUAUAUAAAAAAAUAAUAAUAAAAAAAAUGUGACCAGGAAAAAUAAUGUAAUUUUUUUUUUACGGAAACUCCGAUCCAAGGAAGGCCUUACCGCUGUUGGUCUUGUUUGAAGAUAAAAAUUGAGGAUGAUUGCGGAUUUGCCUUCACGUAACUAACGAUGACGCACGCUGGGGCUGUCAAUUCAAUCUUAUCUACCACAAGAAUUUGGUUACUUACAGACAGAUCAGAGAGUGCUUGGGUUGAGCUGAUCCAAUCUUCUUACCAGCGUCGCUUUUUUCUCUCUCUCUCUCUAUCUCUCUAGUCUGUAUAUAAUAUAAAUAUAUAUGUUUCUCUCUCUCUCUCUCUCUCUAUAUAUAUACAGUAUUUGUAUGUAUAUAUAUACACUCCACAAGCCACUGCCCCUUCGUUUCCGUCCCUUGCCUACUACGCCCACCAGACCACACCUCACCUGUCAGGCUGUCACAACUCACAAAUACACAAUCCACCACCCCCAUAUCGCAUCUAUUCUUUCAUUUAUUUUAAAGUAUUACCACUAUAUCUCUUCACCCUUCCGUUUCCUCCAUUUCUUGGGAGCUUCCUUAUCCAUUUCCUCUUCUUUUGCGCGUACUCCCACCGCCUACUCUCGCAGCUGCCCCCUCAGGCUGACUUCCCUCACAUUUCCAUUUCCCAGGUAAUUUUUUAUAUUCCCCAUUUUUUUUUUGUUUUUUUUCCUUCCUAUUUAUCAGUUCCAUCUGAUUUUUUGUUUUGCUCUUCCGUCGCCAUGCGGAUGAUUUCGGUACCACUACUGCCAUAUGAAUCUUCUGUCUAAAUUUCAGGAAGAGUAGAUUUUAUUUAUGUCAAUAAUGCCUUGUCUCGGGAACCUGUCCUGCUCUUAGUCUUUAGCUAAUUUCAUUUGGGAUUUUUUUUUUAAUAUUUAUAGAUCUGUUCUUUUUUUUUAAUUUUCUUUUUAAUGAAAUUCGAGCUGUUUAUACUUUAUAGUUUGACCUGAGCUACUUUUGUUGAGCAUCUGAAAUUACGCUUUUCCUCAAAUUUGGAUUUUUUUGUGGGUGAAUUCCAAUUACAGUGAGCUCGUUUGAGCUGUUUCUGGUGUCUUAUGAAUCUUGAGCUUGCUCGGCAUUGUAUUUGUUGAUAUUUGUAUUGAGCUUCUCGAUUUAUAUAGUAUGUGAAUUAUGAGAGGAUGCUAUUUUAAUCCUUGAAGAUCGCUUUUGUUUCACAAUCUAGUUAAUUGACAGCAUGCAAUUGCUUUGAUAGUUUGUUGGUGAAGUUUCUAGUUGCUUUCGGUAGCUGGGGUUGUUAGAUCUGAAUCGCUGUACUAGUUUUCAUUGUCAUGUCGUUUAGAGUGCUACAAAUGUUAGUAUAUUCUCUGUGCAAGAUGGAGAUAUUCUUUUACCAUUUUUUCCCCGUUUAUUCAUGAUCUGGUGGUGGAGUUGCGGUAGAUUGGUGACACUGGUGGUAUAUGUUUGGAAGUUUGAUUAGUAGCUGUUGCUUCUUGGUGUGUCUAGUUUGACUAGUAAUCAUCAUAGUAAUAAUUGGGCACCACUUAAAUUGUUACUAUUUCUUUUUGGGUCAUAGACUUUAAUGGAUCAUUUGGCUUUCCUUGGGUGUUGUUGAAGGUUCAAGUGGGUAAUUAUCAGUUUGUCGUGUGUUUCUGUUGGGAAAAUAAAGUUUCAAUUAUGAAAGAGUCCAUCGUAUUACUUGCUACACUUUUGACCUUCUGGUGCAUUUCACAAUAGUUUCUUUACUCAUGUAGUCAUGUCGGUAUGCUACACUGCAGAUAAAACAUUAGCCAAAAGCAAAAUGGAAGUUACAGGAGGCUAACUUUAUGCGCUUCUAUGGCCUUGGCAGGUACCUUUUUUUUUCUUUUCUUUAUCUAUCUAUAAGGCCCUAACCAACUCCUGCUCUUAUCAAUCUCGAUUCUUUUUUUUUUUUAUUUAAAUAUUCAUGUUUUUCUUAUUUACUUAUUUUUCUUUUCAAUUUCGAUCUUCCCUGUGUAUAACUUGUAUCAUCCCAUGUAGGUAUCUGGGCAAUGUGUGGGAAGAGUAACAGUUCAGGAGGCAGCAGCUUAGAUAGUACAAUCAAGAAAAAGGACAUUAGUACCCAAAGAGGUGGAAUGGAAUUUGAGUCCGAUUGGACAAAGCAUUGUUGGAAAUCAUCAGCCUUCACUGCUCAAGCCAUCCGUUCAGCAACAUCUUUUAUGCCUUGGUCUUGUAAAAUAUCAAGAAAUGAAGGAUUUCACGAAUAUCUUUAAUCGGUAGCUGAUUUUUCUGUUAAGUUGAUCUUUGUAGUUGAGAGACAUAGAAGGAAUUCAUGAUGCUUCUGUCCACUUCCUGUUUGAGAAUUUCUUAUUCCAAAAAUGCCUAAUUUUGUUAGUGGAAAGAAGAGAGCUACCGAGUUGAACAUGUGUUUCUCCAACGCUCUCGAGCAGGGUGCUCCACCUCACUCAAAAGGGGGUUCCUGCUUAACUCUAAAGUUCGUUGAUGGUAUCCAUAGUCCUAUCUUGCCUGGAUUGCCCGAUGAUGUGGCAAUGUACUGUCUUGCACUUGUUCCUCGAACUAAUUUUCCUGCUAUGGGUGUUGUUUGCAAAAGAUGGAGGUCUUUUAUCCAAAGUAAGGAAUUUAUCCGGGUUAGAAAACUAGUUGGCAUGCUCGAGGAGUGGCUUUAUGUCCUAACUGUUGACUCUCAAGGAAAUGGGAGCCACUGGAGGUUAUAGACUGUUUGGGACAGAAACACAAUGAAUUCCCCCAAUGCCUGGUUGUGAGAAAGUUGGUUUUGGCGUGGUAGUUCUCAAUGGAAAGCUUCUCGUAAUUGCUGGUUAUGCCAUGAUUGAUGGAAAUAGAUCGCCCUCUGCUGAUGUUUAUCAGUAUGAUUCUUGCCUCAACAGGUUUGUUUUCUUUUACCUCAUAUUCCUGUUUCAUUCUUUGCUUGUCACUGCAUUCCUGCUUUUUGUAAUGCUCAAGUACUCUGAACUUUCAGGGUCUUUUUAAUGGAACAUUUGAAUUACGACUUUGUAAACACUUGCAAAAUUAGGAGGUUUUAUUUUUAUGCUAGAAUUUCUCGGUUGCGGUAUCUUCAGCUAGUAGACAGCUUGAUUAGUUUCAUAACCAAAAUGUCUUUUAACCCCAAUGACUAAUCUAGAUUGUGAUACUUCUGUGCAGCUGGAGUAAGCUAGCGGACAUGAAUGUUGCACGCUAUGAUUUUGCUUGUGCUGAGGUAAAUGGCAUGGUCUAUGCGGUUGGCGGCUAUGGGAUGGAUGGUGAAUCUCUCUCAUGUGCUGAAGUGUAUGACCCUGAUGCUGACAAGUGGACUGUAAUUGAGAGUCUUCGCCGACCACGGUGGGGAUGCUUUGCUUGCGGAUUUGAAGGAAAGCUCUAUGUAAUGGGAGGUCGAUCGAGUUUCACAAUUGGAAAUUCAAGGUUUGUCGAUGUGUAUAACACUGAGAGGCACACCUGGUGUGAGAUGAAAAAUGGUUGUGUCAUGGUCACCGCUCAUGCUGUGGUGGGGAAGAAACUUUUUUGUAUGAGUGGAAAAACCAGCGGAAGCUGGCUAUAUUUGACUCAGAGGAUAAUUCAUGGAAGAUGGUGCCAGUUCCAGUAACUGGGAGCUCAAGCAUCCGAUUCCAGUUUGGCAUACUGGAUGGAAAACUUCUUUUAUUUUCACUGCAGGAGGAUCCCGGUUACACUACCCUUCUGUAUGAUCCAAACGCACCCCCUGGCUCAGAGUGGCAGACCUCAGUGAUAAAGCCAUCCGGUUCGUGCAUGUGCAGCGUCACAAUCAAGGCAUAAAGUGGUCGAUUUCAUUAAAGAUGAUGAUGAUUUCAGUGGCGUUCUUAAAGAGUCUUCCCCCCGGUUUCCGUGCGGGGUUCCGUUGUUCGUUUAAGAAGCAGUUAUGCAUAUGAUCUAUUGUAUAGUUUUAGUAAGUUGGUUGAUUUAAGACUAGUGUGAUUAUGUCAUCUUGUAUGAGUAAUUUGCUUGCGAAGCUUUACUGACAUAAAUCUUGAGCAGCAGUUGUUGUAUCUCAAAUGUUAGUGGCGUCUGUGAUGGACUGGGAUGCAGUAAUAUUCCAGCAAGUAUAUGUGGGCAAAAUUCCAAUGGACGAUCAUGUCCGUGGGCUGUGGAGUUUGUUGCCAGUACUGCGGUAGAUGAAUUAAACACGUGAAAUGUGGCACGACAACGUGAAAGAACUUUGCAUGUUUGAUAUGCAUUGCUAGCGAAAGAGAAUGUACGUUAAAAGCUUUUCACGGUUUGAACGGGUGCUUCCAGUUGCCAUUUGAAUGAAAAAUGAUCUCGUUGUCACCUAAUCAUCAACAACGCAACGGGUGUCUGUGGCAAUAGCGCUAGGUUAACUAAUACCGAAAUCUCUGAAUCUGAACGUCUAAAUCACCCAUAUGCUCAAUUUGUCCCCAGGAGAGGAGAGCCGAAGAAGACGCAGGAAAGGACGUCGAAAGUCUUUACUUAACGUGCUUGCUUUGUACGAGGCUACGGAGUGCAGUUUUGCAAUUUUACUUGCUAUUAGUAACUGCAAAGUCACCAACUUGGUUCUCAAUCGUCUCUGUUUUUUCACUUGGGAUCCUCGGUGACAUGUUUUCUGUGCCAAUUCAAUGCACCUAUAGUAUUGCGCAAGUGUCCUGUUAUUAUUUACACUUUAAUUUUCUAAUAAUUCAACUUGGUUUGGUUUAACACAAGUGUAAAUAAUAACAGGACACUUGACGCAAUAUUAUAGGUGGCAUUAGAUUGGCACAGAAAACAUGUCACCGAUUAUCCCAAUUGCUGUUUUUAACCAGCUGUAAAAAAUUUGAGGAGUGCGUUCAAGAAUCACUCUCGUACACAUUUUGAAGGGGAAGAUAAUCAAUUUGUUCUUUUUAACUAUUUCUUUAAUUCAUUAAUCUGCAUGAAUACCUGACCAUAUUUAUUGAAUAACACAUCAGUUAAAUUAUCUAAGACUCCUUUUGAAUUGGCCUAUUUUUUAAAAAUAAAUUCUUCAUAUAUAAUAUUACAGUAAUGCACAAAUGAAAACAAUACUUAAAACACAUCAUCCAUACAAUUUAUUAAGAACCUGACCGUGUAUUUUGAGUGGUUCUCGAGCCUAAUUUGAUCUCAAUUCGAGCAUAUAUUUUUAGUUUGGAUAAAUAUGCCAUACACACCAACAGCACCCACCAGUCAAAUUACGCAUUAAAUUUAAGUCCUACUUUGAUUAUAUUAUAUAUGUGAGAUAUACUCUUUGAGUGGCUCGAGCAACUGCUGUUUUUUACUCUUUGGCUUUUGGUUUGGUUUGGGAUUAUUUACCAAUUAGCAAACCCAACGAGGACUUUAAUCGCGUGUUAAUUAGCGUAAAAUAUCAAGCGUUUCAUCAAAGAAAAUACUCCCCCCAAAAACCCAAAAAAAGCGGCAACAACUUGAAAGUUAAAACCUCCACCCACCACCUCCCCCAAGGGUUCCGCCGUCCCAAAGCCCUCCGCUUCUCCCAGCACCGCAUCAACCACCGGAAAUGUUCGGCCACCCAUCAUCAGCCCCGCCUUCGGGACUCUCCUCAACCCUGCAUUCGUACCCCUCUUCGACCCGGGCCUUCGGCACUCCGUCUUCCACCCCUGCCUUCGCCACUCCAUCUUCAAGCCAGCCUUCGGAACGCCGUCCACCGUCGUUUGGCACCGGCUUCGGAACCUCACUGUUCUCUACUCGUUCUCGCAGCAGCAAUCGCAGCAGAGCUUUUCUUUCAGACGCCAGGCUCAAGCCCUUUCGGUCUCUCGACGCCGUUCGCUGCCACCAAGUGCAGUCUUUCCGUUUGGUCAGCCGCUGUGACUCCGGCAUUGCCCUUUGGAAAAUGUUCAAUUGACCACUCAGAUGGCUCAGUUGCUCCUCUCCCUUUUCUCUUGCCGAUCGUGAUAUUCAAGUAAGCCUAACUAGAGAAGUUUUUUUUUUUUUUUUUUUUUUUGGAAAAUUCGUAGUGUAUUUAGUUUUGCAUCUACAUAUGGCGGUUUUCCUUUAAAUUUAUGGUUUUGCUAUGUGAACUAUCUAGGCUAUUGUUGAUGCUUACAAGGAGGAGCCUGGAACCCUAAGUAUGCAUUUAAGGUUCGAUUUUUCAUCAUUGACCUUGUCCUUGUCAGAUUUUUUUAAUUCUGUUUAUGCUCGAUUCUUGUUUAAUUGGUAAAAUUCUUGGGUGAAGAAACGUGGAUUUUGGGGACAUUGACGUUUGAAUUGAUUUGGCCAUUGUAACUUUAUUUUGUUAAUUAUUAAUUAGUAAUUUAGCAAUGAUUCUCUGUCCCCUUUGAAGAAGGAGAGAUGGUAGGUUAGGUUACGUUGCCUUCGUUUAGCUGAAGUCUGAGAAAGGAAAAUAUUCAUUGCAUGAAACACUGAAUGUAGUGAUAGGCCAACACAUAAUUGCAAUUUGGAACAAAUUGGUGGCAAGAAUAAGCUGCAGAUGAAAUGUAUUUGUCUCUCAUUCUUAGAAAAAAAAUGAUUAGACAGCGUCUUUUCUUGGUUCCCAAAAUUUUCUCCAUUCUAUGUUUAUGAAGUUUUUAAAAUAUGUGUUUGUGGUUUUGCAGCAUUAAUUGUUCAGCGUGACUGAACCUCAAUAUAGGGUGAAACCUGCUGGUGUACCAUUCUUGUUUAAUUGGUAAAAUUCUUGGGUGAAGAAACGUGGAUUUUGGGGACAUUGACGUUUGAAUUGAUUUGGCCAUUGUAACUUUAUUUUGUUAAUUAUUAAUUAGUAAUUUAGCAAUGAUUCUCUGUCCCCUUUGAAGAAGGAGAGAUGGUAGGUUAGGUUACGUUGCCUUCGUUUAGCUGAAGUCUGAGAAAGGAAAAUAUUCAUUGCAUGAAACACUGAAUGUAGUGAUAGGCCAACACAUAAUUGCAAUUUGGAACAAAUUGGUGGCAAGAAUAAGCUGCAGAUGAAAUGUAUUCGUCUCUCAUUCUUAGAAAAAAAAUGAUUAGACAGCGUCUUUUCUUGGUUUUCCCAAAAUUUUCUCCAUUCUAUGUUUAUGAAGUUUUUAAAAUAUGUGUUUGUGGUUUUGCAGCAUUUAUUGUUCAGCGUGACUGAACCUCAAUAUAGGGUGAAACCUGCUGGUGUAUCAGAUGUAAGUUCAAUGUGGUUUGAGUUAUACUUCUGAUUCUGUUGCUUUUAUUUACAUGUUGAGACUUUGUAGUAAAUCUUGUGAAUUAGUUUGGCUUGUUAGAUAAUGUGGGCAGAGGCCAUAGGGAAACUUGAAGGCAUGGAGAGUUCUGAUCGAGAACGACUUUGGCCCCACCUUGUUCAGGGAUUUAAAGAUCUGUCACAGCGCCUCAAGGUACCAGAUGGAUGAUCAUUACCUCCUUGAAAUGAGGAUGGCUUCAGUGCUUGGAAAAAAUUUUUUGUUGAAGCCUUCCUAACUCACAUUUGUUUCAUUUCGAUGUGCCAAAACUGCAUUCUUUGAAGAAUUUUUUUUAAAUAUUAAAUUUCUGUGUAUCCAAUCUCUAUAAUUAGAUUCGCUAGAUGGCAUAAGUAGUGCCUCUUUCUCAUGUUAAAUAAUGUGUGUUUGGAUAGAGUAUCAUUUGAAAUAUUAUUUGGAAUAAUUAUUAUAGCACUUAUUAUAAUGUGAUGUAUGUGAGAUAAAAAGGUAUUUGAAAAUAUAAAAAGGUGGGUUGGAAAAUGUGGUUAUGAUGCAAGCAAAAUAUUAUGUGGAAAAAUUUAGCUAUCCAAACACUAUUAUAUUGUUUCUUGGCGGGCAAUAAAGCGAGCAAUCUAUCAGUAUCUUCACCAAGAAUUUAUUUUGUUAAUCCUCUUUUCAUACCUUUAUGGUAAUUAAAUGUUAGUCUUUGGGAUACCUUGCAAUCGUGUUCUUUCUUUUCUCUAUCAACAUUAUCUGAUUGUAGCUUGGGAUACCUGAAUUUAUUUUCUUUUUUGAAUUGUGUUUCUUUAACUUUGGAUAAGCUACAAGAUGAAGUUAUAGUCUCAGAUUCUGAGAGAUUGCGAAUAACACAGAGCAAUGUAAAAAUGGUACUCUCUUGUUCUCUUGGUUUGAUAUACCAAACUUGUGGUUAGUGUACUAGGUUUGUUAACCUGCCUUUAUGCAGCUUCAAAGGCAUUUCCAAGCAGACACUUUUCCUUGGAUUCGGAGGAUGCAACAAAAGGAGCAGAGUCUCCAGAGGCGCCUCUUAAGGGUGAGAUGUCUGGCAUUAUACUUCAUUUUUAUCAUAUUGUCCAAGAUGCUAGUGUUUUGAUCUGAUAGUUAAGCAUUUUCUGCUGCAAUACAAGUAGUAAUAUAAAUGAUUAGGAGAUUUAAUUUUGUUAUAAUCCUGUAAUAUUCACUCAUGUCUCUUUGUUUUAGAAGAAACAAUUAAGGAAUACCAUCUAGAUGAAGUUUUAGACCCCAAAGUACCCAUGUCGACAUGCCAUGACACUGGUGCUGGUAUGGGAUAUGUGUCCAAUGAAAAAUUUUUGGACACUUUUGACUUUUGUGAGGUCUGAUGUCGAAGCAAGAGGAGAAGAACUGGGUGAGAAAACUCAUAGAUGCAGAAGACUUGUUGCAUUGGAGUCCUACUGGAAUCCUUUUGAGCUAUGGCUUGUUGGUUACUUUAGAAUUCUCCAAUCCUUAGUGAGCUACGACUUGUAUGUUGGCUGUACUGUAUAAUUCUUAUUUUUACUUGAAAUUUUGCUGUACCCACGUUCUCUUGUCUGAGUCUUUAGAAGUGUCCCUGUAUCCUAAUUUUAGAAGGUUGACGAAUCAGACACUUAGACACAUACUCGAAUCCGACACCUAUACCCGAGUCCGAGUAACAUAGGAAAACAGAAUGUUCAAUACACUAGCUAUGUACACUGGACUUUGCUAUGCAACAGAUAAAGAAUAUAGUCUCAUAUGAUACACAGGUAAUGCGAAUUAUAGAGGCAUUGGAAGGCAAAGGGUGUCGAUCACCUUUGAUGAAGGGAGAAGCUGAAUUGGCGGAGAAGUUGGCUUCAUUAACUCGACAGGUACUUGAUCCAGGUCUUUUGAUCUGUGUAAGAUUUUUAUGAUGUGGCUUGUAAUGGAGCUUGUAUUUACUAGUAAAUUCUGACAGUUAAAAGGAUCAGGAGCAGAACUUUCUAGAAGGGUUCAAAAUCUACUGACUCUAUCUCGUGUUCAAGCCAAUGGCCUUGGUGGUAGAUCUAUGUAUAUACCUGGAUCAACUAAAAUACAUGAGCAAAGUCUUUUGGACAUGCAGGAGGUAUUGUCAAAUCUCAUUUUAAUCAGCAUUGCUGACAUGGAGGUGGUACAUCACUUUCAUUGAUAUGCGUGUUUAAAUGAUGGAAUAACCAAUAAAAUGCAGGAAAAAGAAUGAUCAGUGUAUCAUUUGAAGCUUUGUCCUUCAUUGCACCCCCAGAUAUUUAUUGCAAAUUUUAUAUGCUCACCCUUGUGGCUCACGUACUUUUGACACAAUUACAUGAAGCAAGCAAAAAUAUGUCUGAAUGCACGCCCAGCCUAAAACAAGUCAUAUAACUCAUGGUGAAGAAUGAUUCAAUGUAAAUUAUGCUAAAAUUGUAAAGAGGCUACUUUUGUCCUUUCUGGACACAGGUCUUGCAACAGCAGACGGAGGCUAUUGCUAGGCUUGGCAAUGUUUUAAAGAGAGAUAUGAGGGAUGUGGAGAUCAUCAUGGCUGAGGAAACAGAGAUGUCAGAAGACUAGCCAUACAUUUAAGGUGUUCGCUGUUCAUUUUCAGUUUGUUGGUUUAAAAGCUUUUGCUCCUGUUAGGAUAAAUUUUGUUGGCAACAAUGAGCAAGUUAUGGGAAUUCCUACUGCCACAUCUCUUCUACCUUGCUUUUUGACCUGGAAAUUUAGAUGGAUCAGAGGCUAGAAUCUUAAUCACCUCUAUCUUGAUUGCUGUUGGAAAAUAUCCCUCCCGUGAGACUUCAUUUGAUGAUUUUAUGCUUCAUAGAUCAGGUCAAUUUAUGCUCACAAAGAUCAGCGGCCGGAAGUUUGAUUUUUGUGCUCUGGAUAUGCAUGUCAUUUUCAUCAAGGUCAGCAAACUACGGUAACAGAAUUCGUUCUCGACACCAAAGGUUUGUUGUACAACUCGACAAGCAAACUGUGCUUGUUGGAUGGCAAAUUGUAUCAUGUAAAGUACGAGAUUGAGAACCAAGCAUACCUUCACUCUGUGAGAUUAUGGGAAUUUGUCUAUUCACUUUGAGAUUGUACGCAGUAUCUCAGUAAUGGAUGUAGGUUAGAACAUGCCUAUAGUACCAGGAUUUUGUAGUCGCUAUCGUGAAGUACUGCAGUCAGUGAAGUUCAAAUAGACUACACUGAAAAACAAUGUUCUAAAACUAAUUUUAAUAUAUAUUUGAUGUAGUGGUUUAUAUUGUGAACUAUAUACGAACGAAACAACAAAAUAUAGAAGAAAGUGGAGUAGAGAAAAGUAGGUAAAAGUAAGGAGAAUUAUAUUUUCAUUCACUCAAUUGUUGAUAGGUUACGAGAGACGUUGGAUGAUCUUUAUUUACAGAUAAAACAAACUUAAUGAUACAUGACUAUCUUUAAUGCUUGUGCAUAAACUGAGUUGUUCCAUAAAAUGUACCACAUGCUCUUAGGAGAGAUACAUGUACCGACCUUCUAAGAGAAGGAAAUGGACAUCCAUAUCAAUUCAUUUAGUUGUUUCAUAACAAUAAUAUUUUUAUUAACCCUAUUUUCCCAAUCUACGAGAUUUUUUUGGCACAGAUGGUAAUAAUACAAAUGCAACAGUCUGCAGUUUUGUCGCUACAUCUUUUGUAGCCAAAAUUGCAAAUUUAGCUAUUACAUAACAAUGGAUAGGACCUUAGCUGGCUUUCCUCUUUGGCUUUCUUUUGAACCUUGAACAACAAUGAAAACUCCCCACCAAGAAGCUGCCCUUCCAGUUAUUGAACCACAGAUAAUACUUGAUGAUCCUUCAGGUGACACUGUUUUGGGUUUUCGUAUUAAUUUUUUUGUUUUUUGGUUUUCACAUUAAUGCAAUUAUGAAUAUUCUCAACAUUCAUUGUAUUUUUCUGCCAUGAUCAAUACCACCAAAGAGUCCAACCAGUGAACACGCGUGCACCUUUUCCCUUUCCCUUCUGCUGAUCAUACUGCUCCCACAAGUAACCAGUCUGAUGGUAGUUUUUAACCACAUUCCUAGGAUAAAAAGGAGAGCUCGAAAUCACUGUAAGCAUAUACUAUAUGUGGCAAAAUCAUCUUUAAAAAGAAAAAAAUUAGAACAGAACUUUCUGCCACAGAAAAAUUGGUUACGUGAUGAUAGAAAAGUAUCUUUUGCAAUCUGCGCAUUUGGAUGUGCGAGUGCCUAAAUGCCUAAUCACACCAUACCUGAUCAAGUUGUUCCUCAAAUCAUCAUAUAUCGCCUUGGCACGUUGUCUGUAUGGUCCAUCCUCUAUAAUGAUCAAACCAAGGCAGCAUCAACUUUAUAAGAAAGAGUUUCAGAAGAAAAUGUUAAUUUCUCAUUUAUUGUACCUCUGGAGUAGUAGUGAAGUGCAGAGAGAAUCCUAUAAUUCAUGUUCAUCCAUAUAGGCCCCCUCCAAUAUGGUGGAUCAUGCUCGGUAUUUCGUUUCAUGUAAAUUGAGCUGUGGCAGAUUAUUUGUAUUUCAAUUAAUGUUGUACAAUUUUCUCAAUAUAAUCACUUGCCGAUGAGUUGAAAAAUAUGUACCUCGUUGCAUGAAAACCAGUGACUGUUAAACUAAUAGGUGAGAAUCCCCUCCUUACCUCGUUUUCGAAAGAGACCUCAGCCCGAAGUUUGUCCAUAAAGUGCUUCUGUUUGAAAUGAGGUCAAGUUGUUUUUCUAGUAUCCAGGAUCCCUGCUUGCAAUUGAGUAUAUCAUUUGAUCCCAGAUAACACAAAAAGGCUGACCAAGUGUGAAGAGAAUGGUAACAAGAAAUAUUUUAAAGUACAAGUUGUUGCAAAGAGGAAGGUCAUAGUAACUUACAGGUGGAAUAAGCCUUUCCAUCAGUGGGAAAAGGCUGACAUAGCCAACAUGAGGAACCAGUCUCAACACGGUUUCUCUAAAACUUCUCGAAUAAGCUCUCUACUUGGGUGACCGUUAACUGUCUCCACAACUUGCCAACUUAAUCGAACCUGGAAGGGCAAUUCCUUACUAGUUUCUUAUAAUGCAUCAGUAACAGAAUAUUCCUUUUCAACAUUAAGUCAACAGGUAGCCUUUUGGAAGCAAUUUGGUUUCAUAAGAAUCCCCCUCUUACGCUUUCAACAUUUAUUGACAUGAAGCAUGUAGACAACUCAUCCAACCACCCCACCAACCCCCCCCCCCCCUCCAAAAAAAAAAGAAAAAAAAUAAAGGAAAAGAAAUAAAGCAUCAGUAACUUUAUGCAAGAAAAAGUUGCUGUCAUCUCACAAAACCGUAAGAUAGCUUACGUUUUCUGUAUGAUUCCCGUAAUCAAAAUAAGCUCCAUAUGCAUCAUCAAAGUGCAUCUGGACAGAACGUAGACAAACCUUAGAUCCAAAACCUAGAUAAACGCAAUAGUUUUUUGAUGGAUAGACCAAAAUGAGAUUAAUAUCCAGUUACAAGGAAACAUGUCUGUAGUAAAAAUUAGAGCUGACCUCAUUUAAAAGCUGAAAAUCAGAAAGCAGCUUAGCUGUGGACCUAUACUCCUGUUUCAGUUCAUCAUAGACUUUGAAUUAUGUUACAGAGAAAUCUUUGCAUACAAAAAUAGUAUUAUGGUGUAUUUUGUACCUUUCCAUGUUCAUUUUCCUUCUCAAGAAAUUCUAAAAUCGAAUGCAAGCAAUCUGCAGCAAGAUGCAUCCAACAUCUAAUAUCCAAGUGGCGUUCAUCUUUACUUGGGUGUGAUGCACGGGGAUAAUCAUCUAGUCCAGAAGAUAGAGUCUGGAAAUGCAAAGAAACAUCUAAUUAUUCUGGUGUAACAGGUAAAACAAUUUUCAAUUAUUCUAACAAGGACGUUCAUGAAUGGAACAAGUGGAUCUGAGAAUAAACAGCAGAGUAACAGCAAAACUUUACUCCAGAAUAAGCAUAGAUUGUUUAUGUGAAGCUCCAUUUGAAAUUGAAGCCCCUUUAAUCUCUUUCAAAAUCACAAUAUGUAUUAAAAAUACAAUGCAGUUAGAAUUGUGUCUUUCUUCCAAAUUAUUGCGCUGAUACUGUAUUUGUAUUUUACAACCUUUUAGGUAUUUAUUUCAAACUCAUUAAGAUGUGGAAUAAGCAGCCAGACGUCAUAUAACUUCACGUUUGCAGUAAUAUGUGUCUUAGGAUGUCCAUGAAGCAAUAUUCAAGUACAUUAAGCAACUAAGCGUGCAUAUCCAGAUACAGUUAAGCCGUUUAUAAUGAAUCAGGCACAAAACCUUUGGAUUUAAUUCACGAAUAGUUUUAUUGUCUCUUCCAUGCCAAAAAUAGCUGCUCACAGCCUUUCCUGCAAAUACAGCAGGUAGAACUUCUCAUAAGAUGCUUAAACAUGAUAGAAGCUACCAAUUACAUUAAAGCUAUGGAAGUUUAGAAAUUGAUUUCAGACUCGUACAAUGCUUAGGUAACUAACAAACUAAGCCUUAAAUAGCCAAUUUCAGCUUAACAUGCACUCAUUUUUGACAUAGAAAUGCAUACCUAAUACCAGUAUUCAAUCUUUUUGAGUUAGAGGAACAAAGUAACUAAAUUAUCCACCAAGAUUUAGACUCCAAGGUUGCUGUGCAAACUAACCACCAAGAUCUUUAGACUCCAAGGUUGCUGUGUAAACUAAGCAAUACAUUGUCUCACAGUUUAAAUGAUGGGAAUCAAGAAGAUAAUGGUAUUUACCCGAUUGUGUGGUAUUGAACCAUUUAAACCAUCCUUCAAGACGGACAAAUGCUUGAUCAAAGAAGAUUGAUAUCUCUUUCCUCUCACCAGCAGCAAACUUCUUGGCCUUAAUGCUGCAAAUAAGGUCUGCAUAAAGCAAGCCAAGCCUUCAUACAUAAACAUUAAAAUCAUGCUUCUGGCACAUAUGAUGAUCUAUUAAAAGAUUAAUCUGUAACACAACAUGGAAUAAAUCAUAAGUUUUUCUUUGCUUAUCACUGAACCAGAUCCACGAUGAUCUACAAACAUCACCUUCUUUUAACUCCAUUCAGUGAAAAAAUUUCCGUUUAUUGUAAAUAGACCAUUCAAAAAUAUACGCAAGCACUAUAACUUUGCUCAAUAUGAUUGUAUUCUUACCAAAAUUCAGCACAAACCAAAUAAGCAAACUGAGCAGCCCAAUUCUUAAAGCACUUAAAAAGACUAGAAAUUAUUGAAAGAUAAGUUUACCGCGUAAAACUAGGAACAAUGUUGGAGGAUUCCCAUUUGUUGGAUGCUGGGUAACAAAUUCCUCUGGGACCUUACUGCCAAUUCAAAUAAAUAGCUUGUCAAAGAGAGAUCAACAGUAUAUGAGAUCUGAAAUGAUAACUAAGCAUAUCAGAAGAAGACUGUAUUUAUCACCUUAAAGCUUCAGCACCUAAAAUUUGCUCACGUGGAAUCCAUCCAUCAAUAUUCAUUAGGUCUAGCCAGUGUCCGAUAAUAUCCAAGCAAAUAUGGAUAUCCCAACGCCUGAUCAUUGUUAAGAAGAAAUGAAAUAUUAGAAUACCAAAAACUAUACUGAUCUUCUAAACUAUGCUGACCUUCUAAACUAAAUAAGGAUCCAUCUGACUAAAGACAGAACUAACUUAAAGCUGCAGAAAACCACCUACCAGAUCAGUAGCUGAUGGAAACCCUCAUCCCACAAAAAUCCCCUGGGGAAAAAGGGACGACUUGGAACUGCUGUAUAGAGCUCAGCUGGCCAAUAUGAAAUAAAGUCAUCACCAUGCUUUUUCUGCAUCAGAACAUAGCCCACCGUUACUUUGUCAAAAGCCCCAGUGGUAAUAAUUUACCACAGAAAUGCUAAACAUUUCAGUCAAACUCCAAUACUUAAAAUAACAACCCAAAAUGCAUAGCACAUAUGAUUUAACUACAAAAUAAAAAUUUUUGGAUGGAAAUCUAGAAUAAGAGCACAUCAAAAUAGUAUCUAGUAUUUCAUUUGCUUUUGUUUCUUUUCUUUCUAAUACUUUAAGUGAAUGUUUGUAGUAAUUCUAACAGUCCAUGCACUAGAUGCAUCAAAGUACAAUGGGUAGUCGCAAAACUCAUGUCUUACAUUAGAUGAUUGUCCAUCUAUGCUGUUAUUAGCAAAAUACAAGACAGAAUCACGCUAUGCUAGUCUGUCUUACAUUAUGGUGGUUUAAAACUGACUCUUCCAGAAAUUUUCAGAUGCAUGCAGCAUGACAUUGACAACAAUCAAAUUCAGUGGAACAAAUUAAUGCUUGUGUAGAUUUACUGGCAGUGGAACAAGUUAAUGAUUGUGUAGAUUUACUGGUGAUCAAACAAAGAAAGCAUACAAGUGAGACUAGAGAAUAUAAUUGCUUCUGGAUGCAAUAGGUUUUUACAAAGCAGAGAAGAAGAAAACAAACAUGUAUACCCUAACCACUGCCCCAUCAAGCUUAGUGCAAAUUCACUUUUACAGGAUCUCACAGUUCACAUGGAUUGCAGCAAGUACUCAGCAACUAUAUUUAGCUACCAGCAAGAAUUAUUUGACCCAUCCAAAAUGGAUUAUGCAUAAUUCAAAAAGUUGAAGAUGUAAUCUCAUUAAUUUGAACCUUCCUUGAGUCAUAAACCCUUUUUUCCCCCUUUGGAGUUGUAAACUUGUCAAGUCAUAAAAUGUGAAGCAAGCAUGAGAAACGACGCAAACUAGUGUUUAAAUCAAAUAAAUGGUAAAGAGUGAACAGAAUUAGACAUAUACAAUGAUUUCAGCAAAUCUUGUUAAGCAACCAGAGGCAGUUAGAGUAAAAUUUCUGUAUAAAAUUUCUAUUUUUUAAGAUCCAUGAGCAGAAUAUAUAAAAUUUCUAUUUUUUAUUUACAGUAAGCAGAGCUUGUAAGCAGUACAAUACUCACAAAGACAAGAAGAUUCACAAUUAUGUAAAGCCUCAAAAGGACAUCGGAACCACAUUAAGGAUAAUAAAUAGAGCAACUAACAUCAGGGCGAUUUGGGAGUGCAAUUUGUGACUGCCCGUAAAAGUAUCCUAUACCACCAAGCAGAUUGGCAAGUGCAGCCUUACCCACUGUCACAGAUCCAGAAUCAAGCUGAGAAGACCAAAUGAAAGUUUCAGAAACACUUCAAGAAAUGCAUUAUUGCUUUCAAACUGAAAAAGGACAACAUGAAGGAUGACUCAUUUCAACUGCAAAAAUAGUCACAUAGAGCCAAUAAUCCUUUGGCGUAGACAAUCUUAGCACCCAAAAUGAUUUGUGAACUUACAAUUUUCUUAGUUGAAAUGGCUCAGAUGAAUUCGUUGUAUCACACUGCACACUGGCUGUACAAUCAUCCAAUAACUACAUUGAUGGCCUUGGAAGCAUGAUUUGAACAUUGAUAUACUUAUGCAUAUAAUUUGGCAUCAAUAAACUCUGUGGAAGAGAAUACAGCCAAUGACUUCGCAUUUUAUUGAAUGAAUCUCUAUGAAAUGAUAGUUCACAUCCUACAUCAUCUGUAUUUUAUUUCUAAAGGAUGAUUACAGUGAUUGACAUGCCAAAGCACAAGUUUUAUCUAACCCCACUAGCUAGCAACUCUAAGUAAUCCUGCAGCAUACAUUUCAUGUAAUGCAUAGAAUAAUCUAAGAUGAGAAGUCAAGGAUAGAAUAUGUAGGAUAGGGCUGUUGUAGCCCACAUUAUCAUGCUUGGAAACUGGUCUAAAGAGAUUAAGUACUCAUCUAAGUUCAAAAGAUUAUGAAGCCCAAGGAUAAACUGGUCGUUACCUCAUCACCAAGAUUGAAGCACCUUUCGAAUUUGUCAGCAUAGUCUUUUUGCUUCUCACUCAAUUUAUUGGUCAAUGAGGCACCUACAAAGAGUGAGGAAGGAGUGGCAAAGAUUUAAAUGUUCAGGUUAAGCUAAGCUUUACAACCACCCUGAACAGGGAGAGAAUAUAAAGCAUCUAAAGUUUGUGUUGUUAACCAGAUUUAAGUUGACAAACUUAAGAACAGUAAAUACUUGCUCAAGAUCAAAUUCAUCAGUUUUGCCUGAAUACCUUGAAGGUAUCAAAAGAUUAUGCAAAUUUCAGCACCAUAUUUUUUCUAUAUAUUAUCCAAGAACACUUCUUUUUCUUUUGAAGUGCAGAUAAUAAAAGGUCGACAGCGGAAGGCACCUGCAAGACUGAUGGCACGCUCUUUUUGCGCAAGAGUUCCAGACUGGAAAAUGAUAUCUGCCUUGAAAGGUAUCCUACCAGAGAGCUGAAUACACAAAAGUCGUUACUAAAAUUGCAAAUACAAAGAGAGACUUGAGCUGAAGUCUUAUUUGACAGACUGAAGAAGCAGGAGCUCAUAAGAUUGCUGAAAUAAACCUGAAACACUAAGAUGUUUGAUGACCCUUCUGAUGUAUCUGAAAGCUGCAAGCGACCCACCUUCCUUGCCUGAAAAGUAGACAAAAACAACUUUAAGAAAGGCAGAGGAGUUACAUAUCAUACUCAACACGGUGCAAAAGCCACCAAAUGCUGUAAAAGUCACUACAAGCAUUCUUGCAGCAAAGCUAUUAACAAGGUCGAGAUCAGAAAACUAGGGAGGACAAACUCAUGUACUUGGAUCCCAAGAUUUGAUUGGACAAGAUCAGAUAAAUUAUGGACAAAAGGUGUCUUGAACCCAGAAUAGUGAAAUUCAAAUUCAUCCUGCAAAAAAAACAAAAAAAAAAAAGCGAACAAACACACUCACAGUGAGAUACAGAAAUCCUGGACACAACUGAAAAAGUAUCCCAUAGCUUCAAUAAAAUUUAUGUGCACUGUAAUCCUCCUAUUCUGGACACCAACAAACAUUCCAUGUGGCAUCAUACUGUAACUUAAAAGAUGUGAAAAUACUAGAAGUUUUUUAUCAAUUAAGAUUUAUAUUAAUUUUUCAGUAUCAUACCUCAGUACUUAAAAGUAGCUGCCAAUUGCCAACAUCACUCCGAUAUCCAGAUGCUAGGAUAGAUUCAUCAUCUACAUCUGUGGCUCCUACCCAAAUUUAGUGCAUUUCCACUUUCAUCAUCCAUAUAGAAGAACAGAUGCACAGUUUUUGACAUUUCCUCACUAAGGUUUACUCUGUCAACAAUUUCAAAGCUGUUAGAGAAGAAAGAAAUCACAGGACAUGAAAGAUGAGCAUAGCAUCUAAGAUGCUAUAGCUUAUUAGCAAUGAGAACUAAUUUCAGCAAGUUUUGUUUUCGAGGUCUAGAGCAUGUCCUUGACAAAUGUGAUAACCUCCAAAAGAAAGUUUUGCACUAAGUAGUUUCAUGCUCAACAUUCCAGAUGCACCCACUAUAUUAUAUGUUCCUCAGCAUCAAAGUUAAGCAUGCAUCCAACAAGCAAAGACAUUCUCACAUAACUAUUAACAAUAUAACUGGUUCAGCAGUUGCUUAAUGAGAGAAAGGAGACUCGCAAAAACACAAUCAGACGAAUUGAAGAUUUUACAUGAUAACAAUAAAAUAUUGAUCAAAGAGUGUACAGAGAAAUUACUAGACAAUUAAGUGACACAUUCACGUCAAUAAAAUUCCAUCCAAUACUUACUUUUGAAAGAAUAGCAUUUGGGAAGACUUUCAGUUUCUAGGCUUAUACACUAAAAGCAACCAACUGCCUUUUGGUUUUAAGAAAGUGGCCAUAAAAUUUAAGUUAAUGGGGAUUACUCAUCAUUUUCCACUUCAAUUCGGACAGCCCAGUCUCCACCAUAGCUGCUCCCAUGCUCCUUGGACUUGAGGAAACUUGUUUUCAAGGUCAUAUCUUGGUCAACCAAAAUUUGAUGUCCAUAAUCCCGUCCAUUAUGCUCUGUCCAUCCAUAUGUCCUAAGCUCAUCUGAAUCUUGGCAGAUGUGUCGCAUGGCAUACCUUCCAUUCGUAAUACCAAUCCACAUCAAACCAGCAAUCAAAGACUGUGGGGUCCUACCAAUAAACACCAAAAAGUACAUGAUUAUGUCGAUCCCAGUCCACACUGUGCAUGUUUCAUAAAGCAUCAUAAGUCACACUAGAAGUCCAUCAGAAAAACUAUACAACAUAUUGGGGAGUCUUUCUGGUUCCAUUGAGGCUGAAAGAUGAACCAAGAUACUCAAUAUAUGAACUAAGCCCAGCUCGAUAAGUGCUCACUGAGACUAAAACAUCGAAGGAUCAAACCAAGUCUGCAGUGUUCUUUUUAAGGUCUAGAACUCAGCUUGAGCUCAGUUCCAUGAGUCAACUAGACGUUAUACAUAUUAAUAAAUGAAGGUAAUAAGCUGGCCUUCGAAAACAACAGCAUUUGGCUCGAUUAGAUUCCUUUAGACCCUACUUUUCAUUCUACCACAUAAAAUUGCACGCCAAAAGCAGCAAUUUUUCUUGACAUUCCAGAGCAGAAUGUGAGAAGGAGUCGAUACCGUGCACGAAUCCCAAAAUAAACGUUAGGUCUAUAGGUUCCCCAAUACAAGCUCUCCUUGUGCUCCCCUUGAAACUGCCAGGAAAAAGGAAAAAUCAUCCUCGUAGCUGAAUUUAAUUUAUUAGGAUACAUAAAACAAAGUGGAAAACUGAAAUUAUACUAAAUUAAAGAACAAAUAUUCACCAUGGGAAGUUCCAUGAGUUUGGGAGCGGGAAAUGGCGUGAUAACCCUGGGCUUUUCCGGCUCUUCAUUAGUAUUUACCAAUCGGAAAAUGAAAAAGAGGGCGAUCGAGGAGAACAGGAUUCCAAACCCUAGGAAAACUUUGCUGCUCACGUUUGUAAUUCGAAUGAGGCUUUGGUCUCUGCCUCUAUAACUUCGAGGUCUAGCGUUCGUACUUACUCUGUGGACUGACUCAUCACCAACGGCGUCUGCGGAGGGCUUGCCUCUACUCCGAGUGCUGCUUCGCGUUGAACUGCCGGCCAUUUUCCGGUGUGGGUUUAUUGCUGAUUCUGAUUUCUGGGGAGGUUUUGCGCAGAGUGCGCCUGCGCUGAUGCACAAGAAGCAGGACGGUGGACUUGGACUGGCCAAGGCCGUAGUGUUAUUGAAAAUCUGGGCUGCUGUAGCUUAAAGUCCAUAUCUGAAACCUAUAAAUCUGCCUUGAUCCUCGGCUAUAGGCUAUGAAAAUCCGCAAACUUGGGCCACGGAUGUUAAAGACCAGGACAGUAGACUUGGACUGGGCCGAGCUGUCUCAGGUGAUCUCUCAGUUUUUUUUUUUGGUGGUAUAAUUGUUACUAAAAAACAUAUGGGUCUGUUUCGAUUGGGCAGUUUUUUGACUAGUUGAAAAAUUGUAGUAAAAAACUACUAGUAUAUAUGUAGUCAAAAAACAACUCGUUAGUCAACGCAUUGUUUUGAAAUGUCUACAGUGGUGGUUUUGGGGUACGAUAUUAUUGUUUUGGCUCGGAAGUAAGAAAACCAUUGCUGUUUCUACGGAACUCUUCAUUCCUUUUCCUCAAACCGAAUUUCAACUUGCAGGUGCUCAUAUGUGGAACCUACCUGUCGACAUCUGAAAGCUUUUCUUCCCCGAGCAAAUUCGUCCUACUUUUUUCGUUCCAAAGCUGCUUGUGGUAAUUUUGGGCAGCUGCCAUUAAAAAACUUGCCCGAAGCUUACUCUCGUUAGCUUCAACGGAGACACCUUCAGUGAGCUGUUCUGUUCCAGGUAGCUACAAGAAAAUCGGACACACGGCUUGCGCAGGGGGCAGGUGGUCUUCUUCCUCUCGCUGUGCUUCCAAUAAGCUCAUUUAAUUGGCUUUGUGCUAUAGAAAUUGGCAGAGAGGUGCGCUUUGUUUAGCAGAUCCCCAUUUUUUUUAUUGGAGGUAAAUAAUGAAUUUGGUACACUUCCGUACGAAUUAGGGCUGAAUUUUUAACUUGGAAAUUUUGGCUUUCUAUUACAAUUCCUGCAGCUAAGCUAUGAACAAUUGGUGUAUUUUGAUAACUGGAACGCAGAUAAAUCUUGUCAACUUGGGUUUAUGGCAUCAGUACCAAUUUACGUAGCUAAUCGCAUUUGAGUAAUUGAACUUUAAUUGUUAUUGUUGCUGCUUCUAUUCUGUGCGAUGGUGGUGAUUAGGUGUUUCUCAUGGAUAUACUCUCCGGCAGCUUGUUUUUCAAAAUGCUCAGCGUGUUUUUGUUUUUUGUGUGGUUCCAUUUGUUUGCUUCAGCGUGUUUUUCAAAAUGCUCAGCGUGUUUACUUCAUCCGAGACAACGUACCAAUGAUAUGUUCUUCAAUGAAGAAGUAGCGCUCGGUGCCUUAGCAGAUGCCGGGGAUCCAGGGACUUCGUUCAGGGCAGUCAAAAUUUCGAUACGUCGCAGCGGGGCAUACAUAACUACUAACUAGAACGAAAAUCGGCGGCAAUACUCUAUUGUUACGAUACCACUUCAUUCUGCACCUCGCCAGAAUUUUCACUCUUUUACGUUACAAGUCCUUUCGUUACAUUAUUACAUAGUAGAAUGGUUUUUCACAUGAAUAAAUCAAGAAAUUAAUGCGAUCCUUGGAUGCAUAUGCCAGAGCACAUGGCUUCCAAGUCUUUGCAGACAAAUCCAUAACGCAAACAUAUUAAUAAUGAAUGAAUUCAACAGCACACCACCUCACUCAUAAUAAUAAUAGACUGAGGAGGCCCUCUUGAAAGCUAUUCCUUCCUGAGUUAAUUACUACCUCUGCUGAAACUAUGGUCCACCUUUAUAGUAGUACACCAUAGUACCCCGUGUAAUGCCAAAAAAAAAAAAAAAAAUCCAUCCUAUCUGCCAAUCGGACUAACUAAGCUUGUCAAAUUCUUGAAAAUAGACAACGAAUUUUGUUGCCCAUCCUAGCCAUGUGGAAUAGCUCAGGCAUUUGCCAGCAUUCUUACAAUUUGCCAAGCUGACACUGAAACUUCCACAUGCUCGCCAGGCUUCUUGGGAAAAAAAGUUUUUUUUUUCCCUCAGCCAUUCUAUAACCGUUACAAAAGGGUGGCGAUCCAAUUCGAGGCAAAAGUGUCGAUCGAGCUGGCAAGUAGUAUUUCCUUUUUCUGAGUUCAUAGUACGGAAGAGAUAAAUCCAAAACAAUUAAACAAAGCACCAGUGCAUUUGCAAAGUAAGCGGUCCUCUUCUUUUUGAGUCACAAGGCUACUUAGAACCUUUUUAUCUUACAGAGAAAUAGAGGAGGAGGAGGGAGCAUGUACAUUUUUUCGCAAAAUCCUAUUAAAUUAGGAGUACAUGGGGUCUGAGCUAGAAGAAAGUUAGAAAUGUACUGGUAGUACUUAUGUUAUGUGGGUGUCACAGGACUAUUCCUUAGAUUCUGUAGUGACUGGUGAGUGAAGCUGUGAAGCUGAGUUUGCCCCACUCUGCAUUCAGGCAAUAAAGUGCACCUGUUUCAAUGUAAUUAAUAUUUUACUGGUAAAAAUGUUUUACAAAUGUUGCUGCCCAUAUGCCGUUGUUUUUAACAAUGCAGAGCAGAUGCAGUGCAACUAUUUUAACUGGUACCAUGUCUAUUGAGUGGAUCUGAACUUCCCUUCAUCCCAGCCUCAGCUCUGCGGAUCUCAAAAAUCCAUACUUUCAAGGUCUUAUUCUCUGCAGUCUGCACAUUUCCUCUGUGUAUUCAGAUAAGUCGAGCAGUGAUCAAUCUAAGUAUCUUGGGCCAAUUAAUAGCGACAGCGCCUUCUUCCCAUUUCUUGUGUUGGCACUUUUUCCAGCGACCGAGUUUGUCUUUUCAUCGAGAUUUCUUUGGUUUGUGCCCUUUUGGCUGAUCAAUUUUGCCUCUUUUUCAUCUUCUUACCAAUAUGUCUUGUUCAGCGACUGAGGAGUCAAAGGCUUGAUUGAAGGAUUAGUUGCAUUUUUGUUCGUGGGAAAGAUGGCGCCUUUCUUUCUGCUGAUUGGAAAGUUCAGCUAGAAAGGUUUUUGGCGAAGAAUAAGAGGAGAAGUCAAUGGAGGAUAAGGGCUGUUUGAACUAUGGAAGAGCACAAGAGCUAUCUGGGAGCAGUGCUGCUGUGAGUUUUGAGUUUCACAAAGGGAAUGGUGCGAAUCGCUCUUCACAUCAUCGAAUGGCCUUUGGAAAGCCGACUCCUCUGAAAUGGGACGAUGCACAAAAGUGGCUGGGUAAUCAUCUUUCAAGAGGUGGAGAGAAAAACCAGUCAAAGUCCACCCCCCGCAAUUCAAAUGCUGACGACAGAAGAUUGAUAGCUCCGGUACCAAAGGAGGAGUACCUGAGCAGCGAGGAUGAAGGAGGAAAUGCUUUUUCUGGUAUUCCAAGUAGUGUCCACUAUGAAGUAGAAACAAAGGAUAUGGACUGUGAUGAAUCGGUCUGGAGAAUCAAUAAGCCAUCAACUGGAUCCGUUUCGGUUGUUCGAUCAAUAUGCGUGAGGGAUAUGGGAACAGAAAUGACUCCUGCCGCAAGCCAAGAGCCUUCAAGAACGGCCACCCCUCUUAAAUCCACAACUCCAGCGGCAAGAAGCCCAAUAACCUCAGGAUCCUCAACCCCAUUAAGGUAUCAAAAUGGAUUCCAGAUCUCUGAAGACGGUCAGACUCAGACAGGUAUAACAUCUGCUGAGCACAGGGGAGAGGCUGGCAGGGGCAAUGGAUCAUCAACAAGCCGAUUUGCGCGAGAAGGAGAAGAACUGAAUGCUGCAAAUAUGAGUGAGAGCCGUUCAGAUCAACCUCAAAGGCUAAAUCCUCUGGAAACCAGGGCAAUGGCUUGGGAUGAGGCUGAACGAGCCAAGUACUUGGCAAGGUAAUAUAAAUAAGCAGCUUCGUAAAAGUUAUGCACCACAGAACUGCUAUUUUCCUCGAUGAGACGGCAUUGUACAGCUUUUGAUAGUAUGGUUGUGCAGGUAUAAGCGCGAAGAGGUGAAGAUACAAGCUUGGGAAAAUCACGAGAAAAGGAAAGCUGAGAUGGAAAUGCGAAGGAUGGAGGUACCACCCCCUCGCCCACACCAUAUUGCCAUGUUCUUGUCUGUUACUAGUUCGAAACUAUCAAAAACAGAUUUGUCAAGGUCUGCUUCGAUGAAAUACAUAAAGCCCUAAACCAAAUGAUGAGUCCAUAAUUAGAUGUUAAGAGGCUAGACAAACACAUUUUGAAAAAAUCAUGAAAAUGUCCAGCUUAAAUUGCAAAUGUCACCGGGCAUUUAGAGCUGAUAACAUACUGAUUUUAGUCUGGACGCAGAACCAUGACUACAGUGUCUAUCAUCGUUCGAGUUAGGAAAGUGAAGAGUGUGACGCAUAUAUAUAUAUAUAUAUAUAUAUAUAUUUUUAGAAAAUGUCUGCAGAAGGAUAAAUAAAUAAAGGGCUUGAGAAUUUAUCGACUGAAAUGGGAUGAUUUAUGAUACAAACGCCUAUCUUUCUUAGACAAAUACGACGGUAGUUCGUUACAUUCAAUUAUCAAAUUUGCAGGUGAAGGCUGAACGCCUGAAGUCUCGAGCACAAGAGAAGUACACGAACAAACUCGCUGCAACUAAGAGAAUAGCAGAGGAAAAGCGAGCAAAUGCAGAAUCCAAGCUAAAUGAGAAAGCUGUGAAGACUUCCGAAAGGGCAGAUUACAUAAGGAGAACUGGCCAUAUGCCUUCUUCCUUCUCUUUCAAGCUGCCUUCCUUCUGCUGGUAGAAAGUAGCAAAAUGCUCACCGUUGCUGCGUUUCUUCAGGCCUUGCAACGUUCGUCCAUUUUAAGCACAGAAGCCAUAGAUUUGAUUACCACCUCUCGUGGCUGCUGAACAAUGUUACCUUCUGCUAUUUGUGGCCAUCAAUAUGAUCCUUGUUCCAGCAAGGGUUCAAGACUAAUGGUUUCAUUUAGCGAAAAGGCUUCCAUUUGUUCACAUAAUUAGCUGUUUCUUUGUAUGGAAGCUCAUUUUGCGCCUGAGAUAAUUGAUGAUAUUUCAUUGAUCAGAUUUUUGCUACAGGAAUUUUGCUACUGUGUGGUUUUUUGUUUGGCGGUGCAUAAUUCCAAACUAACUGGAUGCUUUAUGCCUAUUCAUCAUAAGAGGAAAAACUUACUUGGGCGUACAAGUUCUUUCAAAUUCAUGCUUUGCAAUAAUUUGCAUACAAUAUACAGCGUCUCGUUUCACAUGCUCACCAAACUGGACACCAAUUGAGCGAGUGAAUGAGAAUUCAUAUCACUGAUACAGCAGCUAAAACAAUCAGCCCCCACUUUAGGUUUGUGCAAACUCACUGGUGACGCUUGGUUCGUGCUGUUCCGCUAGAAUAAAAAUACAAAAUGUUAAAUAACAAAAUCGACAAUAGUUAUAAUAAUAAUAAUAAUAAAAUUAACUAUAAUAAAAUAGUUAAAAUAAUAAUAUAAUAAUUGAACGGUGAAAUAAAAAUAUGUAAUUCUAGUUUUAUAAUCAUUGUAAAAAAUAUAAUAACUAUCUCGAAAUAUAUCCAUCAAUCUCUUGGCAUAGCUUGAAGUAUCUAAUGAAAAUCAUUGCAUUCUAGUACAUAUGUGUAUAGAAGUUCUUAAAAAUUGGUAAUUGGGCACUUAGCGAAUGAUAAUUUUUAAAAUUAACAUUAGUUUUAUACUUUUUCAUAAAUUAUUCACACUUGCCUAGUUUCGCAAUUAAUCAAGAAAACUGAUGCAUUCCAACGGGCUACUACAAUACACCUGUCAACCAAUAAGUUUCACUGUCAAGACCAAUUCCAUCCGUGGUUCGUGCUGGGCCUCAGUCGGGCUCAGCCCAAUCCGUACUUGAUGAGCGAUCUUUAGAGGGCCCAUGCUCCGCGCCUUUACUGGGGCAGAAAAAUGAAGUAAGAAAAAACUUGAGGGGCUUAUUGAGCAAUUUUAUACUCAUUAAAAAAAAUAGCAAGAAUUUCAAAGGCAUCCACAUAAUUUUAACGCUCGCGAUAGCACUAAAAUAGGCCUCUUUCGUCCGCGGUAGCGAAGUCGGCUUCGCCUUCGUUUCUGCGAACCUGCGAUAGAACCAUUAUUACGCUCUCUCUCUCUAGAAGCAGCCUCGCUCGUAGCCGCUGCUACUCAUUAAUCUCUUUCUGUCUCUCUCCAAUCCGAUUGAAUCCAUCGGACUCGGUUCGUUGGUAAGCCCUUCGAAUCUCAAUAAUUGUCGGGAGGGAGUAUAUCAUAUUAAUUUCUAGGGUUUUCUAUCGUCAGCUAUUGUUCGAUUUCGGGCUUUUAUUUCUAGUUUAUUAACAAAGAUUGAAGAAAAAAAUAAUUGUUGGCCCUACGCGAUUUACUUUCGGCCUUGAACUUGUUUCUCGUAUCAAGAUCUGUACUUUGAUUGUCUCGCUUUAUAGAUUGAAAUCUUGUGGGGUAGAAUUAGGGGAAAUUGGGGAAGGAGGUCUUCUGUUUGUUUUGAUGAAAUUUGCUGAAAUUAGGCUUAGGGUUUUCUCUUAAACCCCGGUUUAGGCGAGUUUAGCAGGUGAAUUGAAUUUUUUGGCUGUAUCAGAGGGAUAAACUCGGUUAUAGAUUUAUGGCGGCUGGAAGACAUGGGGGUUAUAGGGACAAUGAGUUCAGGGAUCGUGAGUCUGACUUUGAGGUAGCCAGGAGGGAAAUUGGCUAUUCAAAAGGUGAUUAUGAUCGGAUGAGGAAUGGUGUGGGGGACUAUGAUAGGGGGAAUAGGGCUCAAAAUCAUGAUGGUCGAGAUAGGGGUAGAGUUAGGCAGAAGGAUAUUAAGGAGAGGGAGUUCACUAAUGGUGGGUAUCGGUCUGCCUCAAGUAGGAGUGACUCGGGCAGUAGUGGUGGUGGUAGUGCUGGUCUGGGGCCAAAGAGGUAUGGUUUUUGCAUGAGGCCCGUGGACAGAGAACCUGGGGAAUUGUCCAGUGAAAGUGGGUCUGAUGGGGCUAUUGAUUCUGAAGCGCAUAAGAAGGAUGGUGGUGAGCUUAAGAAGUCAGAAAAUGGAAAGAGAAAAUUUUCACCCAUCAUUUGGGAUAGAGAUGGAGAUGGCAAAAAAGUGACUAGAAUUGUUAAGGCGAGGACUUCCCCAGCAGCAGCUGCUCUUCCCCCUCAGCUACCCACGCCUACUUCUGGCACCAUGUCACCUGAUCGCAACCCUGAUAGUCGUCAACAUAUUUCACCUAGUAAAGAUAUAGUGGUUCAGAAUUCUGGGCUGUCACCGAAAAAGGUUACUGAGGACCUCAC